UCACCGAAACACGUAAUACAAGACGGCAUCCACUCUAACAGAACAAGCACACAAAUGGAGUUGAUAGCAAACUAACUACGGCGGCCUCUCCCCGCGGGCUUCUCCAGCUAAAGGAAUGGCAUCUCCAGAGAAGCUUUUACGACCAGACUCGGAAGAUGAGAAAUAUGCCAGCAAAAAUCAAAGAAAACGCCGAUUCAGUCUUGGUUUUAAUGAUUCCAUAACAAAUAGAGCACACAAAAUUAACAUUUCGAGCAUCUCGCUAAAAUUGAAUUCGAUUUUUCAUCGAGACAUUCCGUCGAACAGUUCAUGUGCAGUUCGGAAUACCACCCGUAGCUUCGAAAGCUUGCUGCGACGAACGGCGACGAGCGAGUCGGCUUCCCUGGAAGGUCGCAAGGGUGAUCGAGGCGGACCACCGACGAGACCCACGAAUUCUCUCCUCUCGGUUUCGGCUUUCUCUUCGAAACACCUCCGGCUCCACCCCCCGAACCGAUCCUCUCUCUCGCUCCUUCUUCCUCUUUCGUUUCUGGCUCAUCCCGAACUUUUCAAGGAGAACAAAUUGAGCUCCUAACGGGAAAGUUCAUGGCCCAUCCAGCAUCCGUCUCCAUCUUCUUCGCUGGGCAAUCCUCGCUCUGGCUCGAAUCGCCGCGACUCUGGUGUUCGAGCGCCGUCUUCCGGCGGGAAAUCUCUACCUCGCUCAAUCAUCACUGGCAGCAUUGAUCGUCUUCUCUCCGCAGCGAUGGUACAGAAGCAGCACCACAAGUCCAACGCUAAGAAACAGCCUCACGCAAGCGAUUUCCUUCGCUACUUAUGGUUGCAAUUUCCAUCUAUUUAGGCACUCGUGACUAUUUCUUGGUUGGAGUGUUCGUAGGUGGUUGUUUUCGGAUUCUGAGCAUACGUGAAUGUGGUAUGCGUCGAUGAACAGGUCAAAAAGCAGGGGAAGCAAGCGCAUAACACGCAGUUCCGAGGUCAGCUUGAUGCUCUGGGCCUGAAAAUUGUCCAGGUGACUGCAGAUUGCAAUUGCUUUUUCAGGUCUGUGUUCCUUGUCAGAAAUGAUCGCCGACUUGUUUUCAUGAUUUUUUAUUGAAUAUUUCCAGGAAUUGGUUUGUUUCGUAAAAUGACAGUAAUCCUCUCUGUUGUAGAGGUCAAUGGUAUGCUCAUCGCAUUACCACUCUGUCGUCAGAACAUGACAUGCAUUGCAUUUUAUGGUACACUGGUUCUGGAAAACUAUCAUCGAUGUACUAGAAAUACCUCUGCUGGGAAAAUUAUUGCAUUUUCGUAUGAUGUAUUUGUCGGGGAACAUAGCUCUCUUAUCUUAGUCUCCAGGAUAAUAGAUUGACUCUUCUGAGAUCCAACUAAGUUACUUCGUAAAAUUUCAUAACUAUUGUACAACGUCCAAGACAAACAAACCAUCUUCCUCAUUCCCGUUUUCACUGUAUGGAGCUUUCGGUUAUAGAAAUGCCUUUACUAUGGUUGGAAUUUUCGUAGUUGUCCACCCUUGUUAAUGAGGGCCCUUUCAGAUCGGUUGGGAGGCAAUGGAGAUGAACAUGGAAAGUACCGGAGUAUGGUUGUUCAGUAUAUAUUGGUACGUGGAAUGCAGAUAUCUCUUUUUUCUGUAGGAAGGAUUUUUUUUCGCAUGGUGAUUUCGUCCUCAUUUGUAUUAGUGCUCAGCGAUCUGAAUCUGAACUUUUAUUGGUGCAUUUUGUUCUUGAAAUAUUUUUUAUAAGUAUGGACGGAUUUUGCUCUUAUAUAGACACUGAAAGAGUAUGCCUUGGAAAGAAAAAAAUCAAGUUAAAAUGGGUAUUAUAAAUUGAAGCUUAUCAUGUGAGCAAGUAGACAUUUUUAUUUUACUGGAGAGGAAAACCCAUUGAGUGUUGACUGCGAUUUGGAUGGUGUAUGGCCUAAACUGACAGGUACAGGAGGAAGCUGGACUGGUGUAGUUACCCUCAUUGUUCUAGCCUACAGGAACAUGCGAUUGCUAUUUUAGGUUGGCAAUAUUAUGCAAACCAACAUAUUUUUUGUCGGAGAUAUUGACAAAUUUGAAAUGAGAGGAUUGACACUAACGUAAAAUAAAUACACUUUUUAGCAUGUAUGAUAAGACUGCAAUGUUUUGCUGAAGAAUGGACCUGAUAUAUGUAUCUAAGAUGGGAAUUGUUGAUGACAGAAAAAUCGCGAAACAUUUGAACCAUUUAUCGAGGAUGAUGUGCCAUUUGAAGAGUAUUGCAAAACCAUGGACAAUGAUGGCACGUGGGCUGGUCAUAUGGAAUUGCAAGCAGCUUCUCUUGUUACACGGAGUAACAUUUGCAUUCAUCGGGUAAGACUGACAAUGAUGUCAUCAACCAUCAUCGACAUCAAGUUUUUUGGAUUACGGUCCUUUCAUUCCUUUGGGGGAAACAUCCAGACUGAAUAAAGACGUCAUUAGAUUUGUCAAUCGUUAACCUUGCUACUGUUGACCACCCCAUUCGGUAACUGUGUUGGGUAUGCGCUCAGACCCUCUUUACGGUAGGGCGAGAGUUCGAACCCCCAGGUUCGCAUACUGUGCAUUCAUUAGUGGUCUUAAGUAUUGACGGUUCGUGGAUAUCAAAAAAAAAAAAAAACCUUGCUACUGUGUUUGAAGUUUCCCUGUUUAACCAUGCAUCCUAGAAUUCAAUGACUAUUGAAGAACCCAUGAUUAUCGGUUCCCAGACUCAUUGUUCACUUCUUCAUAUAAUGGCUUUCUUUCCCAAUAUGGCCCUCCUUUAUCUAAGAAGUUAUUUCUAAUCAUUGUUAAGAUCAAAGACCACUUAGGAUAUUGUUUUUGUAAUGGUUAUAGCUUGUUCAUUUCUGUCUGGUUAUAAUUUGUUACUUUUUAAACUGUUGACUCAUCUGAAGCGCAAUGAUAUCUGGCAUGUCUCCCGACGUCUAUUGUGGCAAAAGCAUGUAGAAGGGCCAUUGGUGAUGAUAUGCAAAAGAUUUUUUCAGGGAUAGAUUGCACCUUUUAGCGGAAGGAGUUCCAACGGGUGCAUAUAAUCCUAAUUCAUAGAAUACUAGAUAUAUUGAAGAUGUUACAGCAUUGCUGGCACGUUGAGUUUUCUAUAUGUCCUCGAUGAAUCUACACAUUAGCACUAAUUAGUUUUGGCACAUGCCAUGCAUGCAAAUAUUUGUUCGUUGACUACAGUUGGAACAAUUUAGCUCACUCCUUGCUUGAUGCAGAACAUGUCGCCUCGGUGGUACAUACGCAAUUUUGAUCAGCCUGGUGCUCCUAUGAUCCAUUUGUGAGUAUUCUUAAUCCUCAGCCUGAUGAUGUUUUUGGCUAAGCAAGCGCUCAAAUACUGGGAUAAAAUCUGGCUCUAUCUGCAUACAGUUAAAUAAAUUACCCUUUCUUACAUUUUGCUUUCCCUCAAAAAAUUUGAAAAUAGAAGAUGGUUUUUAAUUUUUAAGAGAUUAUGAAUAUAUUCUAUGUUUCUCCAGGUCAAUUAAGUUUAUUUAAAAAGGUUUUAGGUGUUUCGAGUUUCUUAAAAGUCAAAUUGCAAGAGUGGCAAGAUUUGGGGAGAAAAAAAAAGAAAAAACCUAUAAGUACAGGUGCAAACAAACUGGCUCAUUACAUGAGAAGGUACUGCAGCUUGUUCAGGGAGACUGCUGAUUCGUGAAAUUUUUUUGGCAUGCAAGGAAGUUGCAGAUAUGAGUGUAGAUGUGGUGUUGCUAGAUUUAAUUCUCUUGCUAGUUCGAGAGAUGUUUCGGUGUGGUCAUGAGAAAAUAAAUUACUGGCUAAGCAUACGUGAUAGGAGACCAAAAUGUCACUUUAGCUUUUGUUUCUCCAAUAAUUUUUAUUGAAAUUCCCAUGAACAGAUAUCCUUCAAUGAAUGCAUGCCAGGAUAUUCUAAGUUAAGAUUGAUUGGCUCUGUUGAGGUAGCCAUUAUGAUUUUGGAUUGUCACGACUGUCAUGAAAUCUAGUUGAUAUAUGAUAUUCCGCACUUUACUAUAUUUGAUAAGUGUCAUCAUUCGAAGCAAGUAAGCAUAAAAAAAGUGUGUUGUGCCUUUAUUGUUUUGUGGAUAGGUAAAAUCCUUUAGUAUUGUUGUACCGAUUGGUGUUUAUAUGUGCAUUAUUCUAGCUUAUAGAUUUUGCUUUGUUUUAUUAGAUCUUAUCACGAUGAGGAACAUUAUAACAGAGUGAGGUUAAAGGAAGACACCGGGGAUGGGCCAGCUAGGCCAAUUACAAUCAAGGUUGCUACUGGAAUUUAAUUUUAGUUUACCAAGUCAGUACGGAAGUUGGAUAAAUUUGUAAAUUGAAGUAUGUGAUUUGAUAAUUUCUUUUGCUGAAAGGCUGAUUCUAAUCUCUCUUCGUCGUCUCGCCAAGCAAAAGCUGGGUCAAACGCGUCUAAGUCAGGAGCUGGUAAGGAUACUACUGAUGCAGGAUCCAUCAAGCUAGUCAUGGCAGGAAGUGGUUGUGAGAAUAUCAAGAAAGUUGAGCAGGUUAUGUCCUCUCUUCUUCUGCUUGCAUGUUUGGAUUAGAUGCUUACCUCUCAUUUGCUGGGUGAAUCUAGAAUUAGAAUGCAAUGUUUUGGACCUUUUUCUGAUUUCUGUGUGAUAUGUGAGACUUUUACAGACAUCGCUGCAAAUGUAUGGGGAUGUUGAUGCUGCCAUAGAGUAUUUGAUAGCAGAACAAGGCGUCGAAGAUUUUUCAGAGGAAACUAUUCGGUCUCUCUGUGGUGCAGAUCCUUCUCAUGGUAAUGGCUGGUCAGUAUUUAUUUUUAUUUUUUUGGUAAAAGUAAGCAAUAUAUUGGCGGAAGGCCAAACUGUACAUACAAACCGGCUUCAAAAACUUGUACUCAAGAUGAACAGGCUCAUUAUGAGUUAAAGGAAGCUGGGAGAAAAAGCCAAGCGGCUGCAACAAGAACAAAAAAGAACAAAAGAAAGCCAGACGGCAAGGACAACCGUUAGUCAAAAGCAACCAACAAACAACCGGUAGAUUAGACAGACGGAUGGACAUCUCUAGAAGAGAAGAUAAUGGGGUCGACAUCCCAAGAGCGUUGCAGCCUUCUAUUUCUAAUGGAGUUGUCCACAAUUCUGAAGUUGACCGCCUUGUCUUUGACAACUCUGAGCAAAUGCUUUUCCAUGGCCGGAAGAGAAAGCGGUUCCCCCUGAAGAGAAUGUUGUUCCUAUUCUUCCAGAUGAUAUGGCAAAGCGCACCAAAAGAAAAAUGGGCAACACAUUUAUAAAACUCCUUGCCCGAAAGCAAGAUGAUGGCCCAACGAAGAUUCUCCCCCCAAGACCUAUUAUGCCAGGGAAGAUUACAUCUGGCCGCCCAAAAGUACACAAUACUAGACGUAAUGUGACACCCAAAAAAGAAAUGAUCUAUAGAGUCGGGCACAUCAUUGCAAAAGGAGCAGGAAGCAGCAUCAAUCCUAUCAUGAGACAUAAGGAGAGAUUGGGUAGGAAGCCUACGCUUGGUGAUGAGCCAAAGGUUAAGUUGAUACCGAGGUAGGAUGGCAUUGUUCCAGAUGAAAUGAUGCCAAUUGACUCGGGCCUUUUUCCGCCUUAAGACCUCCCAAGCCAAGGCAACCGAGAACACGCCCGACGAGUCCUCUCUCCAACAAAAACGAUCCUGGCUCCGAGACAGGGAAGGAAGUGGCGAACCCUAAGUCUCAAUCACCGCCCUGAUAGCCUGGCCAUCAUCAGAAAAGAGGUCAGCCACCAAAGCCUGCCUAGAGAGACCGAACCUAUAGAUGAGCAAAUCUGAGAAAUAUAAGUUCAAAGAGCCCCUAGGAUGCCAAUUGUCAAACCAGAGUAACAGUGAUAGGCCAUCCCCUAUCCUCCAAAAGAAGCUAAGCCGGACUUUCGUCCUGAGUUGUAGAAUUUCUGCCAAGCCCAGGAGCAAUAAGUUGGCUUCUUAACGACCCAUAAAUUUCUAUUCUUUAAGAAGCUGGAGUGGAUCCACUUGCACCAUAAAAACUCCUUAUCUGAAAACAAGUUCCAAAUAUGUUUGAGCAUGGCCGCCUUAUUACACUCUCGUAAUCUUUGGAUACUAAGACAUCCCUCCACUUUAGGGAGGCAUAAAUCAUCCUAGGAGACCUUGGCACCCCCUCUGCCCAACUCUGAGCCAUUCCAAAGGAAUUGUCUGAGAAUUCGCUCAAUCUGGUCCAGCACUGCCGCAGGAAGAAUGAAGACAAUCACCCAAUAGGCCUGGAUGGCAUGAAGAACUGACAUGGAUGGCUGGUCAGUAUUUAUCUCUCUAUAUUUUGAUUAAUUAUUUAACUUCAUAGUUUCAUAUGUACUUUGUUAAGCUUCACAAGAAGCUUAUAUGGAGUCAUUUUGAUGUAACUGGUAGGAUUAGCAUAUUUUGUCUUGUCGUCCAUGGAUUUGUGGGGUAGUCAAACAUUCUAAACCCAAAAGUAUUUCAUAAUUCUUUAUGGUAGUUAGGUGAUGAUGCCUGUGGAAAUUCUAAGGAACAGAGAGAGGAGCCUGUGGAAGAGACCUAUAAAGAGAAUCCACUUAGCAAUAGUGCUAAACGGACUCAUGAUGAUGGCAAUGCCCAGUGACAAGACCAGGUUUCCACAAGUGAUGAUUAAGCUCAAAACGCGAGAAUUGUUGGUGACGCGCGUCUUCAUUUUUAUCUGCUCGUUUUAUUUUGAAAUGCAGAAAAUCUCAAGAAAUAAGGCUUGUCCAUGUGGUUCAAAAAAGAGAUGCAAGUCCUGUUGCGGGUCAGGGAAAGGGAAAGUCUCUGCAAUUUCCAAGUAUUUCUCGUUCUCUCUGUGCUUUAUAUGUCAAGUUAUAGUUUAAGUUUGUCUGUUGUUAAAGCAUUUUUCCUUGUUCCCUGUGAUUGGGGUUGAUACUUAUCUUGAAAGUUUAUGGUUUAUGUAUCUAACAUGGUAUCGAUUACCUUCCUUAAAUUCAAGUCUGGAACAUUUUCUCACUCUUACACUUUGUUAAAUAAAAAAGGUUAAUACAUGAGUAAUUUAAAUUUAUACUUACAAAAACAAAGACAGCAGCGAAGAUUUCUCCAUUUUUAUGCCUAGAUGUUGUUUUGCAGUGAUCAAGCUCUUGAAUUCAGAAAAAGUAGAAAGGAAAAGAAGCGAGGCAAGAGAGGGUCUGACACAUCUGCACUUUCUACUGGAUCUGAUGGAGGGCCACCUGAUGUGGGGGCUCUUUGUAUCUGAUCUUUUGCCAAUGUAUGUGCACCAUUAUCUUUUGAAUUUCAGAUAUCAGUAUGUGUGCAGUCUUUCAAAUAUUUGAUUAGAUUAGACACAAUUUUUUUCUAUCCAUAUUAGCAUGUAUUUGAUGCGUGCAUCUCUUCUUCGAUCUCUGGGAUAAUUGCACUUUCUAGUUUUCCAUCUGUUGCCAAAUUUACAAAGAUCUACAGGUACAAAAUUUUCAAUGGUGUUACUUUUCUCAGAUAGUCUGCCCGUCUGAUGCAUUUUAUAUUGGCAAUUGUAAUUUGGAUAUUCUUUGUACACAUAAUUGAGGCGCAUGCACAUAACACCUACCUUGGUAGAUUGUUGGCAUUGGCAUGGGUGAGUUUGGUCAGCAACCAAAGGGGGAAGAAGAUAAAGGAAAUUCAGUUAUUGCCAUCCGAGGGUUAAACCUUUUCAUGAAUAUAAAAGAGACGUUCAUAUCAAUUUGACUAGUGACGGUUUAAUUUUUAAAUUCCCUUCCAAAGUAUUGGUUUUGCUAUAAUUGUAGUUUGGGGUUCCUGUGAAGACGUUAUUCUUUUUCUUGUUAUUUCAUUGACAAGAAAUGCACUAAGCAUCUAUGCACACAACUUCUUGUAAUUGAUGAAUGACGUAUGAAUCCAAAAUGCACUUAAGCUUCAUCUACAAGGAUCUGAAAGCAAACCAUUUGUAGUUGGAGACGACACAGAUAUCACAUAAUGUAGCUCCUUCGUUGAAAUUGGUGCAGAUUUCUAAGAUUAAACAAUUUGGACUGUUUGUUCAGUUAUUUUGGCAAAAAAAUUGUGUCUCAUAGAUCUUUUCGGUUGUUAUUAGUUGUUAUGUCAUCAUAACAUCAUUUAGACUAAUUGUAGUCUCCAAACCUCUUAAAGUGAUGGAUAAUGUGUAGAUAUCACGAGCGUUUGCGAAGUUUUAGCAGUAGAUUUUCCAGUUAUGCCGCAAUUUAAAUCCUGACUUUUUUCUUGUUGUUUUUGUGGAAUUGCAUUGUGUCAGAUGUGGCUUGUCCAGUCCCCAAGAAUCACAACAAUUUUGCGGGUUCAUCAUUGGAUCCACUAGGGAGUGGGAGAGAGUCGAAUUGUGAGCAGAAAACUAAUGCUCAAAGAAGUCUAUAACUCGAGCUUCUCUUCGGAGCAAUUUAUGAGGUUACUUAUUAUUUUUUUUCUUUGGCUUGCCUCACACAUAAAUCUUUUCAUUCUCUAUUAGCAAACACAGAGCGGAUGUUUGUAUAAGGCUAUCCUCUGUCUUCAAAGGCUGGUACCUUACUAGUCUUGUAUACUACUUUGUCCCAAAAUAGGGAAUUAAAAAAUCCUUACUUCUUCAUCUAACAGCUUGACAAGCAUUGAACCUUUCAUGUUGAUGCUGCUCUAAUAGUGUAGGGAGUCAAGCAAUCAGUUAAGCUAAUAAUAUAACUCAAUGUGUAGAUUGAUUUAUUCCAUGUAAGAAUUGAAAAGCACUUGCUUCUUUUGCAAGAUAUCAAGGCGUGCCUUGUGAGCCCCAUUUUCAUUCAAAUGGUGAUCCAACAUGUGGGAGGGCAUAAUUGCUAAAUGAUAUGGGAGAAUGCAGACAUCACGAGAACUUUAAUGCAAUAAAAGCAUCUUCGGCUUGGCCUACGCUGUGAUGUUCCGUGGAUGUCUAGGCCCGUAAGUGGACUUUUCCCAUCAUGUGCCGUAGUUGAACGGGCUUGGUCAACCUGCUUCUUCAUUGUCAUUGAUAGGGUGGUCUAUAAGAGCCAGGAGACCAAACCUAGGUCCCUUACAUGAGAUAAGUGUACCUAGCCAGUAAUUCAGCGUCUAGUAUAAUAGACUUCCUUUGUUUCUCUGCCAAAGAAAAACACUUCGAUAAAGUUCUGAUUUUCAAUCAUUGAUCUAGUUGUUAGCCAUGUAUUUAAGUUCUAUCUUGCGGUUAUGUUCAACCAUUUUGUAUUAUGAAUUUAGAAGAACUUUGACAGGUAAAUACAUGAUGCAUUGUAUUCAAAUUUCUGGUCCAUUGAUUUUGCAGGUUGGCUCCACCGGGUUCAUUCCAAUCAGAGUAAAAAAGGGCCAAUAUUAGAUCAAUGAUAGUUUAGUUGGAAUAUCGAAGAGUGCUAACAAAGUUUAGAAUCACCACAAGGAGAGUUGUGUCAUAUAAAGGCCAAGGUCAUGAUGUUGUAUCACGUGGAAGGGAGGUGUCGUGCAACAAGAAAAUCAAUUUCAAUAAGUAAGUGUCAAAGUAAAGUGAUCGGCAUUUCAUAUGACCAGUUNNNNNNNNNNNNNNNNNNNNNNNNNNNNNNNNNNNNNNNNNNNNNNNNNNNNNNNNNNNNNNNNNNNNNNNNNNNNNNNNNNNNNNNNNNNNNNNNNNNNNNNNNNNNNNNNNNNNNNNNNNNNNNNNNNNNNNNNNNNNNNNNNNNNNNNNNNNNNNNNNNNNNNNNNNNNNNNNNNNNNNNNNNNNNNNNNNNNNNNNNNNNNNNNNNNNNNNNNNNNNNNNNNNNNNNNNNNNGAAAUUUAGAUGUCAAGUAAAACAAUCAACAUUUCAUAUGAUCAAUUUAAUUGAUCAGUCACAUCAUGUCAGUCAUCAUCGAUUUGACUACCGAAUAAAAUAUCUUUUUCAAAUGAGGGGAUAGUCCCUCAAAAGUUUUGAAAUGCUAGAAAUUCAAAACUCAUAAGAACAUUAGGAAAUCUACUCCCUUUCAAGAAAUGCUAAUCAUCACCCAAAUUUGCGAGGACUUCCAAGAUGUACCACUGUUGAUAUACUCUUACUAGUUGCUAAAUAGACAUUCCGUCACUUAAGAAUUCAUGGAAGGAAUUUACUGUGCUAUCCGAUGAUUACUAAGUGAUAGGAUCAUCGAGACAUAAACUCUACAAUCAAAUUGCUAGCCUUAAAAAAAGUUAGCUUACUACAGGCGUAGCGAUGAUCAUGAGGACUCCACGGAACUUACAACUGUCGGAAAAAUAGUUUACGAUGCACAAAUGCUAUCAAUUACAAAUAAAGAGGGAAAGUACUGUAUGAAUGGAGAAUUGCAAAAUGACAGCACCGUCAACUUAAGAAUAACGAAGAGAUGUUCGCGAUGGAAAGUUAUUAAUCAUUGGCGCAAUAUAACUUUUUCAGGAUUUCAUGUGAGUGACAAUUGUUCUGGAAUAUUUACUAAGAAAUUUCAUUAUUUGUUACGACUGAUGAAAUUAACUAAAUUAAUUUAAGUCUACUAACGACUAAGAUUGACAUACGGGUAUAACAAUGAUUGUUUUUUGGCGAUGAGUAAAGAUUAAAAUACAGCCACAAUAGGAAUUUGUAGAAACACAUCAGUAGUGCCGUAAACCUUUUAUGCUUCAUCUAUAAACCGCGUGAAAAAAAUUAGAAAUUGCCCAAGCAAAUGGAAAUGAUUCUGGGAAAAAAAAAUAUGAAUAGUGUUUUUUAAGGGAAAGAGCACAUCAUAAGUCCUAAAACUUGUUAUAAAAAUACAAUCAAGUCCUAAAACUAAAAAAAAGAAAAAAAAAGAAAAGAAAUUCAAUCAAUUUUAAAACUUAUUCAAUUAAUAUAAUCAAGAACUUCCAUCAGUCCUGUCCAAUUUGAGUCUCAGAAUAUACUGGCAUCGUCAUCUUUUGAUAUGUUUUGAGCACACAUCCCGAAGAUACUCCGGCCAUACAUGAUGCCUAGUUCUAAUGAACUGAAGUGUCUCGUGUGCCAAGUCACCUUCUAUCUCUUCACAUAUGUUUGAAUAGGACAAGAGAGAUUGAAUUGAAUGCCAUCUGUUACUCCAUCAACAAGAUAGAUGCCCGGGGCAUCAAGAGACGUAUUGCCAAUCCUAUCUUGUUUCGCUGGCUUCUCAAUGACAGCAUCCUUAAGAGCUGCAACCCAGUACUACUCGACUAGCCUCUGUUGAGUUGAUCUUUCAUAUUCUUCCACUUCCUUCAUAAGGUGUGGGAGAAAUUUGCGCAAGAACUCUCUAUGCUCUUUUUCACGAAGUGAAGUUGGAUCCACUAAUUGAUUGUCUUCAAGCACAACCUUCAGAUCAUCAUCUAGUUGCUGGCAUAUUAGCACAUAUCCUAACUUUUCCACGGUUCCACUCGACAGUGUGAGUGUAAGGCUAAAUUGUAAGUAAUCCUCAUCAAAUUCAAGAAAAUCAAUUGCUCCUUCCAACACUCCCCAUAGCACAUUUGGUUCGAUAUACUGAAUCCACAUGUGAUCCAAAUGAAAUGAACCGAGAGCUCCUGAUAGCGCAUUCCGUCUUUGGCCAUUAACGUGGGGCACGAUGUCGAAAAAUAUUUCCUUUUCUCCAUCUUCUACAUUGAAAACAACACAAAGAGCUAAUCCCAGGAACUUAUCAUAAAAGUCCUGUGAAAUCAUGAAAGAUAUGGUACCGCCUUCAACGGGGACGAACUCCUCUGGCAUAUCUACUCCGGGGAGAAUAUUUAUGUAGGAACGAGAAAUUCUGGAAUAGUAAUGCUUCUGUUAUACCAGUAAAUUGUUAGACAUGCUCAAGUUGAUAAUUAGUUCAAAUAGAAGAGUUUGAUAUCUGAAUUUUUUUUAUAAUUUAACCAAAGCUAGAGUUUAUAAUAAUUAAACAUAUCGAUCUUUCGUUGCCUUAUACAUAAUACUCAUGAAAUCAUUCACUUGUGAGUGUUGUAGCACAUGUAAGUGCAGAAUCACUUUAUGUUAAAUUUGCUUAUUUGUAUAGAAUUUUCAGUUUUUGCAUUAUACAAACACAGUGCGCCCGACAUACACCAACAAAUAAACACAUGCACUUAUGAAUGCGCGUGCAUCGAGAGAGANNNNNNNNNNNNNNNNNNNNNNNNNNNNNNNNNNNNNNNNNNNNNNNNNNNNNNNNNNNNNNNNNNNNNNNNNNNNNNNNNNNNNNNNNNNNNNNNNNNNNNNNNNNNNNNNNNNNNNNNNNNNNNNNNNNNNNNNNNNNNNNNNNNNNNNNNNNNNNNNNNNNNNNNNNNNNNNNNNNNNNNNNNNNNNNNNNNNNNNNNNNNNNNNNNNNNNNNNNNNNNNNNNNNNNNNNNNNNNNNNNNNNNNNNNNNNNNNNNNNNNNNNNNNNNNNNNNNNNNNNNNNNNNNNNNNNNNNNNNNNNNNNNNNNNNNNNNNNNNNNNNNNNNNNNNNNNNNNNNNNNNNNNNNNNNNNNNNNNNNNNNNNNNNNNNNNNNNNNNNNNNNNNNNNNNNNNNNNNNNNNNNNNNNNNNNNNNNNNNNNNNNNNNNNNNNNNNNNNNNNNNNNNNNNNNNNNNNNNNNNNNNNNNNNNNNNNNNNNNNNNNNNNNNNNNNNNNNNNNNNNNNNNNNNNNNNNNNNNNNNNNNNNNNNNNNNNNNNNNNNNNNNNNNNNNNNNNNNNNNNNNNNNNNNNNNNNNNNNNNNNNNNNNNNNNNNNNNNNNNNNNNNNNNNNNNNNNNNNNNNNNNNNNNNNNNNNNNNNNNNNNNNNNNNNNNNNNNNNNNNNNNNNNNNNNNNNNNNNNNNNNNNNNNNNNNNNNNNNNNNNNNNNNNNNNNNNNNNNNNNNNNNNNNNNNNNNNNNNNNNNNNNNNNNNNNNNNNNNNNNNNNNNNNNNNNNNNNNNNNNNNNNNNNNNNNNNNNNNNNNNNNNNNNNNNNNNNNNNNNNNNNNNNNNNNNNNNNNNNNNNNNNNNNNNNNNNNNNNNNNNNNNNNNNNNNNNNNNNNNNNNNNNNNNNNNNNNNNNNNNNNNNNNNNNNNNNNNNNNNNNNNNNNNNNNNNNNNNNNNNNNNNNNNNNNNNNNNNNNNNNNNNNNNNNNNNNNNNNNNNNNNNNNNNNNNNNNNNNNNNNNNNNNNNNNNNNNNNNNNNNNNNNNNNNNNNNNNNNNNNNNNNNNNNNNNNNNNNNNNNNNNNNNNNNNNNNNNNNNNNNNNNNNNNNNNNNNNNNNNNNNNNNNNNNNNNNNNNNNNNNNNNNNNNNNNNNNNNNNNNNNNNNNNNNNNNNNNNNNNNNNNNNNNNNNNNNNNNNNNNNNNNNNNNNNNNNNNNNNNNNNNNNNNNNNNNNNNNNNNNNNNNNNNNNNNNNNNNNNNNNNNNNNNNNNNNNNNNNNNNNNNNNNNNNNNNNNNNNNNNNNNNNNNNNNNNNNNNNNNNNNNNNNNNNNNNNNNNNNNNNNNNNNNNNNNNNNNNNNNNNNNNNNNNNNNNNNNNNNNNNNNNNNNNNNNNNNNNNNNNNNNNNNNNNNNNNNNNNNNNNNNNNNNNNNNNNNNNNNNNNNNNNNNNNNNNNNNNNNNNNNNNNNNNNNNNNNNNNNNNNNNNNNNNNNNNNNNNNNNNNNNNNNNNNNNNNNNNNNNNNNNNNNNNNNNNNNNNNNNNNNNNNNNNNNNNNNNNNNNNNNNNNNNNNNNNNNNNNNNNNNNNNNNNNNNNNNNNNNNNNNNNNNNNNNNNNNNNNNNNNNNNNNNNNNNNNNNNNNNNNNNNNNNNNNNNNNNNNNNNNNNNNNNNNNNNNNNNNNNNNNNNNNNNNNNNNNNNNNNNNNNNNNNNNNNNNNNNNNNNNNNNNNNNNNNNNNNNNNNNNNNNNNNNNNNNNNNNNNNNNNNNNNNNNNNNNNNNNNNNNNNNNNNNNNNNNNNNNNNNNNNNNNNNNNNNNNNNNNNNNNNNNNNNNNNNNNNNNNNNNNNNNNNNNNNNNNNNNNNNNNNNNNNNNNNNNNNNNNNNNNNNNNNNNNNNNNNNNNNNNNNNNNNNNNNNNNNNNNNNNNNNNNNNNNNNNNNNNNNNNNNNNNNNNNNNNNNNNNNNNNNNNNNNNNNNNNNNNNNNNNNNNNNNNNNNNNNNNNNNNNNNNNNNNNNNNNNNNNNNNNNNNNNNNNNNNNNNNNNNNNNNNNNNNNNNNNNNNNNNNNNNNNNNNNNNNNNNNNNNNNNNNNNNNNNNNNNNNNNNNNNNNNNNNNNNNNNNNNNNNNNNNNNNNNNNNNNNNNNNNNNNNNNNNNNNNNNNNNNNNNNNNNNNNNNNNNNNNNNNNNNNNNNNNNNNNNNNNNNNNNNNNNNNNNNNNNNNNNNNNNNNNNNNNNNNNNNNNNNNNNNNNNNNNNNNNNNNNNNNNNNNNNNNNNNNNNNNNNNNNNNNNNNNNNNNNNNNNNNNNNNNNNNNNNNNNNNNNNNNNNNNNNNNNNNNNNNNNNNNNNNNNNNNNNNNNNNNNNNNNNNNNNNNNNNNNNNNNNNNNNNNNNNNNNNNNNNNNNNNNNNNNNNNNNNNNNNNNNNNNNNNNNNNNNNNNNNNNNNNNNNNNNNNNNNNNNNNNNNNNNNNNNNNNNNNNNNNNNNNNNNNNNNNNNNNNNNNNNNNNNNNNNNNNNNNNNNNNNNNNNNNNNNNNNNNNNNNNNNNNNNNNNNNNNNNNNNNNNNNNNNNNNNNNNNNNNNNNNNNNNNNNNNNNNNNNNNNNNNNNNNNNNNNNNNNNNNNNNNNNNNNNNNNNNNNNNNNNNNNNNNNNNNNNNNNNNNNNNNNNNNNNNNNNNNNNNNNNNNNNNNNNNNNNNNNNNNNNNNNNNNNNNNNNNNNNNNNNNNNNNNNNNNNNNNNNNNNNNNNNNNNNNNNNNNNNNNNNNNNNNNNNNNNNNNNNNNNNNNNNNNNNNNNNNNNNNNNNNNNNNNNNNNNNNNNNNNNNNNNNNNNNNNNNNNNNNNNNNNNNNNNNNNNNNNNNNNNNNNNNNNNNNNNNNNNNNNNNNNNNNNNNNNNNNNNNNNNNNNNNNNNNNNNNNNNNNNNNNNNNNNNNNNNNNNNNNNNNNNNNNNNNNNNNNNNNNNNNNNNNNNNNNNNNNNNNNNNNNNNNNNNNNNNNNNNNNNNNNNNNNNNNNNNNNNNNNNNNNNNNNNNNNNNNNNNNNNNNNNNNNNNNNNNNNNNNNNNNNNNNNNNNNNNNNNNNNNNNNNNNNNNNNNNNNNNNNNNNNNNNNNNNNNNNNNNNNNNNNNNNNNNNNNNNNNNNNNNNNNNNNNNNNNNNNNNNNNNNNNNNNNNNNNNNNNNNNNNNNNNNNNNNNNNNNNNNNNNNNNNNNNNNNNNNNNNNNNNNNNNNNNNNNNNNNNNNNNNNNNNNNNNNNNNNNNNNNNNNNNNNNNNNNNNNNNNNNNNNNNNNNNNNNNNNNNNNNNNNNNNNNNNNNNNNNNNNNNNNNNNNNNNNNNNNNNNNNNNNNNNNNNNNNNNNNNNNNNNNNNNNNNNNNNNNNNNNNNNNNNNNNNNNNNNNNNNNNNNNNNNNNNAGCUUCAUGUACAAGGAUCUGAAAGCUAAUCAUUUGUAGUUGAAACCGACACACCUUUCCCAUCAUGUGGGGCGUGGGGGGGGGGAGGGGGAGAGACCUUAUCCAAAUCUGAGAAAGCGGCCGAAAUUUCUUCCUCUGUGGUCAUUUCUUCAUCGUCAUGCCAAAUCUCAUAGAACAAACUUGGAUCUAGCAACUUGUCAUCUUGAUUAAAAGCCUCCAAAUCGUCCUCUAGUGGCUUGCAUAUUAAUCGAAAUCCGCACUUUUUUACAAUUGCACCAUUCGAUGCUCUAAUGCCUAAUUGGAAAGAACUCAAGUCAUUUGGACCAAAAGGGUCUUCUCCCCAUAGGUCCUCCAUAGCAACACACGAAAGCCACACAUGAUCUGAAUGCGAUGGACAUAAUAGGAGUCCGUGCCUACGCUCUGAUCUGCCAUUACUGUAUGGAUGAACAAUAAACCUGACAUUUUCUUUCCCUUCCUUUACUCGAAAUACAACGCACAUAGCUAAUCCUAACAACUUCUUAUACAAAUCCUUUGAAGCCAUGAAAGAUAUAUAACCCUCUUUAUUCGGGAGCAACCAUUUUGGCAUCUCUCCUCCAAGUAGAAGAAUAUUGCAAAAAUAUGUAUUAGCAAAUUCCUGUCAUAGAUGUAAAUUGUUAAGAGAGAGAGAGAGAGAGAGAGAGAGAGAGAGAGAGAGAGAGAGAGAGAGAGAGAGAGUCUAACCUCAUUAGAGACCAGUGUUUGAAAUAAUACGUAAAUGUCGAAGGGAAUUUUACAUAGAGAUUCACAAUUUGUUGCCAAUAAACCCCGCAAUCGGUCUGAAAUCUUGCCUAUCUCUUGUAGCCGUUGGCAUUUCGAAACAUCCAAAUAGAGUAGCUUAGGAAAACAUGAACGAUUCUCUAGGAACUCCACUUCUAGUAGAUCGCAUCCCCCAAGCCCUAACAUCAGGAGCUUAGGAAAUCCCAUCUUCCCAUGCAGAUCACUCAAAUCCUCUUCCUUUGGAAACUUGAUUAGUUUUGGACGACCAUUAAGUACCAAGUUCUUAAGAUUUGGCAAAUUGUAAAUGCUAGAUGGGAGGUUUUCCAGUUUAUUACAAUAAAAUAAAUACAAAUUCUCUAAAGAGACAAGAUUUUCUAUGGAUGUAGGUAGUUCCCUAAUUGAAGUUCCUUGUAAAUAAAGUUUUUUCAAGCCCUUUAUUUUAUUCGGAAUAUCAGGGAAUCUUUGCAACUUUGAGCAACCAGCAAGAUCGAGAAGUUGAAGAUUCUUGGAUUGGAGCACAUUAGGGAAAUGAUGAAGGUUGGAGCACCAUUGUAGAUUCAAAUAUCGUAAUUUGGCGUGAUAUGCAAUUGAUUCGUGAGCAUGCUCUAAAUUUUUGCACCCAUGGAGAUCCAAUUCCUCGAGAUGUGGAGUCAAAUCAAGGUUCGGCAUACAAACCACCAACGGACAAUUACUGAAGUUAAGGAACUUCAAAUUUUCAAAGUCCUGCAAGAAACAUCCAUACAGACAAAAAAAUGAAGAUAAAAAUGUUUAAUGAAAAAUACUUGAUCAUCAUUCAAGCCCCAUGUGAUCAUAAAUUAGUUGAUCAUAUGGUGUAUGUAGAGCACUCCUCUCCCUUUCCAAAUAUGAGUUUAUUGAGCGAUCCUUGGCCAAAAGAGAAGAUUAAAAAAAAAAGAAUAAUACUCGUAAUUCCGACACGCGCUAGAUCUCUAUCAAGCGCAUACAAGAGAAAUCAUUCCAAUGCUAAGUGGCGUGGCCACUUCUCCUAUGUGUACGUUCAGAAACAAUACAUGUAAAGAGAGAGAGGGUAAAUUCAAGUGGAAGCACAUGAGCCAACGUCAAAUCCUUUGCCAACUAACUCAUGACAUGAAUUUAAGCUAACAUAGGAGGCACUUGAUGGAUCUACAAUCUUAUGCAGAGAUAAGCAAAAUUUCCAUAAAGGUGGUGGAAGCUCGGGAAUCUCGUGUCAUCUCUUAUUAGGUCAUGGUGGAUGGUUGAUUGAUCUUUGAGAAUCACACAUUUUGUAUCAGGUUGUAGACCCUUGAUGGUAUUUGAGAAUCACACGUUGCUGAACUUUGUAUUAGUAAAAUUGUGCGCCUACAUAGUAUUUCAAAGACAACGCCUUAUGUCAAGUUUAUCAGUCACCUUUGGCAUACAUAACGAAAAAUGGGGACUCAAGUCUCAGUUUAGUUCUGCUAGACAUCUUUAUAAGGAGUUUUAGUAGAAAACAUGUAAAACAUUGGGAUAUGCUAUUGGUUCAAGCCAAAUUUUCAUAUAAUAAUUGGAUGAGUCAAACUAUUGGAAAAUGUCAAUUUGAUGUUGUGUAGCGAAAGCAUCUUCUAAGCCCUUUGGAUUUUACACCGUUAUCCACCACUAGUACGAAGAAAGAGCUAAGACAAUCACUAAGUUACAUGAGGAAAUGAGGAAGAGAAAUUUGAAGCAAACUGUCAGAUAUCCGAAUCAAGCGAAAAAACAUAGAAAAGCCUGCUGUUUUCAAAGAAGGUGAUCUUGUCUGGAUUCAUUUAAGAAGAGCGCUUUCCACCUAGUCGUCGUGCUACAAAUGGUUGUUUUCUAGUUUUGGAACGCAUCGACGAUAAUGCUCACAAAAGUGAACUUUGUGGAGAGAAUGGUGUCUCCACUGGUUUCGAUGUCGCUGAUCUAUCUCUGUGAAGUUGUCCUUGAGGAGUAGUCUUUUCGAGAUUUCAAGAUUCUCUCUGGUGAAUAGAAUAAUAGGGAUAGAAUAUAUUUUCUUUAUCUGUGAGUGUUUAUACUGUUUAGGAUUGCUUUAGUCUCGAUUACAAUGUGAUAAUAUUGUAGCCUGUUCGAAUUUCGUAUUUUAGGUUUAAUUUUUCUUUUUGACUUGGAGGUUGUUCAAAAAUAUCUUAGGCUCCACUUAUAAGUGUCCUCUCGGUCUCUCACAGUCAACACAAUUAAUUUAUUAAAUUUAGUUUCAUUCUAUCCUUUUCUGUCUUUCUCUCUGUCCUUUUGGGGGAUUCAUGAGUGAUUAAGAGAGUGCUGCAUCCUUGGAGUGGCCUACUAAGGUGGAAAUUUGGCUAAGGGAGACCUAGGGCCUAUUUGUUAAAAAAAAUUUCUAUUCCCCAGAACACAAGUUUCUAUUCUUCUGUUCUUGUUCCAGAGAACGAAAAAAGAAUAGAAACGUGUUUGGUAAAACUUUUGUUCCCGAAAACAAAAAAAACUAUUUUUUUGUUCCUGAAAAUAGAUUUGGAACAGAAACAAAAAGUAGAAAAAAGUAGCUUCUUAUUCUCGAAAACAAUUUCUAGAAUUAAUUUCUCUUCCUUUUUCUUCUCUUUCUUUUCUUAUUCUUCUUCUUCCUUUUGGCUAGUCGCCUGAACCGGCGACUGGCUAGACGAGGAUUGGUGACCUUGCUGGAGCGUCACUGACCCCCAUAGAUGCCGAGUAACGACAAGGCACGGCGAAGCUCGACCUCCCCAGGUGGUGCGAGGCUAGGCCUCACCAGGCUAGGGCAAGGCCAACCUCUUGUCGCCUGGGCCUAGCGAGGCCAAGGCUCACUGGGCCUCGCCCUGGCCUGGUGAGGCUUCGACGAGCUCACUGGACAUCGCCCAGCCUAUUGUUGGCCAUUGGCCAAAGUGAAAAAGAAAAAGGAAAAAGAAAAAAGGAAAACAUAAUAAAAAAUAAUAAAACAAUAAAAAAUUAAAAAAAAUCUAAUAAUCUUACCAAACGUAUUUUUAUCUCGGGAAUAGAAAUUUUGGGAAGUUAUCAAACUCGUUCUUUUGCUCAGAAAUUGUUCCCCGAAACAGAAUCGUUGCGAAACGCGCUCCUAAUAUAUCUAGUCUCUUCCUAUCCUCCAUAGUGCGGUUUUUCCACUUCAUUAAGAUUGAGAACCCCUUUUAUGUAUUUGUUUGUUCAACACAUUCCGACAUCAAUGUGGCCGACGAGCAUGACGGCAAACUUGAAAGGCCACAAAGUUUGUCUCAUAAGAUGCAUAGGAAGAGAAAAAUAUAAGAGUAUGCACAAGAGUUGAAAAAACAGAUAAUUGAAAAAUUGAGCAAACUCACCAAAUUAGAAAUUAUUUGAUGGAAAGAAAUUCUCGGUAAAUACACAAUACACAAACAUAGAAUACAUGUAAGAUAUUUCUAGAUUAAAUUUUGCAUAGAAAUUCGUUGUAGGAUAGAAAAGAUUAAAAUUUAGAUUGAAAAACAUGUGAGAGUUCAAAUAAAUUAAUAGUAUACGCACCUCUCUAUGAAUACAAUAUUUGUAAAAUAAGUAAUCGAGACAUUUUGGGGAAGAAAUUAAAUAGAAAUCUUGUGGAAGGUCAACUUUAUUUUGUACUGUAGUAUUUAUAUGAAUAUAAAUAUAUUACAUACAUACAUAAAUUAAGAUUAGAUUUAGGUUUAAAUAUAUUCAAAUUAGCAAAGCGAGCCUCCUACUUCUCUUUAGAAAGCCUUACUAGUCAUGCGUGAAAGCCAUUGCGUGCUACCAGCGUACUAGAUGUGGUGCGCUAGCGCGUCUAUAAAGUAAGACUCUUCCAUGGAAUUGUACUCCACAAGCCUUUAUUUAAAAUGGCGGGAGAAGGAAUGGUUGGCCAAUCUAUCACCCCUGAGAGUUGCUUUUCGUCCUGUGAUUUCUUACUUAGGAAUAAAUGGAGUAAGGGCACAACCGAAUGGCCCGAUUGAAGGGAAAGGAGGGGAACGUGUUACGUACUUGGAAGGAGAAGGAGAAAGUCCCACUUAUAUUUAAAAUUGAAUAUUUUAUCCAUAAAGAUGAAGAUAACUUUAUUGGAGUUCCGCUUAUUCCUCCUCCUAAAGAUAAAGAAGUACUUGCCAGAAAUCUCUGAUUAGGUCGGUACAAUAAAAAUAGACGGGACUUUUGGGGCUGACUUACAGUAAAGAUUUAACUCCUUUAAAGAUCUUUUACUGCAUGAUUUCUAUAUAUCUCUUUUCAUUAUCGGUUGCAUUCUAUCAUAGAAACAACAACGGGAGCUUCAAUCAAAAGUAUUUAGCGAGCAUCCGCUUCAAUGAUAAAGCAAAUAAGCAAGAAAAAUCUCAUUCUAUUUUCAUGUGCAAUUUCGAAAAGAAUCUAGUAAACUUGUCUCUUAAAUAAAAUAUAGAAUCUUUGAUAGCAUUUUCAGUAUCUAUCAUUUCAAAGGCACACAAAUUGAAUCCUCAGUUCAUGUUCAUUAAAAUACUAAGCACGUUCACCAUUCAAUUGUUAAAUUAUGUCACCAAUAAGUUCUUGUUUCAAUUUUCGGUAUUAAAGUUACUGACCGUAAAAGUCCAUUCUUCUUAUAAUUUCAGUGUUUCAAACAUUUGAAAAUGAGAUUGAACUUUUUUAGUAUCUUUUGUUCGAAUUGACAUUAAAAUUCACAUAGGAAAGUGUUCAAUACUCCCCUAAAACUGGAAGAAUCCACUUAUGUUGGUUCAUGCAGGAGAUUGACAUCUCGUUUUUAAUGCUUUAAUCAAAUAUAAACAAUUUAAUAGAUGCAAAUGUUUCUCAAGCACAAUUAACGAGCAUCAUUAGAGUUAGUAAUUGUUGCAUCCAAAGUUUUCAAUAAGACAUAUGCAUAUAUAAUCAUAAUCAUAUGCAUAUGGAUAUAGAUAUAUAAGAGAUAAGUAAGUAAGGACAAUUCAUUUGAAUGCGCACCUUAAAGGGAAAUUUGAUCACCCAAGAAGGACGUUCAGGCCAUCUCAGUUUGUCAGGAAGAUAGAUGGGAUCUUGGAAAGAAUUAUGCACAUUAAUCAUGAUGACCAACCUCAACCUUCUGAUGUUUGUGAAAGGACUGGGAUCUAUGUACAUUACUUCCGCCUUGGGUAAAAUCAAAACUAUGGCUUUUACUUCAUUUGUUCCCUGCAUUUAUAGAACUUGCAUUGCAAUUAAUAUAUGAAAUCAGAGAAAAAGAGAGUAAAAUCAGUGUUUAAACCACCAAAACUUACCAUAUCCCCUGAUAGAACACCACGGACAUCUUCACAAAGCCAUAACCUGCUGUGCCUUCUAGGAUCAUCGCAACAUUCUUGUUUAACAAUAUCCAUGACCAUCAACUGAAUCAAGUCAUGCAUAUGUAUUGUCUUGCAAUCUUCAAUCAUUAAGGACGUAUCAUCAAGAGUUGUUGUCUUGCAUUCUUCAGUUAUUAAGGCCUUAACAACAACAACUUGUACUCCAAUAGUUGUGUCAAAGUCGCAACUGUUAAGGACAUUCAGGACGUACUCUAUAGAUCGUCCCUUGAAGAAAUGUGUGAUAUCAACGAAUAUCUCAUUUGCAUAGUCCUGUAGUGCAUCAUAAGAUGACUUGAGAACAUCAUCGAUGUCGAUGUUUUCAUUAGGACUUUUAGCAAGUUCAUUCAAUGUGCUUUCCCACUCCUGUUCUUUUCUUCCACAUAGACAAGAGCCCAAUAUCUCAAGUGCUAAAGGAAGUCCAUUAGCAUAAUGCAAAGCACUAUCCACAAGAUCCCUCCUUAUCACUAUUUCCUUACUUCCAAGAAAAGCAUGUUUAUCGAAAAGUUCAAGAGCUUCCAAAUCAUCUAGAGUUUCAACUUCAUAGAUAUGAUCUUCAUCUAUCCCAUGGACAGUUAAUAGAUGGUAAUCUCUUGUCGUGAUGAUGAUUCUGCUUCCUUUACCAAACCAUUCGCACUUUCCAGCUAAAACAUCUAACUGUUUCACAUCAUUGACAUCAUCGAGAACAAGGAGAACUUUUUUGUGGCAAAGUCUAUCUUGGAUCAAAUUGAUACCUCCAUCAACAUUAAAAACUGUUAAUCCUUUUCCUAGUAAUAACUCAGACAACAAUUUUUCUUGCAAAUGAACUAAAUCCUCGGAAUCUUUUGAAGUUUCCCGAACAUUUGCCAAAAAACAAGAAGCCUUAAAUCGUCUAAAAUGAUCAUUAUAAAGGGCUUUGGCUAAUGUUGUUUUUCCUAUGCCUCCUUGUCCCCAUAAUCCUAUCAUGAGAACAUCAUCUUCAGACUCAAGAUUUAACAUUGAUUCCAGCUUUACCACUUGUCGAUGUAUUCCAACCGGAUGCUUGGCAACGUGUAACAGUUUUCGGUCCAGCUGCAUAGAGAUCUCCCGCACAAUUCUGUUGAUAAGAUCUGCUUCAUCUCUGACAAAAUCCAGAAAGGUACUAGAUACAUCAAUUUCCAAAGAUAAUUAACUUUCAUGGAAAAAGAAGAAGAGAUUCAGCAUAUAAAAAAGAAAAAAACAGAGCAGUGUUACAUCAAUCACUACUUAGUACUUACUUAUCCUUCAAAUCCCACCCAGACAAUCUACCCGCAUCAAGGAGAGCCUUUUUCCAUCUCUUCACUUUCUCCGAAUAUUUCCCAAACUUGCUCUCAUGCUUUUUCAUAGCUUCUCGGUAUCUGUUUCUUGGUGUUCUCAUUUCUCUAGGAUCCACUUUGUAAAACACCGGAAAUACCGUGAGUCCUCUUUGCUCCUUGCACUCCAUGAUUUUCUCCACCUCUUCCAAACACCACGGUGAGGAAGCAUAGUCCUCGGAGAAAAUGAUGAUUGCAAUGUGUGAGUCCUCGAUUGCCUUAAUAAGUGCCGGUGUUAUUUGUUCGCCUUUCCGAAGCUCCUCGCUAUCAAUGUAAGUGUAGAUUCCUUUCUGAUCAAGAGCUGCAUAGAGAUGACCGAGAAAGUUGUUUCGAACGUCCGUACCUCGGAAACUCAGGAAGACGUGGUAAUUUGCUUUCAGAUUCGAAGAAGCGGCCUUUAGAGAAGAUGAAGGUUGAUGUGCUUCCUCAGAAUGCUUAGUGUCUGGUCGGGUUGCAGCUUUAUCUCUCAUGUGGAUAUCACUUUGUACUAAUAAAGAAAUAGAAACGAAAACCAAGAUCAUUUAUGAUGCUCCGAGUCGAUAAGCACGGUCUCCAACAACUAAUUUAACAAAAAGCAGCAUUUUGCAUAAGGUGCACUGAACCAUCUUAUAUAGGUGCUUCUUGACUUGACUUUUCCAUUAAUAAAAGAAACAGAAAAGAAAACUAGCAACACUCCCAUGCUCCUAGUGCUAAUAUAAAUGAGUCAAUCGCAAAACACCGCCUGUUGGAAUAUUAUUUAUAAUGAACAAUCUGACUUUUUUUCUUUCAAAAGGGAUUCUAGAAAAGCAAAUCCCAAAAUAAAUUUUCCUCACUUCUCAAACUAAAAUUUUCCAUCCCAUGUCUUGCAUUGGACAGAACAAAUUCGAAUCUGGUCAGGCAUUUCUUCAAAGACGUAGUGGGCAGCGAGUUGGAGAGCGAAUAUGGACCUACUCGGAGAUCGAGCUCACACUUAAACUCAAGAGAAAUCAGCGAGCAGUGUUCAAACUUAAGAAAAACCGACUCAUUUAGAUCCGACGCGAGUGAGGACUAAAGAAAUCGAGCUUGCUUUGCUCUUUUAAAAUCAAGCAGGAGGAGGCAAAAAAAAAGAAGAAGAAGGAAGGAACGAGAACUCAAUCGCAGGGGCCCUACCUGGCUUAGCUUCCCCGGGCAUCGUUGGCGGCGAAGGUUGAGAAUAGCGACUCCAAACUCGUGUCAGGCUUCAGUCGACUCCAUCGAGGUCAGGGACGGCGACGACGAAUGGCAGCGGGCGGACGAUGCUCUGGAGGUGGCGGACGACGUAGAUCGGCUGUGGCUCUGAGGUUUUGUGUGGGGCUUCAAAGGCAAUCGUUCACGGAGUAGAGAAAGACCAAAAUGCUUCUUCUUUUUUCUCCCUUUUUCGUGAGAGAAAAGAAGUAGGUGACAGUGAAGGAAGGAGUGAGGUAGGAAUCCGGGAAUGGGAUGCGAGAGGUGUCGCCGGCGGGAGGUAGUCGGACGGAGAUGGUGGAGGUGGCUGGUCAGGUAAGCUCAGGAGAAAGGGUGGGGAACGCUUUUUUUUUUUUUUUCCUUUCCAGAAAAAUCUCCCUGAAGAUGGUGGUCUCCGCUUCCUCCCUUUUCGAGAACGCCCUGCUUUAUAUAUAUAUAUGGGAAAUUGUGUCUCUUUUAAGAGAGAGCGGGAGAGAUCCCUAGAAAGAACUUCCCUUUCAGAUUCGAAGAAGCAGCUACUAGAGUAGAUGAAAGUCGAUAUGCUUCCGCAGAAUGCUUGCCGUCUGGUUGGGUUGCAGCUUUAUCUCUCUCGUGUAUAUCACUUUGUUCUUUUUGACCAUGACUUUCUUGAAUCACGCGGCAGUGAUAAUCAAAGAAAGCCAUAGAAAAGAAAGUAAAGGUGAAUUAUUGCCAGCAUAAUUUCCACGGAAGGUUUACGUGUGUCCUUUCUUUCUUUUCCUCUGUUUACUUGACUUGCUUUUUCUAUUAAUAAAAAAAUAGAAACAAAAAUCAACGAAUCAUUUUUGACGUUUCAAGUCAGUAAGAACGUAUUUAGUAAUGAUUCUAUUCCCGAAAACAUAUUCUGAUAAAAAAAUGAUUCUUUUUUAUUAUGUUUUCAGAAACAAUUUCUAAGCAUUUUAAGCCAUUUGGUAACUGUCCAAAAUUUAUGAUUCUGAAAUAGAAUUGCAUUUAGUGCCGUGCUUAUUGAUUCUGUUUUAAAUCAACUUUCUUUUAAUUUUUAAAUAUUUUUUAUAACUUUUUUACUUUUUUUUCUUUUAUUUUUUCCUUUUGUUCUUUUUUUUUUGUUUUUUCCUUUUUCUCCUAUUCUUCUUCUUCUUGUAGCCAGUGGCCGGAUUGGCGACCGGUUAGACGAGGGUCGGCAACCUCACCGAAGCGUCGCCGGCCCUCGGCGAGGCGAGCCGGGGCUAGGCGUCGUGAGGCUUGCCCAGCCUCGCCGACGAGCCUUACCAGGGCUAGGCAAGGCCCGCCUAGCCACCGGCGAGGUCGAGCCUGGCUAGUGGCUGGACUUGCCUCCGGCGAGCUCGCUAGACCUCGCCCUGGCCUAGCAAGCCUCCGCGAGCUCGCCGGACCAGUUGCUGGUGACUGGCGGCGACAGCGGACAGCGGCAGCGGGAUAGCGGUCGAUGAAGAAGAAGAGUUGGUUUUGAUUCUUUUUUUUGUUCCCGAAACAAAAAUCAUUUUUUUAUUCUUAAUUCUAUUCCAAAUCUGUUCCCGGAAACAAAAAUUUUAACAAACGCGAUUCUGUUCCAAAAUUACUCCCAAGAACAAAAAAAAUCAAAAUUGAGUACUAUUUGGCACGUUGCCAAACAGGCCCUAAAGCAUAUAGUCCACCAACUAAUUUAUUAAAAAGCAACAUUUUGCAUAAGCGGCAUGGAACCAUCCUAUUUAGUGCUUCUCGACUUAGACUUGGCUUUUUCAUAAAUUAAAGAAAUAUUAAAGAAAGCUAGCUAUACUCUCGUGCCCUUGGUGCUAAUAUACAUUAGUCAAUCGCAAAAAUAUCGCCUGUUGGAAUAUUAUUUAUAAUGAACAAUCUGACUUCAAAUUUCAAAAUAAAUUUUCCUCAAUUUUCAUACUAAAUUUUUCCAUAUCAUAUCUUGCCUAAAAAUUAUUGAGUCAUCACCCCCUCAGCCUAGUCACUUUGAUCUCACUCCUUUUCAACAUUUUACAUUUAUUUCAUACUUUUAAUGUCACAUUUAGAAUUUCUUAUCUAACAGGUUAGGAAAAUGCUUGUGUGACCAUCUAUUGCAGAAUAACGGUGGAACUAUCAAAGGCUAGUCACACAUCCUUUUAUUAGGAAACUAGUGGAUUUACUCAACCGGUUUAAUCAUUGACUCCUUGUUUUGUUCUUCUUCAUUUUUUUUUACCUCUAUGUCCCUUACGACAACCUCAAAUUUCAAAGACAAAAUUAGAAGGCCAUGUUGAAUCUUUUUUUUUUUUUCAAGAUUAUGACUUUCAUUUGUUUCUUUAAAUGAGGCAAGAAAAUCGUUCUCUUCUUAUGGCUUUUUCAUAUGGCGAAUGCAUUUUUUUCUCUACUAAUUGUUUUUGGAAUUCUCUACUAACUCAUUAUUCUUAUUUUGAUCUUUUCUUUACUUCAUUUUUCUAUGCAUAAUUGAUAUCAAUUGUAUAAAUUUUAGUUCAUCUGAGAGUCCUUCAAAAGCAUUUUGGUUUGAGCAAAGGAAUGAUGAGCAAUUUCAUUGCACAAUAAUUUUGUUAUGAGUUGCGAAGUCAAUGUUUUAAGUGUUUUUUCAUUUUUUUUUAAAUUUAAUGUAUUCAUAAUGACAUUAAUUAUUAUUUUAGUAAGCUAUAGUUUUUUUACUUAUAAUUAUUUAUAUUUCCUUCUUUAUUUUAUUUUUUCUUUCUUCAUAUUCAAGAAAAUUGAUUUCGUGGGUCUUCUUCUGAUUUUGUCUCUAAAUUUGAGCUUGUUGUCGGUAUUUAAGUAUUUGGCAUAGAAGAAGAAAAAAACCAAAAAAUGAAAUAUGGGGUCACAAAUUAAAACUGGUUAUUGGUUUCCUCCAAAGGAUUUGCCGUUGACUGUUCCACCGUUAUUCUGAAGCGGACGGUCAUGCUGGCCACUCCCAGAAUGCUUGCCGUCUGGUUGGAUUGCAGCUUUAUCUCUCAUGUAUAUAUCAUGUAUAUAUCACUUUGUUCUUUUGACCAUGACCUUCUCAAAUCACGCGGCAGUGAUAAUCAAAGAAAACCAUCAAAAAGAGAAGUAAAGGUGAAUUAUUGCACGCGAAAUUUCCGUGGAAGGUGCAUAAAAUUUUCGCGGGCCCUUUCUUUCUUUUUCUUUGUUGACUUGACUUUGCCUUUUCCACUAACGAAGAAACAAAAGCGAAAACCAACCAUCAUUUCUAAUGUUCAGACCAAAAAAAAAAAAUGUUUAGAGUCGAUUAGCAUAUUUUCUACCAUUUAAUUUAAUAAAAAGCAGAUAGCCAAUAAAAAGAAAAUUAAAGGACAAUCAAUGCAAGUGUCACUUCCAGGGCAUUUUAUAUAAGGUAUGUGGAAUCAUCCUAUGUGGUGCUUUUUGACUUGAUUUGACUUGCCUUUAACAUUAAUAAGAGAAAUAGAAAAGAAAACUAACAAUACUCCCUAAGGGUAAGGUAUGCAAUGGGAAUCGCUCCAAUCAGGAUUGGAUCAGAGCGAUCAGUUCUGGACAAUCUUAAAGGGUGCCGAUCCGAUCCCCAAUUUCUAUUUUUGGAAUCGGUGGCUGAUAAGUUCCGUUCCUGUUUCCAAGGUAGGAAUUGAACUAAUAGGACCGGACCAACCAUUCAUGCAUCAUUUUAAUUUUUAAAAAAUUUCUGAAUGACCAUUCUACCAUUGGCCCAAUUAGGGCGCAUUUGUUUAAAAUUGUUUCUAUUCCCCGGAAUACAAUUUUUUGUUAUUUUGUUCCGAGGAACAAAAAAAGAACAGAAAUACGUUUGUUUAUACUUUUGUUAUUUUUGGUAACUCAAGAAAUCCCGUAAGCCGACAACCGGCGAGCAAACCCUGGGAAGCAACUGUAGGACCCACCACCAUAGUACUCAAAGUAAGAAUCUCUAACGACGCCUCUAGGAUUCGAACUUCUCCCCUUCAUGAGGGGGAGAGAGCCCGAACCAGUUGCGUCGCUAAGGGUGGUGGUUGUUUACACUUUUGUUCCCGGAAACAAAAAAAUUAUUUUUUUAUUCCUAAGGAACAGAAACAAGAAGUAGAAAAAACUUAUUUCUUGUUCUCGGGAACACUUCUGAGAAACAUUUUUUUUUCUUCUUCUUUUUUCUCUUUCUUUUAUUCUUCUUCUUCUUCCUUUUGCCGGUCACUGGCCUUGGCCAUGGCCGGCGACCUCACCUGAGCGUCGCCAAGCAACGGUGAGGCUCAACCUCUUCAGCUGGCGCAAGGCCGGGCCUUGCUAGGCCAAGGCGAGGCCAACCUCACACCACCUGGGCGAGGCCAAGCCUCGCCGGUGGCCUGGCGAGGCUCGCUUGGCUAGCGGCAAUCUCGCCAGGCCACCGGCAAGAGCGAGGCUCGACUUCGCCCAGAUUUGAUGAGGCUCGCCAGACGUUGCCCAGCUGGUCACCGGUCAUGGUUGUGGUCGGCCAAAGAGAAAAAGAAAAAAAAGAAAAAUAUAAUACAAGUAUUGAAAAAUUUUAAAAAAAUAAAAAAAUAUACAAAUUUACCAAAUAUUUUUGUGUUUCUAUUCUUUUUAUAUUCCAGGAACAUAAAUUUUGUGCAGUUACCAAACGCGUUCUUCUGUUAAAAAAUUAUUCCCCGAAACAGAAAUAGUUUUUUAUUUUAUUUCUGUUCCCGGGAACAAUUUUUGAACUGAAACGUUAUUAAAAUGCGCUCUUACUUUCCCAACUCUUUCCCAUUAUGCCAUCACUUUCCCAUGUCUUUCCCUUCUGCCAUUACUUUCCCCAUUUCUUUCUCUUCCACUUCUCUUUUGCUAACCCAAACCGUGUGAAAUCAGCCCUUUCAUAGUUUCCCUUUUGCAAGCACAGCCACACCUCACGCCUUGGUUCGAGUGAGUUGCUCGACUCUCGCAGCCUCACCUCCCUAUCGCUCGACAUCCUCUCACGGCCUCACCUUAGGCCUCCUUUCCUUCUUGUGGCCUCGCCUUCCGCCUCACUCAAUGUCCUCUCAAGGCCUCACCUCAUGCCUUGCUCGUCGAGCUUUCCCUCUCACCUCACAGCUUGAUUGUCAAUAUAAUGACAACAAGUGAUUUGGUCCAUUGGAAUUGAUCCGGUCCGGUUCUUAGUUCUCGGACCCAUUGGUCCUGUCCAUGGUCCCAAAAAAUGGGAACCGGUCCUCUCGGUCCAAUUCUCGAUUCUUGGAUGGGACUGGAUUGGACCAUUAACCAAUCACUUCUUAUACUCACAUGCUCCUAGUGCUAAUAUACGUGAGUCAAUCACAAAAACAUCAGCCGUUGGAUAAUUAUUUAUAAUGAACAAUUUGACUUUUUCUGUUUCAUAAGGGAUCCUAGAUAAGCAAAUCCCAAAAUAAAUCUUCCUUACUUUUCAAAUUAAAUUUUUCCAAGCCAUAUCUUGCCUAAAAAUUAUCAAGUCAUUACCCCCUCAUCAAGUCACUUUGAUCUCACUCCUUAAAUUAUUUUUGUUUUUGACAUUUUACAUUUAUUUUAUACUUUUAAUGUCACAUUUAGAAGUUCUCAGCUAAUGGGUUAUCCACGUCGAAUAACUAUUUAGGGAAUACUUUUUUACUUUUAUCUCAUUCUUGUCGACCCUUUUAUUCCAUCUCAACACUUUCGGUUUUCUUAACCUCUCAGUUAAAAUUAUCACUUAUUCAUCUGAAGGUGUUUGUCAUUAGUGAUCGAAUAUUAUAAACCAACUAUAUUUAUGUAUUAGUCUUAUCUUCUAGUAAAAAUUGGAGCUUUACGACUUUGAAUAGCAAUGACGUAUAGAGGAUUCAUGAAAUGGGAUUUUCUAUUUCAAUGUCUCAGUGACAUUAUUUAGUGUAUGUACAACUACUUUUCCGCGACGUUCUUAUGUAGGAGCUUUUGGACACUUCUUGCUGAUAAAAGGAUCGCGAAAGGUGGAGAUUUUUAUUUUGCAUGGGUUAUAGUUUGAUUAGGGAAAAAGUAUCAAAAAAGUCAUAAAUCUAUGACAUUGACAUCAAUUCAGUCCUAAACAUUUCAAUUGGACCAUUGUAGUUAUAAACAUUUUCACAUUGGUAUCAUUUCAAUCAUCUGGCUAAUUUUGGCUUGCAUGUAAAUGCCAACCAGUGCUAGCCAGCCAGCAAACACUAAUGUGGCAAUUUUUAAAUAUUUUUAUUGUUAUUUUUUCCCAUUUUUUAUAUAAAAAAUUCAUCUUUUUCCUUUUCCUUUUCUUUUUCCUCUCCUUCCUCUUGGCCUUCUUCUCCCGCAAUGGUUGAUAAGCCUUCAAGCGAGGGCUGUGAAGCCCUUGCCGCCCGUUAGUAAGAGUCGAGGGCCUCGCCUAGGGCCGUGGGCGAGGCUACCUCUCUUGCGGCCUCGCCCACGGCUAGGCCAUGGCAAGGCUGGCCUCGCUUGCGGCUUUGGGUGAGGUUGGGUGAGGGUUACGAAGCCCUUGCCAACAACUAGCAAGUCACUGGAGGCUCGCCGGCCGCUGCGAGAGAAGAAGGCCAAGAGGAAAAAGAGGAAAAAAAAAAAAAGAGGCAAAAAAAGGAAAAAAAGGAAAAAAAUUGAAAAGAUAAAAAAUUAUUAAAAAGUUGCCACAUUAGCAUUCACUAGUCGGCUGGCAUCCACAUUAGCGUCAGCCAAUUAAAAUUGACUAGAUGGACUGAGUUGGUACGAAUGUGAAAAUGUUUAAGAUUAAAUUAGUCCAAUUAACAUGUUUAAGACUGAAUUGAUACCAAUACUAUAUGACUUUUUUUGUACUUUUCCCGUUUGACUAGUGGAUGAUGUUGUGAGAACUUGCGAUUUGAGUCAUUUCGAUUGUUUUUUUUCUCCUUUCAUAUCAAAUGAUAAUUACUGAAUCAUUUGAUAUAAAGUUUUUGUGUUCUAUCUUGGGUUGAAUUAUUGAAUUCACCUAGUACUAUAAUAGUAUUUUGGAGCUUCGUACAGAGCAUUAUGGAGAGUUCGCAUGUGGCUCAUUUGAUGGUUGCCAACUCACUUUCGUUUGCUUUAAUUUGUUCAUCCUUUUUUCUCUUCAUUCCAAGAAAUAACUUAUUAACUAUAAAGAGUACUUUAUCUGAACGUGAAUGUUCAAUGCAUGUAGGGAAAAGUAUCAAAAAAGUCAUAAACCUAUUGUAUUGAUACCGGUUUAGUUUUAAUAUUUUCAAUUUGACUAAUUUAGUAUAAACAUUUUCACAUUGGUACAAAUUUAGUUCAUUUGGCCAAUUUAGGUAGACAAUUGCUGACUUAAAUGCCGAAAGUCCUACUUGGUAGGGUGGUAUUGAUGUGGACACUUUAAAAAAAAAAUGUUUUUCAAUUUUUUUAUUAAUUUUUCUUCUCUUUUCAUUUUUUUUCCAAUCCUUUCUCUUUUUUUCUUUUUCCUUAUUUCCCUCCAUUGCUAGUCCCCACCUCCAUGAGGGUUGCUAGAGAUUGCCAACGGCCAAGGAGGGCAAGGGCCGAGACACCUUGCGAGCCUUUUGGCAAGGGCCAGUGAGGGCCGGCGACACCAUCAUAGGCCUUGCUUGGGUGAGAGCCUUUGCCACUGCCAAAGGCCUACAAGGUUGCCCCUUGGCAGCCUCUAGUGAUGGUCAAGCGAGGCUCUCUUCGCCAAAUUUGGUGUAGGAUAGCUUCCCCAACCUUAGCCAAAGGCCGACGAGGGCAUCUUAGCCCUUGCUCUCGUCAACGAUCAGGGAUCUCCACUGGCACCAUGGAGGUGGCGAUUGGCGGCGGAGGAAAAUAAGAGAAAAAGAAAAAAGAGAAAGGAAAGCAUAAAAAAAAAGGAAAAGAAAAGAAAAUUGGGAAAAAAUAAAAAAAUAUAUGAAAAAACAUAAUAAUUGUCCAUGUUAACAUCCGCUGUACCAUAUAGGAUAACUGGCAUCCAGGACAAUAAUUUCUGGCCUAAAUUGGCCGGAUGAAUUUAAUUGGUACCGAUAUGAAAAGGUUUAUGAUCGAAUUGAUCCAAUCAAAAAGUUUAAGAGUGAAUUGAUAUAAAUACAAUAAGUUUAUGACUUUUUUAGUAUUUUUCCCCCUUUGAAGAUUUGUGUAUUGAAUCCUAAACCUAUUAUUUGGAUAAUUAGUCAAAAGAAUUACAUUAGCAAAUUGUCAAAAGAUUUAGAACUAGGCAAAUUGUUAAAGAUUUUUUUACUAAAUUGACAUAAUUGAAAGGUUUGGAACUAAAUUAACAAAUGUCAAAAGGUUUAGGAUUAAAUUGAUGCAAUUGAAAUUAGAACUGAAUUGGUCCCUGUACAAUAAGUUCAACACUUUGUGGACAAUUUUCUUGAUAUGGAACAUUGAUGUCACUUUUAUAAUGUAUCUUUGCCUUAAAGAAGCACCCAUGCAACGAUGAUAAAUUUACGUACAACACUCAUUUCAUCAGUAAUUUAGAAGCCCUUAAAAAAGUUCAUGUGUCUUUUUGUUGAAAACAAAACCAUUUCAUUUCACCAAGGUUAAGCUCGGUGACAACUAAAGGGCUUCGGCACAUACAAGAUUCCAAAGGGUUUCGGGAGGGUUAAAGACCCAAUUGUAGGGCAAAGAUUUGCAUCUUUAGGCCUUAACAAUCUGGUGCCACUUGAUUUACAUUCGUAUUACAAUGGGCCAAAAGAACAUUAAGAAAAUGGGCCAGCGGACGCUGCAUUCAGUAAUAAGCGAAGUGGCUUCCCACGGAAAAGUAUCUAAGACAAUUUAUCGAGGUCAGGUCAAGUUGUCGGAUUAUAGCAAAGUACUUCACUUUGUCUUCUUCCCUUCGAGCAUAAAGUAGCUUCAGAGUUUCGAGGCAAGCCAGGGUUUCAACAUUCAUAGCUGAACUUUCCUUCACCAAUUUAACGAACCCAUCCGAUCUUGCCUGAGAAGUUGCGGCAAACACCGGCGAUGGAACCUUUUGUCAAGCCUUUAGCUGAUCAAAGAGUCUUUACAUGUUACAGUCUUACAGAGACCCUCCUAAACCAAGUUUAUAGCUAGUUACGCAUGAUAGCUAUCAUAUGUCACAUAUGUGGAUUUGGAAGCAAUGUGCCCAACCCUUCCCAUGAUAUAUUCGCCAUAUUUUAUUAAUAGAGAAGCCAACAAACUUUAGUAUAAUUCAUUACUAUUUUAGAAAUGGAUAUAAUAAUAUUGAAAUUUUUUUUAUCCAAAAGGAACUUUGCUUAGAGCGGCCUGGAUCUUAUUGUGAUGGCUGAAUAGCAUCCUUCAGGAUCAACGUCUUUUUUUUUUUCUUUUCAAUAUCUACGGUCUUUUUUCCCUGGAAAAGAUCUUCUGCCAACUUUAUCCAAGUCACCAUCAAAAUUUAUUUAAUUCAUAUCAAAGAUACACUGAUGCCACACCCUUAUUUCGUGCAAUAAAGCAAGAUUUGCGCUCCACCCACUGCACAUCUCAAAUUUUAUCUCCUCCCAAAUAUUCUCCCCCAAUUAGAAGCUUACUUUUAGGCCAAUGAUAAAUCCUAGAUAGAUCAAGUAAAGAACAUGGGAAUUUCACUUUAAAAAAAAAUCAUAUUUGCCAAGGUUGAAUAAAGAACAGAAAAAUUAAAGCAAAUAUCGUUGGUGUAAAUUUUGUUCACAAAUGGUCUCACCCAACGCCAUCCCAUCCAAAGAGAACCCAUGGAAAAGAAAGAUUUUACCUGAUCCGAUAUGUGACCUUUGCCGAGAUAAAAUGGAAACGGCCGAACAUAUCCAUCUUCUUUGCCCCUGGACUGCAAGGGUAUGGAGCCACUUGGAAAUCAACCUACAAGUGAAUGCAUAGGAGGUUACACAAAUUGAUGAGUGCCUGGCGCGAUUUAUAAGGAAAGACACGCACCUACCGUCCUUGGAAACGAUCUCAAACAUCCUAUGGCGGGUAUGGAAGGAGCGAAACAACUAUAUAUUUCGAGGUACUAAGUCGGAUGCCUACAAAGUGGUAAAUUUGGCCCGAUUUCAGCAAGAUAGCUACAAAAAAUGGGGCUUUAUGCAUCUUCAAGCAGGAAAGGAAGAGGAAAUUGAGACAUCUCCAAUCUAGAUAGCUCCGGCAGCAAAAUCCUUGAAGCUUUAUGUCGACGGGUCGAUCUGCGAGGGGUCGACAGAAGGAGCUGUCGCCUGCAUCAUCCGGGAUUCCUCCGGUAGCCUUGUGGAUCGCUUCACCAAACCAGUUUGGGCGGUAUCGAUUUUUCAGCUGGAAACCCUAGUAGUGCUCGAAGCUUUGAAGUACAUAAAACAGAAGCAGCUGGGGGUGGCUUUGAUGGAGUCUGAUAGCAGAAGUCUCGUGAAGUCCCUCAAGUACAUUGAUGAGUUCAACUGGGAAGCACAUGCGACGUGGACAGAAUGCAAGCAGCUUCUUCAACAAUUGUCGCUAGUGGGCCUACACUCCUAUCCUCGAUCUGCUGGCACUGUGGCAGACUGGGCCGCGCAACAACAAAGGAAAAAUACACUUCCUCCCAACUGGCUGGCUUCUCCACCUCUAGGCCUUCGGGCCUUAUUAUGUAAUGAUGCCCCAUCUAUUGGGUAUGCUGGUUUAGUUAUAAUAUAAAUAAUAUGCCUCAUUUCGACCCAAAAAAAAAAAACUACCACUAAUCUGAGGAGGAUUAGUGAAAUAAUGAAAAAUUACAAUCCCCAAAUUAAUGAUGAAUAAAAUCAUCUAUUGAAGUAUUUUUUAACACCGAUGAGGUAUGUUAUGAUUAACCAUCGGGCCUUAUUAAUUCUACGAAAAAGUUUGUGCAUACAUAUACACAAUGAUUGGACAAAAACUUGCAAUAAAACCAUAAACACGCUCCAUCCUUGAGCCAUAAGGACUACCGACACGAACAAAUAUCAUCAAUGUCAAUCGUUGGAUUUUUAAACUCGAUUACAUGCAUGAAAAUCGCUUUCAUUCAUCGAUUUUUUGCUUUUUUUUUCCUCUCAAUUUCUCUUAGCUUGAGGAAUUCCUCGACUCACAAAUUAUUCGAUUUUAUCAGCUUAAUGACUUAUUUUUGCUCUCGUCUGUCAUCUUUUUCUCUACUCCCAUUGUCUAUGAAAUGGAUUUAACUUUGAUUGCCCCGAAUCAACUCCCUCCAGAAAGCAAAACCUUGAAACUUCGAGGAUAGAAGUCCACGCGGCGCCACGCAAUUGGCACUGGGAAUCACACAGAGAAAAGGUUGGAAGUUAAGACCCUUUUCUCUUUCAUGCACGCAAGAAAUGUCAGAUGAGAAAAAACGUGAGUGGCCGUAGUCAAAGCCAACAAGGUGAACGACAGAGAGAAGAGAAAGGGUUGUCGUUUUGCAGCGGUUUGCGGUCGUAUGUUGAAUGAGAGAGAGAGAGAGAGAAGGGGGUGUUGGUUUGUUUUUGCAGGGGGUUUGGUGGGUGGUAACUUCAACCGGCAUGUUAAAGAAGACCGGAGAGAGACUGGUCAAAUCCCCGGUCAGAACUUACAUUUUCUUCUCUUCUUGAAAGGAGCCCAUCACGAUGUUAAUAGUGUUAGCUAGGUUUACUCCUAUGUGGAGGAUGCCCAAUGAGUUGCAAGCCUAAAAAGGGCUUGAGCCCAUAUAAUAAGUUAUAUGAGGAAAUAGAGUUUUUCACUAUCUAUAUAAAGAGGUAUUCGCAGAAAAUGAAACAGCAAUAAGAGAAAAAGAGAAAGCAGAAAAUCUUGGGUUUGGGGCAAUAUCUAAUUUACAUCAAGCUGGCGUCGGAGGUUGAUUCGUGAUCCGAUUGAGCUGAAAUUUUGUCAGCAUGUUCGUGGCGCAAUUUUAUCGAAUCUGAACGAUUUGAUUUUCGUUUGAAGCUCCCUACAUUAGGUUUUUCAUGGAUUGAUUAAAACCUGCGUUUUUGGUCAGAUUUAUCUUUGAUCUCUUGUGAAGUUCAUGUGUAUUGCCAAGAAUUAUAUUCUUGAGGUGUUUGCUGCUAUGUACCUCUAGUAUUUGCUAGAAAAGAACAAUUUUGUUGAUAGUGAAGAAUUUCGGGUGGACUCCGAUCCCGUGAUUUUUUAUCUACUCACAUCGAGGAGGUUUUCCACGUAAAAAUCAUCUUGUGUUCGUGUGCUUGGUAUUUAUUUUACUCUACUAUAUCGAUUCCUAUUAGGUUUACACAAGAGGGGAGAUUAUUUUAUUCCGCUGCGUUGAUUCGAUAUUGUUCGAAUUAUUACCAUUCUCCCAUCAAAGUGGUAUCAGAGCAACAAGUUAUUGCUUGAUUUUUCUGCCUUGUGUUAAACAAUGGAAACGAAUACAAGUAGAAUGGUUACAUUGAAUGGUUCGAAUUAUCAUAUUUGGAAAGGAAAGAUGGAAAAUCUUUUAUAUGUGAAAGAUUUUUAUUUGCCUGUAUUUGCUGAGGAGAAACCAGAGAAUAAAACUGAUGUUGAAUGGCCUAUAUUUCAUCGUCAAGUGUGUGGUUAUAUCAGGCAGUGGGUAGAUGAUAAUGUUUUGAACCAUAUUAUUGAGGAAACACAUGCACGUAGUUUAUGGGAUAAGCUCGAACAGUUAUAUGCUCGAAAGACUGGGAAUAAUAAGUUGUUUUUGAUAAAACAAAUGAUGGCUCUGAGAUAUCAUGAUGGUACUCGUUUGACUGAUCAUUUAAAUUCUUUUCAAAAAAUUAUAAAUCAGUUAGCUGCGAUAGGAAUCAAGUUUGAUGAUGAGAUACAAGCACUAUGGUUGCUUAGUACUUUGCCAGACUCAUAGGAGACGUUCCGAACAUAUUUGUUUAAUUUUGCCCUAGAUGGUACGAUUAUCAUGGAUUUGGCCAAGAGUAGUAUUUUGAAUGAAGAGAUGAGAAGGAAGAUACAUGGAUCGUCUUCUUCACAUUCUAAUGCCUUGGUUGUUGAGAAAAGGGGAAGAGUGAGUCUCGAGGUCCGAGAAAUAGAGAUAAAAUUCGAGACAAAAGCAGAGGUAAGUAUAAUAAAUUUGCUAAUGUUGAGUGCCAUUAUUGUCAUCAGAAAGGACAUAUUCAGAGGUUUUGUCGCCAGUUAAAAAGGGAGAAACAAAAGGAGAAAAGUAAAGAGAAGAAAAGUGAUAAUGACAAUGAUGACAAUCAUGUCACUGCACUUAAAGAAGAUUUUCUUACUAUUUUUUAUGGUGAUGUGGUGAAUUUUGUAUCUCAUGAGACUAGUUGGGUAAUUGAUAGUGGUACAUCCGUUCAUGCUACGUCUCGUAGGGAUUUCUUUACAUCAUACAGGUCAGGUGAUUUCGGAUCUGUGAAGAUGGGAAACAAUGGACUAGCUCAAGCUGUAGGCAUCGGUGAUGUGUGCCUAGAAACCAGCAAUGGCACGAGGUUAGUAUUGAAUAAUGUUAAACAUAUACUUGAUAUCUGCUUGAAUUUGAUUUCUACAGGCAAGUUGAAUGAUGAGGGGUAUUGCAGCACUUUCAAUAAUGAUCAAUGGAAGCUCACCAAAGGUUCUCUUGUUAUGGCUAGAGGUGAAAAAUAUUCUUCGUUGUACAUUAUGCAGGCAAAGUUGUCCACAGACAAAAUUAAUGCAGUAGACAGCGAAGAUGCAGCUGAAUUAUGGUAUAAGAGGCUCAGUCACAUCAGUGAGAAGGGUUUGUCAAUAUUGGCCAAGAAGAAACUCCUUUCAGGAUUGAAAAGUUCAGCGCUAAAGAAGUGUGCUCACUGUUUAGCAGAAAAACAAAACCGAGUUGCAUUUAAAAGCUUCCCUCCUUCAAGAAAGUCAGGUAUACUGAAUUUAGUGCAUUAUGAUGUUUGCGAUCCUAUGAAAACAAAAUCACUUGGUGGCUUUCUUUAUUUUGUUACCUUCAUAGAUGAUUUUUCAAGGAAAAUUUGGAUUUAUAUCUUGAAAACUAAAAAUCAAGUGUUAGAUGCUUUUAAGCAAUUUCAGGCUUCAGUUGAGAGACAGACUAGAAAGAAAUUGAAAUACAUCAUAACUGAUAACGAGGGAGAGUAUAUUGGACCUUUUGAUGAAUACUGCAGACAACAAGGUAUUCGACAUCAAAAGACACCUCCCAAGACGCCUAAGUUAAAUGGCUUAGCUGAGAGAAUGAACAGAACGUUGGUUGAAAGGGUAAGAUGCUUACUUUCACAGUCAAAGUUACCUGGAUCCUUUUGGGGUGAGGCUUUAAGUACAGUUGUGCAUAUAUUAAAUCUUACUCCAUGCGUUCCUUUAGAGUUUGAUGUUCCUAACAAAGUUUGGACAAGCAAAGAUAUUUCUUAUGAUUAUUUGCGUGUUUUUGGGUGCAAAGCAUUUGUGCAUAUUCCCAAAUAUGAGAAGUCUAAACUUGAUGUGAAAAUACGAUAGUGCAUAUUUAUUGGUUAUGGACAAGAUAUACUUUGCUACAGAUUUUAUGAUCCACUUGAAAAGAAAAUUGUAAGAAGCAGAGACGUGUUUAUGGAAGAUCAAACAAUAGAGGAUAUUGAGAAAUCGAAAAUGAUUUCAGCACCACAGGUUAGUGAUAAUCCAGUUGAUUUAGAUCCAGUUCCUCUUACAAAUAUUCCUACAUAGGUUGAUGAAGAGCAGCAGGAAGUCAAUGUUCUAAAUAACACAAAUGUUCCUCAACAUGUUGAAACAUAUAAUAAUAUUCCAGAACCAGAGGCUCAAUUAGAUGUUUCACUGGAUGUUCUAGUCCGGAGAUCCGUUAAAGACCGAUGACCUUCCACCAGGUAUUCUGAAGAUGAGUAUGUAUUAUUGACUAAUGCAGGUGAACCAGAGUGCUAUACAGAAGCAAUAGAAGAUGUGUAUAAAAGCAAUUGGUUCGAUGCUAUGCGAGAUGAGAUGCAAUCAUUUUAUGAUAAUCAUACUUUUGAGUUGGUGAAGUUACCUAAAGGUAAAAGAGCUUCGAAGAACAAGUGGGUAUAUAGGUUGAAGCAAGAUGAACAUACUUUACAACCACGGUACAAAGCUAGAUUGGUUGUUAAGGGAUUCGGUCAGAGAAAGGGUAUUGAUUUUGAUGAUAUAUUUUCUCCGGUAGUAAAAAUGUCUUCUAUCCAUGUGUACUAGGCUUGGCAGCUAGCCUGGAUUUGGAAAUUGAGCAAAUGGAUGUUAAAACAGCCUUUCUACAUGGUGACUUGGAGGAAGAGAUAUACAUAGAACAACCUGAGGAUUUCAAAGUGAAAGGAAAAGAGGAUUAUGUGUGCAAAUUGAAGAAAAGUCUCUAUGGCCUAAAACAAGCACCGAGGCAAUGGUAUAAGAAAUUUGCGUCAGUUAUGAUAGAACAAGGCUAUAGGAAGACUUCCUCGGAUAACUGUGUAUUUGUCCAAAAAUUUUAUGAUGAUGACUUUAUUAUUCUCUUGCUUUAUGUUGAUAAUAUGUUGAUUGUUAGCAAGAAUGCUUUAAGAAUUGAGUUAUUAAAGAAGCAGUUGAGCAAGUCUUUUGCCAUGAAAGACUUGGGCUCGGCGAAGCAGAUUCUUGGCAUUAGAAUUACUCGAGACAGAGAUGCUAAGAAGUUAUUUUUGUCGCAAGAGAAAUAUAUCGAGAAGAUCCUUAAGAAAUUUUACAUGGACAAGGUUAAAGUGGUUAGUACUCCUCUUGCUGCCCACUUUAAGUUAAAUGUGAUGCAAAGUCCUACAACUGAUAAAGAAAAGAAAGAUAUGGAAAGUGUUCCAUAUGCUUCAGUUGUAGGAAGCUUAAUGUAUGCGAUGGUAUGUACACGUCCAAACUUGGCGCACGCAGUUGGCGUUGUUAGUCGCUAUUUGUCAAAUCCAGGCAGAGAGCACUGGAAUGCAGUGAAGUGGAUUAUGAGGUAUCUUCGGGGAACUUCAAAUUUGAAACUCAGUUUCGGGACUGGGAAACUUGAGUUAGUUGGAUACACAGAUUCCGACUUGGCAGGAGAUAUUGAUACUCGUAAAUUACUUCUGGUUAUUUGAUUUCUUUUGCGGAUGGAGCUGUGUUAUGGAAGUCAAGAUUGCAAAAAUGUGUUGCACUUUCUACAACCGAAGCUGAAUUUAUUGCAGCGACUGAAGCUAGUAAAGAGAUGCUAUGGAUGAAGAAGUUCUUAGAAGAACUUGGGUUCAAGCAAAAGAUUUAUGUGCUAUUUUGUGAUAAUCAAAGCGCAAUUCAUCUUGGUAAGAAUUCAUCUUUUCAUUCUAGAUCAAAACAUAUUGAUGUUAGAUAUCAUUGGAUAAGGGAUGUUCUAGAUGAAAAGUUGUUGGAACUUGAGAAAAUUCAUACAUAUUAUAAUAGCUCUGAUAUGAUGACGAAGACUCUACCAAGAGAGAAGCUUGAACAUUGCCGAUUGAUAGUAGGGAUGAUGAAUCCCUCCACAUUCUCGUGAGGGGGAGAUUUGUUAACUAGAUUCACUCCUAUGUGGAGAAGGCCCAAUGAGUUGCAAGCCCAAAAAGGGCUUGAGCCUAUAUAAUAAGUUAUAUGAGGAAAUGGGGUUUCUCACUAUUUAUAUAAAGAGGUAGCCGCAGAAAAGGAAACAGUAACAAGAGAAAAAGAGAAAGCAGAAAAUAUGGGGUUUGGGGCAAUAUCUGAUUUACAUCAAGCUGGCGUCGGAGGUCGAUUCGUGGUCCGAUUGAGCUAAAAAAAUUUCAGCAUGUUCAUGGCGCAAUUUUAUCGAAUCUGAACGGUUUGAUUUUCCUUUGAAGCUCCCUACAUCAGGUUUUUCGUGGAUUGAUCAAAACCUGCGUUUUUGGUCAGAUUUAUCCUUGAUCUCUUGUGAAGUUCAUGUGUAUUGCCAAGAAUUAUAUUCUUAAGGUGUUUGCUGCUAUGUAUCUUUAGUAUUUGCUAGAGAAGAACAAUUUUGUUGAUAGUGAAGAAUUUCGGGUGGACUCCGGUCCCGUGAUUUUUUAUCUUCUCACAUCGAGGAGGUUUUCCACGUAAAAAUCGUCUUAUGUUCAUGUGUUUGGUAUUUAUUUUACUCUACUAUAUCGAUUCCUAUUAGGUUUACACAAGAGGGGAGAUUAUUUUAUUCCGCUGCGUUGAUUUGAUAUUGUUUGAAUUAUUACCGUUCUCCUAUCAAAUAGUACAUAAACCUUUAUUACGCUGCUUGUUAAUGCGAUAGCCGAGAGAGAGAUAGAAGUAAAUGUUUGUCGAGCGACUUCUUACAGCCAUCUUUCAUCAUUCUCAUCUCUCUUUUCAUUGCCUCUCUCAUGGGAUGGUGAAUAUAAAAAAAUUGUGCGCUCUUCCUAGUUCCCACGCAUCUCCUGUCUUCUUGACCAGUCCAGUGCAUACAUCACUUCUCAACACAUCUCUUCCCGACCCCUAUGUAGCCAGUGCCCGCCUCUCCUAAGGUUUGAAGCCUUCUGCAUGGCGUGGAAGAAUGGAAUAGAAACGAAUAUAGACUAACAAUCACAUGAGUAUUGCAAUUUCUUUCUGAAAAUCUUUUUAAAAAAGCAGUUUUUGUAAUUGGUACAUGCUUUUUUAAACCUCCCAUAAGAACCAUAUUCUGACUUUUAUCUGGAGAAUAUCCAACAAUAGCUUCCAUUGAAUGAAUAAUUGAUCUCAUCUAUUUUUCUUAAUCCAAAUAAUUGAAUUGGGUUUCUUUUGGAAAGUUCUUUUAUUAUUCCUUUUAAAAAUAGAAUGGUUUUCAUGACCGAUUUUUUUCUUUCUUUUGAAAGGUUUAAAAAAAGAUUUAUUCUUUCUUUUAAAACCUGUAUAACUAAAAAAGGAUUCUUUUGUAAUUUUAUAAUUUUUUUUCUGAGUUCUUUAAAACAGUUUCAAAACACGCUAGAGGCAGCCCGAAAUGAUCUCGAUGAGAUCAUAGUUUUAAUUAAGUUGCUUGAAGUUUUGGUGCUGAAUACAUUAGGUGAAGCAGAGAUAUUCUCAUGGUUAAUGCUGACAAGCUUUAAUGAUAGUGGUAACCUCAACCACGAUGAAAUCAGCAACGUUGGCUGCCGGAAGGGGCUGAACUCCUCGCUCGUGGAGGCCAACUAAGGGUGCGCAUGGAUUUGUUUCUGUUCUUUUUUUGUUCCUGGGAACAGAAACAAAAAAAGUGUUUCUGUUCCGGGGAACAGUUUUUGAACAAAAGAACAUGUUUGGUAACGUUUGGUCCGGGAAUAAAAAAUGAACAGAAACACGUUUGGUAAAUUUUAUUAUUUUUUUGUUUCUUUUAAUUUUUUAAACAUUUUUUUUAUUUUUUUAUUUUUCCUUUCUUUUUAUUUUUUCUUUUCUUCGGCCUGUCACCGGCCUCCGGCGACCGGCCGACAGGGCCGGCAGCCUCGCCCAGCCACGGCGAGGCUCGCUGGCCCUCGGCGAGGCCGAGCCUCUCUGUGGUUGGGCGAGGCUGACGGUCCUGUGGGCUGGGCGACGCCGACCGCUCCCCGGCCGAGCGAGGUUUGGCCUCGCCCGUGCCGGCGACGCCGAGCCUCGCCGGAUUUGGGCGAGGCCGAGCCUCGACGGCCGGUCGCCGGCCAUGGCCGAGGCCGGCGACCGGCCAAAAUGAAAAAGAAGAAAAAAAAAAAAGAAAAGAAGAAGAGAAGAAGAAGAGAGAGAAGAGUGGUUUUUGUUCUUUUGUUCCUUUCGAGAAGUGUUUCUUUCAGGAGAAACAACUUUUUUUUGUUUCUUUUUUCUGUUUCUAUUUCGUUCCAGAAACAAAAAAACAAAAAAAGAACAGAAACGCAACCAAACGCGUUUCUGUUCCUUUUUUGUUCCCGGGAACACUUUCCGUACAGAAGUGUGCCGGAAACACUUUUUUGGAGUGUUUCCAUGCACACCCUAAGCUUCCGCUUCUCAGCCUAAUCAUAUUUCUUUUGGUCAUAUCGGUCUAGUUAGGCAAAGGCAUAUUUUUCUUUUAAGAAAAGAGAUCAGUCUAUAUUAGUUUCUAUUCCAAUCCUUCAACACCAUGUGGAAGGCUUUGAACCUUUGGCGGAGGUGGGCAACCCGCUCCAUAGGUGUUGGAGAAGAGAUGUGUUGAGAAAAGAAGUAUGCACCGAUGUGUUGAGACCUUGUUUGUCCAGUAUUAAAGCUAUCAAUCUACGCAGUUUGCUAAAUCCGAAUUACCUGGUCAGACGUUUCUUCACUCGCAUUUCAUUUUAAAUUGUAGUAUUUUUUUCCGUCUCAAUAUUCGUUACUAAUGCAAUUUUCUUUUUCUUUAAGGAGAGGGGAGGGGGGUUGAAGGCGGUUUGGUUUGCUUGCCCAUGCAAGAGCUCCUUUUCUGCGUAAACAGAAUCUGCACGAACAAGACUCAGUUGUUCACCAAAUUUACGAAAUUAUUGUACAAGUUAUGCUCUUCAGUUAAGUAUACUGCCAUUAUUCCAUUAUUUCUGUUUACUGGGCCAAGAUCUUUACAAAUCGAACCGAGGGGUGAACAAAUUGCUCACCCUUCUGGGGAAGGUUUGCUCUCAGUUUCCUAUUUUGGCUUCUCUUGGCCUUCUAUAGCUUCUCUUUUAACCGUCUUUAAUGCUGCAUAUGAAAGCCUCAGCCUCAGCCUGAGUUUCAGUGGCUCUAAGAUUCACUCCUUUAUUGUUUGGAUUCUGAUGGAACAUAUUCUGUGAAUGCAGGCACCCACUAUCGCAGCUGCUGCAAACUUGAGAAUGGCAAGAAGGUCUCCAGUUCUCCCAUCUACCAGAUGGCAUCUAGUGAUCUUUCUCAUGCAGAGAAAUUUUCUACACAUGCUGGAUCCAUUGCAAGUGUUUUCCAUGUCUUAUGCUUCUGUCUAAUUAAUGUUUCUUAUCGGAGGUGAAGAUAGAAGAAGGGAAAAUUAUUGAUCGGAGGCACGAACCCCAACCCUUGGUUGGCAGGGGUGCUAGACAUCCUCUUCAUAUUGCAUGCUGAACAUGAAAUGAAUUGCUCAACCGUGCUGCUAGGCAUCUUGCAUUGAGGAAUUCCACUUCCAAUGCCGUAGGUGACAAGCCCUACAAGCGAAGCGCCGACGCAUUUUGCUGACAUAACCAACGACGAGUUCAAGGACCGCUAAGACUGGUAAAAAUGCUUUGUUCAGGUACGAGAAUGCGAAUAUGGUGCCCGCGGCUCUGGAAUGGAGGAAGAAAAGAGCUGUCAUGGGCAUCAAGGACCGAGGAAGUUGUUGUAAGGAAAAUAAAAUUGAUGUUUCGAUCCUGCAGAUAUUCACGUUUAGGUGCGUAAUCAAUGCAUAUUGCUAUUAUGUUCUAGGUCCAACACACAUGAUCGAAUGAUCAUAGCUACAUGUACUUAGUACAUUACAAAUUUUCCAAUAGCAUUUAGGCUUUGUUUAUUUUGCGAAAAAUAAAUAAUUAGGAAAAAAAAUUUUAAAAAAUGUAUCGCUUGAAAUGAUGAGUUAAUGCAAAAAGUAUUCUUAUGCACAACAAUUCAUGUCUAAACAUUUUUAUGAACGGUAAAAAAUUUCUUCCCUUUUUCAUUUAUAUAGGCGUUACAAAUUAUCAUUUUUAGGAAAAUAUUUUAUAAAUCAUUUAUUUUUCGCUAAAUAAAUGAAUCUCGGAUUAGUUGACUUUUAUGGCAUGUGUGAUUAUGCUGCCUCUCGAUUAAUCAAAUAGGAACUUGUUGGCCUUUCUCAACCGUGGCAGCCACCGAGGGCAUCCACCAGCUACAAAGGGGGCAAGCUAACCUCGAGCAAGAACUCGUAGAUUACGAUGUUAACGGCGAGGACCAAGGUUGCGAAGGUGGUCUCACGCAAUAUGGUUUUUAAUUCAUCAUAAACAGUGGAGGCCUUACUAUUGAGGCUAAUUAUUUACGACGGGAUAGACGGAACGUUGCAAGACCGCAAAAGAAGCCUCCCACAUGGCUGAAAGCCGCGGGCAACAAAGUCAUGCCUGCCAACAACGAGGCCACGCUGUUGAAGCCCGUGGCAGAUCAUCCGGUGUUGGUGUCCAUUGACGUCGGAGGGUGGAAUUUCCGAUUCUACUCCAUCGCCGUCUCAAGACAGCGAGAUCAAUUUAAAUCACGCCGUAAUGGUGGUCGGCUAUGGUAUGACAAGGCUGGUGAAGAACUAGCAUAAUUAAGUUGGUGAUGUGUUUUUUGGGCUAAGCCAUGUUGUGACAUAGUUGCCUAGUAAGUAAAAUCUAUGGAGGCAUAGUAAGUAAAAUCUGUCAAGGCCCAAGCUGGUGAUGUAUUUUAUGGGCCAAGCCAUGUUGUGUUAUAUGGGUCGAGGCCCAUACCUCUGUUUUGUGUUUUUGUAGCCCAAGGCCAUCGUUUCUACGCAAUUCGACUGUCUAUUUCUAGUCCCCCCCCCCACCCCCAAAAAAAAUUGUUUCUUCGGGAGAAAACUAGAGUGAAGGUGCGCAUUGUGGUGUAAUAAACGUGGCUCUAUGUCACCUUUUGUGGUUCAAAUUCAAGGAAAUAAUUGGAGGAUUUAAGUUUGAGUUAUUUCGAAGCAGAAAAAUAUCUAAUUAAAAGAGAGUGACCUGAUAUUAAGCUCACAUGUGAAAGGACGAAAUGCCGUUAGAUCUAAAAGAAAGUAGCAGCACUGACAAACGUCUUUCAGCCUGGGCUGCACAAGUUGAUGGUUUUCCUUCGGUUCAACUUCACGACCAAUCUACACGUCUAUGACACUACACAGAUUAGUGUCUCAUGACCUAAAAGACCUUUUCUUCAACAGGGGUUUAGUGCAAUCAGCCUGUGAUUCAGUCCAAUGUGGCUAGGACCCUUAUGAGGCAAAUACUAUACAAAUUGUUUAACAUGAAUAAAACUGGCCCUGUACUGCAAACUUUGCCAUCAUCAGAAGGGAAUUGGAGAAUACUCAAUUCAUUUAAACAAAGAAUAAAACUCGACCUACCAAUUAUCUCAGAUUUUAGAUAAAUACAUAUAAUGUUUAUUCAUAAUUGUCGUUCUGUGCUAAUUCUCGCAGAGAGACUACAAGAGCCAUCUUUGGCAGUCUUGAAACAACCAUCCACCUAAUUUAAGCUCGGUAUGCUUGGGCUUACACUAUAUAAAGGGGAAGAAGGGAUGCGUCCUCUGAGAAUUGUUGCCGCCAACAUUUUCUCUCGAUGAACUUGUGCCAUGUCAGUAGCAUGAUAAGGUAGCCUGCAUUUCACAGUGAUUUUUACUUGGUGUCAAAUGAUGCAAGCAUGCAACGACUCGAAAGUUCAACCAGAAAUGAGGGCAAAAGAUGAACGGAAAAGGAAGGCAUGGUGAGUAAAAUCUACUGGUCAGCAGACCUCAUAGUUGCUCCCUCAGUUAAGUUGUGAUUAAUUCGACAGCAAGAGUUGCAAGCUGACACUGGCAUAGUUUUUGGUGCCAUAGAACUCGGGGCCACGGGAGUCAUGGUUCCGACGCCUUCUAGGAGCGUGAGCUUAUAAUUUUCCUUUCAUAGUGUUUGACUAUCGGUGACUCUAGCCAUCUGACCAUCUUGCUGUACAAGCUGAUCAUCUUGAUCCAGAUCUGUUUGACUUGGACCAUCUUCUUGUGUAAGUGUAUUCUCUUCCUCUGCAUCUGUUUGAUCAUCUUCCUCUGAGUUUGUGCUAGUUCAAGACAAUCCUGAUAAACCAAAUUUAACACUAGUGACUGAUUGUCAUGAAGCAAAGACCCUCGGAUCAUCCUCUCGUUGCUUGCAUACUAGUCCUAACCCACUGUUUCUUACUGUUCAAUUUGACGCUUCAAGAUGACCCGAAAAUGACUCCGAUCAUUUCACAGGAGCUUUGUACUUCCCACAGCGUACUACGUGGGGGAUGCUUGAGCCGCACAUGGUCCAUUCCUAAUGAAUAGAAGCAUCCUAUGUACCAAAUCACCUUUCCACAGACCUUGCAAGAGAGGCUGAGCUCAACUCCCCCCUCCAAUCCAAAAACAAGAUGGACCGCUAAUCCCAGCAUUCUUCGCAUAUGUCCUGGGGUAUCAUGAAAGAUAUCGAAUCCUCUUUACCAUGGAGCCAUCAUUCCGGCAUCUAUCUUCCAGCAAUUACAAUGCACGCUUUUCCCAUGUUAUGGAAUUCCUGGUUUGCUGGUAACAUCCAUAUCAAGAUAAAAAGAAGGUGGAGGGAGGGAGGUGUGGAGGGAGAGACUAACCUUAUGUAACACAUCUUCCGCGUUCAACCCUAUGUGGAGUGGCUUGAUAAAUCCGGGACUUUUUUGGCAGAGAUUCGCAGCUAGCUGCUUUUAGGAUACAUGUACUUGAUGGAAGCUGUAGGAUUUCCAGUAGUUGCUCGCGUUUUCACACUCGCGAUUCCUAUAAAUAAUCAUGCUCACUGUCGCACGUUGGAAAGCUAGUAAGAUUGUUUCCACUUCCCAGACACAUAUGAACAUUCCUAGUUGGAGAUAACAGGAAAGGUUCUGGAGGAACCUUAAUCCAGACAUAACACAGCCCCGGGUCCAACCAAUUCAAAUUCUAAUGUCCAAUGUCCAUAUGUGGUCAGUUAAAUCCCCCUGCUUGCUAUGGAAACUCGAAAGGAUUAGAGCAACCUUGUGGAGUCGGGUACUUGAUGUAUCGCAACUUACGAACUCGUGCAUUUGUAGCCCUUUCUCUUCACCUGUCAAGGACUUAUUGACAACAAGAACAUGUACUUCAAUGACCGUAUGAAUAUUGCAGCAAUUAAGAACUUUCUUAAUGUAAUCAAUAGUCUGCCCCUCGAGGAAACUGACUAUAUCGAGAAAAAUCUCCUUUGCGUAUUCCUCCAGCCAGGCCAUCUUAAGCGCAUCAUUGAUGCUUUUUUUUAAGGAGUUUUGAUAAGUUUAUUCAGUGCACGUCCCAUUCACCUCCUCUUCUACUGCACAAAAUGGAACCCAGACACCUCGAGUGCAAAAGGAAGGCUUUUAGCAUUAUCAUUAUGCAAAAUGGUAUCCCUUAAGAUUCCUCUUUAUUUCUAAGUUCUCGCCCCUUCGAAAAGCUACUUACUGAAAGGUUCAAGGGCCUAUCAUCUAUAAGAGCUUCAACCAAAUAGAUUCAUCCCAACCUGUAAGUAAGAUGAUCCUUUUUCCCUCUACCAAACCACUCACAUCCUCCGACUAAAUCAUUUCAUCGUGUCAUGCUAUCGACAUAGGGAAGAGUAUACAUCUAAAAAAUAUGCCUACGUGGAGUAUAGAUUAUUUCACCAGUGUGUGUCUAAAAAAUUCAAUUAAUGUUUGAUAACAUCACUGAAUCCAUCAUCUGUCCUAAUUUUGUACAUAAUCAGUUACUUAUUUGAUUGGAAAAUCACUGAUAAAAAAAGAGAUAAGUUGAAAAUAUUUUCUUUACACUUGCCAUUCUAUAAAUUAAUUGAUAAAAAAACAAAAACUGAUCCUAGAUCAAUAUCGUAAAAUUUCACAUAAAAAAAACUAAAUAACUAAACGAAUUAUCUUUAAUAUCACAUCUAGGAACCAUCUAAUUUGAAAAUAUGAUUCGUACAAUUAUAGUAAAUUUUCAAUAAGUAACGAUAAUUAUGUGUGAUAAUCGUGGCGCAACCGAUUGAUAAAACUUGGAUAUACAUCGGGUCCUAAAAUUGGCGGCAGCAUUGACGCCGUCGCCACCGCAGGGUCGGCCGCUAAAAUAUCUGUUUUCUCGAGCAAACAGAUAAAAGAAGAGUAUAAGAUCAUCUUCCUUCGUGUGUGCUGUCCGCUCUCGACGGUUUCUCCAAUCUCCGGCGGAAAAUAGAGAACCUCUCUCUCUCUCUCUCUCUCUCUCUCUCUCUCUCUCUCUCUCUCUCUCUCUCACUUAGAGCAGAGUUGCCUGCGAGCGAUGGACGCGCUCCUCUCUCCGCCGCUCUCGGCGCCUCUCUCACGCCUCCGCUCCGCCGCUUGUCCGGUUCACUGGCCACCACCGUCCGCCAGGCUCGGCCUCCUUCUCAAUCCGGCUUCAGUUCCGCGAANNNNNNNNNNNNNNNNNNNNNNNNNNNNNNNNNNNNNNNNNNNNNNNNNNNNNNNNNNNNNNNNNNNNNNNNNNNNNNNNNNNNNNNNNNNNNNNNNNNNNNNNNNNNNNNNNNNNNNNNNNNNNNNNNNNNNNNNNNNNNNNNNNNNNNNNNNNNNNNNNNNNNNNNNNNNNNNNNNNNNNNNNNNNNNNNNNNNNNNNNNNNNNNNNNNNNNNNNNNNNNNNNNNNNNNNNNNNNNNNNNNNNNNNNNNNNNNNNNNNNNNNNNNNNNNNNNNNNNNNNNNNNNNNNNNNNNNNNNNNNNNNNNNNNNNNNNNNNNNNNNNNNNNNNNNNNNNNNNNNNNNNNNNNNNNNNNNNNNNNNNNNNNNNNNNNNNNNNNNNNNNNNNNNNNNNNNNNNNNNNNNNNNNNNNNNNNNNNNNNNNNNNNNNNNNNNNNNNNNNNNNNNNNNNNNNNNNNNNNNNNNNNNNNNNNNNNNNNNNNNNNNNNNNNNNNNNNNNNNNNNNNNNNNNNNNNNNNNNNNNNNNNNNNNNNNNCCACCAUCCCGUGACAGCCGCCCAUUGCUGUCAGUUGCCGCCCGCCAUCAUCUGCCGUCGUCGAUCGCCGCCGGUUGCCGGCAACUGGUCCGACGAGCUCGCCGGAGGCUCUCGUCUGGCCUAAAUAAAAAAAGAAAAAAAAGGAAUAGGAGAAAAAAAAAAGAAGAAGAAUAGGAGAAGAAGAAGAAAAAGAAUAAAAAGAAUAAAAAUAAAAAAUAAAAAAAGGGAAAAAAAGAGAAAAGGAAAAAAAGAAAAGGAAAAAUAAAAAAAUAAAAAAAGAAAACAAAAGAAAAAAAAAGAAAAAAAAGAAAAAAAGGAAAAAAAGGAAAAAAAGAAAAGGAAAAAAGGAAAAAUUAUAAAAAUUAAAAUAAAUUGAUUUGGAACAGAAUCAAUGAACACGGUACCAAACGCAAUUUUAUUCCAAAAUUAGAAAUUUUGUACGGUUACCAAACACGUUCUUUUACUGAUCUCUUUCUAUAAUUUGCUAGGAUUGCAAGCUUUUCACUUUGAAAUAUGGUCAGCUUUCAUGGAUGAGCGCCACCCCCUCCCGCUCUCUUUUAGAGCUGAUUUAGGCCCUGUUUGGCAACACUCCAAACAGUGAUUAUUUCUGAUUUUUUGUUCCCAUAAUCAGUUUGGGACGAGAAUCGCGUUUGGUAAAAAUUUUGUUCCCGGGAACAAAUUUGUUCCCAGAAUCAGUUUUGGAGUAGAUUUGAGAAUAAAAAAAAAAUUGAUUCUACGUCCGAGAAUCAAAAAAAGAAUCAACACGAUAAAACUCUUCUUCUUUCCUUCCGCCAUCACGCGACCGUCGCCCACCGCCGUCCGCCGCCGCUCACCACCGCCCGCCGUCGCCGGCCGCCGGUCCGGCGAGCUCGCCGAAGGCUCGCCUGGCCAGGGCGAGGUCCGGCGAUCUCGCCGGAGGCUCAUCGGCCGCCGGACCGGCGAGCUCGCCGGAGGCUCGCCCAGCCACUGGCGAGGUUCGGCGAGCUCGCCAGAGGCUCGCCCAGCCAUUGGCGAGCCUCGCCGGGGCUGGGCGAGGCCCGCCUGGCCACUGGUCGAGCUCGCCUAGCCUGACCGGGGCUAGGCAAGGCCCGCCUAGCCACCGGCCGGGCUCGCCUAGCCUGACUGGUGGCUAGGCGGGCCUCGCCCAGCCCCGGCGAGCCUCGCCCAGCCCCGGCAAGGCCCACCUGUCCACCGGCGACGCUCGGCCUCGCCAGAUCUAGCGAGGCCGAGCCUCGGCGAGGCUGGGCGAGCGUCGCCGGCAGCUGGGCGAGGUUGCCGGCGACCUCGGCCGACGAGGGCCAGCCUCGCCGAGGGCCGGCGACGCUCUGGUGAGGUCGCCGGCCCUCAUUCCGGCCGGUCGCGGACCCGGCGACUCUGCCACAGGAAGAAAAUAAAAUACGGAGAAAAAGGAAAAAAAAAUGAAAGAAGACUUGCAGAGACGCGAAGGAGAUGUAACAAGGUUAUAUACUAAGGAAAAAANNNNNNNNNNNNNNNNNNNNNNNNNNNNNNNNNNNNNNNNNNNNNNNNNNNNNNNNNNNNNNNNNNNNNNNNNNNNNNNNNNNNNNNNNNNNNNNNNNNNACAGAAUCAAUGGACACGUAUCAAACGCAUUCUAUUCAGAAUCAAAAAUUUUAUACAGUUACCAAACACGUUUUUUACUCAGAAUCAGUUUCCAGGAACAGAAUCGUUGCCAAACGCGCCCUAAGUGGCUAUAUCAAGAUGUUCUCCUCCUCUGGUAAAUGUUGUCUUCAGUUGCUGGGUCGGGAUGGCUUUAGCAGCUAGGGGGCAGGCAUAUUCAUAUGUUGUGGAUUGGAGCACAAAUAGAACAAUAAGCUACAUUUGAUUAAUGUAUACUUUGUGAUCAACUCUGGAGCUUUUUGCAGCAUGUUUUGAUACAGCACCAGAGUUUAUGCCUAUUUUUUCUUGGAAAAGGAACUGAAUCAGUUGAACACGAGUAUAUAAGUAGCAGAAUUUCGGACUAUCCCCAAGCAGAUCUUGAGAAUGAUUGAGCUGCCUAGCUUGCACAUUUUUGCUAGAAAUCAGUUAUUGGAUGCUUUGGGCCAGGGAUUCAAUCGAUCAUGUACAUAACACGCUUGGAUUAGGUGUUCCUUUUUUUCGGUUCAUGUAUCAAGAUUGAGGAUGUUGUGUCUGCCUUUCUUUUACCAUAUUACCCCUGAGAUUCUUCAAGGUAUACAAUUGUUCUGCUUGUACCAUCUUUGGAAACAUAGAUUGUGCAUGACAUCAUGUUACCGAGAAAUCUACUUCUGAUUGGUUUGUUAUUUUAGAGCCCCAUUGCUCUUAACUUUGGCUUAUUAACUGGAGUCGUAUCUACAAACCUGCCAGGCAUCAGUCAAGUUGGGUUUCUAUUCCUUUGGCUGUGGGAACUCGGUAGAACUACUAUAGCACCCUGCAAAGAGGAUCAAUGCAGAACUUAAAAAAGUUGAAAAAAAAAAUUGGAAUAUAGUUUUCAAAACACACAGUUACCUAUUAAAGAAAGAAAGUUUUCGAAAGCACACAUCUUCCAAAGGGGCAUGUUGGAUUAUAUAUCUUUAGCUUUCCCAUAAUGACCUUCAGAGUUUCAUAGAACUAGUUCAUUUAUGCCGUUCUGUGGUGGGAGAAACUAUGAAAACAGGAGAGAUAGAGAAAUCUUCCAGCUUCCUAUAGCUUUUAACAUUUGCUAAUCUUCUGUAUCAUAAUUCCAUUUUCAUCUUUGAUGGUUACUAAUGUAUGAUUAAAGGCACUACCGUGCCUGUCAAUCUACCUUGUGAGUUGUGACAUGGGAACAGAAGUUCCACGAGUAGAUGAACAUAGUGAACGAGCCUUUACCUGUUCUUAGUCAGGACCCUGAUCGCUUUUGUCGGUUGCCCCAUUUGUCUGGAGUUUUCACUGUUGCUUCGGCUUGGGAAGUUAUUCGGCCCGAGAGGUCAAUCCAUGGUUUUGGCCCCUCUUAUUUGGAAUAGCUCAAUAAUUCCCCGGCACCGAUUCCUUUUGUGGCUGAUUUCCAGAAAUAGACUGCCCACUCAAGUUUCGCUUCUUGCUUAUGGUAGGAUUUCCGAUGCUAAAUGUGCUUUUUGCUCUUGUCAUCCUAAUUCUGUAGAUCACCUUUUCUUUGGGUGUCGUAUUACUGGGGCUUUGGCUCUUUUUAGGGCAGCUAGAAGCAAUCUUCCUUGGCGAAACAACUUGUGGAGGGAUAACCUCCAAUGGGCCAUCAAGUAUUUAUUUGGUGAUUCCUUUCACAUUAUCAUCCCUCGGUUCGCUUUUGCAGCUUUAUGUGAUAUUAUUUGGAAUGAAAGGAAUAAUAUCCUUUUCUGUGAUCGGACUCUCUACGUGCCUACUAUGAAGAAACGGCUUGAUAAGGUUGUUAGGGAUAAGGCUUUGAAGAUUACAGCAGAGCUGGAGCCUCAAUCCGUCUAUCUUCUCGGAUUGAUCUGUUUCCUUCUUUGUGCUUUGUCUUUGUUUUGCGGAGGGUGUUUCCCUUCUUUUGUGCUUCAUUGGGUUACCAUGACACCCUUACACCCCUCUUGACGACCCUUUUGUCAUAUUGGGUGCAAGGCCUCCUUGGGUCUCCUUUCUUUUGUAUAUUCCCACUUUGGGUGAAAGUUAAUAUACACGUUACCUUUACCAAAAAUAAAAAAUAAAAAAUUUAAGGGUUUCUAAAUUAUUGAUGAAAUUAGCGCUAUACGUAAUUUCAUCAUCGUUGCAUGGGUGUUUCUUCAAGGCAAAGAUACAUUAUUAAUUUAACAAUCAGUGUUCCAUAUCGAGAAAAUUAUCUAAAAAGAUUUGAACUUAUUGUACAGCGAUUAAUUCGAUUUUAAAUCUUUCAAUUGUACCAAUUUAAUCCUAAAUUUAAACCUUUUGAUAUUUGCUAGUUUAGUUCUAAACCUUUUAAUUAUGUUAAUUUAGUAAAAAAAAUUACAACAAUUUGCUAGCCCUAAAUCUUUUGACGAUUUGCCAAUGUAAUCCUUCCAACCAAUUCUAUAAAUAAUAGGUUUAGGAUUGAAUAGACAAAUCUUCAAAAGGGGGAAAAGUACCAAAAAAAGCUCUAAAUCUAUUACAUUGGUACCAAUUCACUCUUAUAUCUUUCGAUUGGAAUAAUUUAGCUUUAAACAUUUUCGUAUCGAUACCAAUUGAAUUCAUCCAGUCAAUUUAGGCUGGUAAUUAUUGACUUGGACGUCGGUUGUUCUAUAUAGUUGUCCUAUAUGGCACGGCUGAUGUUAAUAUGGAUAAUUUUUUUAUUUACUUUUUCAUAUCUUUUAUUAAUGUUUUUUUUUCUUUUUUAUUCUAUUUUCUUCUUUUUUUCUUCCAUUUCCUUUUUCUUUUUUCUGUUUCCCUUAUUUUUUGCUCCACUAGUGGCCAAUGGAAAUCCCUAACUAUCAACAAGGGCAAGGGUCGAGAUGCCCUUGCCAGCCAACCUUUGGCCAAGGCUGGAGAAGCUAUCUUUGGCCAAGGCUGGAGAAGCUAUCUCACACCAAAUCUAGAGAAGGGGACCUUGUUUGACCAUCGUUAGAGGCUGGCGAGGGGCAACCUUGCAGUCCUCUGGCGAUGGCGAGGGCUCUCACCCAGGCAAGGCCUAUGAUGGUGUCUUAGCCCUCGGCGACCCUCAUUGAAAGGCCUGCGAGGUGUCUUGGCCCUUGCCCUCCCCAGUGUCUGGCUUUCUUCGUUAACCCUCAUGCUUGAGGCUCUAUAGCCUCUACCCCACCUGUUUUGUAGACCUUGUGUAUAGUUGACUAGUAUUGUAUAUGACUGGGUUUGAUAUGUAUAAAGGUGUGAUGUGGUUUUUGAAAAAUUAUGGCCUUACUUUUCUAUCCCAUCUUUGUGUUGUUUGGGGAUUAAUUAUUCGCUUCCGCAUGCGAAUUAAAAUGAAUGGGUUGGCGACGCGUCCUGGGACGUCGCUAUUUAAUUGACCACAGAGAGAUGGGCAUGCGCUCGGAGGAUCGGGGCAUGACAAUUCCCCUCUGCUUCUGCCAAAUAAAAAGGGACCAAAGACCACAAUCGCUAAGGGAAGGCCAUUAGCAUAGCCAAAAUACAUCUAUGAGAUCCCUGCUUAUGUCUUGUAUUUGGCUUUUUGGAAAAGCAUAUGAACUUAGAAGUUCAAAAGCUUCACCUUGAUCUAACGCUUUAAACUUCAUAUACCUUAUCUAACCCGUGAGAAGUUAGUACAUGUUUAUCUCUAAUCGUAAUAAUGAUCCCGCUAUCUUUUCCAAACCAUUUACAUUCUCUAGCUAAUGCAUUUAACUGGACGCCAUGAUCCGCAUCAUCAAGCACAAGCAUAAUCUUCCUGUAGCAAAGUCUAUCUCAUAUCAGGUUAACGCCUCCAUCCACACUUAAGACCACUAAAUUUUCUUUCAACAAUAUCUCAGAUACGAGUGUUUUUUGCAAAUGAACCAGGCCAUCAGGUCUACUGGAAGCUUCUCUAACAUUUGCAAGAAAGCUGCACUCAUCAAACUGACUAGUGAUACAUACUGUCAUGGACAGCUUUAGCGAUGGUGGUCUUCCCUAUACCUCCUGCUUCCCUUAUUCCUAUCAUCCGAACCUCAUCCAAGCAUGUACUUAACAAUGAUAUGACUUUCUCUACCCGGCAGCCUACACCGAGUGGGAUGCUUGGCAACACUCAAGGGUACUUGUCCUACUAUAAUGGAGAUCUUUGUGAUGAUGCUCAAGACCUCGUUGUUGAUGUAGGCGUUGAUGCCGCUGUGAAGCAGAGUCCAGUGUAGGUCAGCGAGGAAGCCGUGGCAGACGUCCCCGCCUCUGAAGUUGAGGAAGAUGUCCAACGGCCAUUUUGCUUUGGAAGAAGGAGGAGAAGGAGAAGGAGAAGACGACAUGGGAAGACAUAAUCGAACAGUCCGUUUCUUUUAACUUUAUUCAGCUUUUAAUUUUGGAUAAUAACCACAAAAUAAAAAAUCGACACGUUUAUUCCAAUUUUUUUUUUUAUGAUAUCAAAAAUCUCCUAAAAACAACGUACAUUUGUCAUCCUUUAAAAUUAUUUUUCCUUUUAUCCCUCCUCUUCCAUCUUUACCGCUGCCAUUUCCGUCAUCAUUGCCACUAUCAUCAUCUUGCCAAACCCAAGAAGAAAACAAAGGAGGAAAUUUAAUAAAAGAAAAAAAGAAAACGAAAAAAAAUACAUACAGAGGAGAUUUCACAUGAUUUUGACUAGUGGUGGUUUAAUUUAUAAAUUUCCUCCCUAAGUAUUGGUUUUGUUGUAACUGUAGUUUGGGGCUCCUGUGAAGAGGUUAUUCUUUUUCCUUUCAUCUUUUUGACAAGAAAUGCACUAAGCAUUUACGCACACAACUUCUUGCAAUUGAUGAAAGACAUGUAAGGUCCAAAAUGUAUCUAAGCUCCAUCUACAAGGAUCAGAAUGCAAUCCACUUGCUGUUGGAGAUGACCCAGAAAUUACUUAUGCUAGCUCUUCCAUUCCAAUUGAUGCAGAUUUCUAAGAUUAAACAACUUUGACUAACAAUUAUCUUUGGUUAUUUUGGCAAAAAAAACAUGUCAUAGAUAUCUUUUGUUGAUUGUCAUUAAUUGUUAUAUCAUCGUAACAUUGGGAGAAAUAUCAGAAAUUUUUUAAAUAUAUUGCAAUUGUAUUAAUUCCGUCUUAAACUUUUUUCUCAAUUCAAACCUAAAACUUUUGCAUUUACACUUGUUCAGUCCAUUUGGUCAAUUUUGCCCAACUGGCAUCAACUUGGUACUUUUUAAAUAAUAUUUUAAUAAUAUUUUGAAAUUUUUUGUAAUUUUCUUUUUCUUUUCUUUUCUUUAAUGUUGUCCUCUUCUCCUUUACUUAGGGCCUUGCUGCCUUGCUUGCCCAAAUCAAGUGAGGUUGUUGCAGCCCUCGCCUUGUUUGGGUGAGGGCCGUAGUGUCCUCGCUAGGCCAAAUCUAGCGAGGGUGUCAUGGCCCUUGCUAGAUCUAAGCAAGGGACAGCACACUCACGCCCUAGCUAGCGAGGGUUGGUUGGCGACCCUCACUGACCCUAAGAGAAGGGGAAGGGGAGAUUUAAAAAAAUAAAUAAAUAAAAGAUAAAAAUUAAAAGAAUUCAAAAAUUAUCUAAAAAGUGUCAUGUUAGUGCCGAUUGGCUAAAAUUGGUAGAAUGGACUAAAUCGACACAAAUGAAAAAGAUCUAGGACUGAAUUAAUAAAAAAAAAGUUUAGGGUUAAACUUGCAUAAUUAUAAUAAAUUUAUGACUUUUUUAGUAAUUUUCCCUCGUAACAUCAUUCAGACGAAUUAUAGUCUCCAAAGCUCUUAAGGGAUGGAUAAUUUGUAGACAGGAUGAGCAUCUAUGAAGUUUUAGCAGUAGAUUUUCCAGUUCUCCUGCAAUUUAAAUCCCGAAUUUUUCCUCAUUGUCUUUGGGGAAUUGCAUCGUGUGAGAUGCAGCUUGUCCAGUCCUCAAGAGUCACAACAAUCUUUAUGGCUUCAUCAUUGCAUACAUGAGGGAGAGGGGAGGAAGUCUAUAACUCGGGCUUCGCUCUAGAGCAAUUUAUGAGGUUACUUAUUAUUAUUAUUUUUUUGGCUUGCCUCAAACAUAAAUCCUUUUAUUCUCUAUUAGCAAAAACCAUAGAGCGGAUGUUAGUAUAAGGCUAUCCUUUGUCUUCAAAGACUGGUACCUUAUUAAGUGCCGAAUUGGGCUCCUAACGGGGAAGUCCAUGGGCCAUUCGGCAUUCGUCUCCAUCUUCUUCGCUGGCCAAUCCUCGCUCCGGUUCGAAUCGCCGCAACUCUCUGGCGCUCGAGCACCGUCUCGCAGCGGCAAAUCUCUACCUCGCUCGAUCAUCUCCGGCGGCAUUGAUUGUCUUUUGGCUAAAUUCUUGGUCGGAGUGUUCGUCAGUGGUUGUUUGCAGAAUCAGAGUAGACGUGAAUGUGGUAUGCGUUGAUGAACAGGUCAAAAAGCAAGGGAAGCAAGCGGAUGACAUGCAGUAUCGAGCUCAGCGUGAUGCUCUAAGCCUGAAAAUUGUCCAGAUGACUGCAGAAGAUAAUUGCUUUUUCGGGUCUGUGUUCCUUGUUAGAAAAAAAUCGCCGAAUUGUUUUCGUGAUUUUUUUUUUUUUUUUUUUGGAAUGUUUCCGGGAAUAGGUUUGUCUUGAAUGGUGUGCUCAUCGCAUUACCACUCUGUCGUCAGAACACAACACGCAUUGCAUUUUAUGGUACACCGGUUCUGGAAUACUAUCAUCGAUGUACUAGAAAUUCCUCUGCUGGGAAAACUAUUGCGUUUUCGUAUCAUGUAUCAUUCUGCCUGAGACACUGCAUCUGGAAUUGGAAACAUAUCUUGAAGAAGAGUUCUCUUUGUCGGGGCUUAGUCUCGAGGAUAUUAGAUUGACCCUUCUAAGAUCCAACUAAGUUACUUUGUAAAAUUUCAUGCCUAUUGUACAACGUCCUAGACAAACAAACCAUCUUCCUCAUUCCUGUUUUCAUUCCACGUAUUUGAAUUAUCCAUCCUCCAGGUAAUCUUGCUGCCUUGUAUGGAGCUUUUGGUUAUAGAAAUGCCUUUGCUAUAGUUGGAAUUUUCAUAGUUGUCAGCCCUUGUUAAUCAGGGCCCUUGCAGAUCAGUUGGAAGGCAAUGAAGAUGAACAUGGAAAGUACCGGAGUAUGGUUGUUAAGUACAUAUUGGUAUGUGGAGUGCUGAUUUCUCUUUUUCAAGUUGUAGAAAUUAUGUUUGUAAGGGUUUUUUUUUUUUUUUUUUACAUGGUGAUGUUGUCCUCAUUUGUAUUAGGGCUCAGCAAUCCGAAUCAAAACUUUUAUUCGGUGCAUUUUGUUCUUGAACCUUUUUGUAAGUAUUGAUGGAUUUCUCACUUAUAUAGACACCGAAAUAGCAUGCCUUUUGACGAAAAAAACAAGUUAAAAUGGGUACUUUAUAUUGAAGCUUACAAUUCUGCUGCCAAUGGUUAUUUCUGAUGAUUUUCAGUUCACAGUCACAGUUGCAUUGAGCUAUACCAACACAAGGAUCACCUGAGCAAUUUGACAUUCUUAUUUUACUAGGGAGGAAAACCUGUUAAGUGUUAACUGUGAUUUGGAUGGUCUAUCUUGGCCUAAACUAACAGGUGUAGGAGGAAGCUGGACUCUGUAGUUAUCCGCAUUGUUGUCGCCUACAGGAACGUGUGAUUGCUACUUUAGGGUGGCAAUAUUAUGCAAAUCGACAUAUUUUUCGAAGGAGAUUUGACAAAAUCAAAAAAAUGAGAGAAUUAAUACUAACGUAAUCGACUUUUUAGCAUGCAUGAUAAAACUGUAAUGUUUUGCAAUGCCACAAAUUUCUAUUUCUACAAGAGUUUCUAAACAAAAAUAUUUAUUUGAUAACGACACAAAAUUUUUACCAUAAAAAUAGAAAUUCACUUGAUGAUGACACAAAAUUUCUCCCUUUUGGAUGGUGGCUACUGGCAGCGGUGGCCGGCGAUCGGCAGACGGCAACAGUAGCAACACACGGCCAACGGACAUCGGCUAGCUGAUCGGCUGCCGUCUGGCAACUGGUGGCGACCGGCGAACAGUGGUCGGCAGCGACGGAUGGACGACCGACCAGCGACGGAUGGACGACCAGUUCGUCGUAAAAACGAACGAUGCGAAAAAAAUUUAUUUCUUAUUUCUGGAACAGAAAUAGAAAAGUAAAAAAAAAUUUGCUUCUGAUUUCUAUUCCAAAUCUAUUUCUGGAACAAAAUCUAUUUCAGAAAUAGAAAAAUAAAAUAAUUUUAUCAAACGGAUUUCUAUUUCAGAAACAAGUCUGGAAUAAAAAAAUUGUUUCUGAAACAGAAAAAUUUUGAUUUAUCAUGCACCCCCUUCUUGAUUACCAUGUGGGGUUGGAAAGCAAGUGGAUACCUAUAUAAUGCAAAUCUGCUUUAAAAUCAUUAUUCAUUGUGUGAGAUAUUGAGCAUGAGAUACAUGGAUGGAUGACAUCAUGUAUUUGCAUUGAAUAUGGACUGACAUUUGCGUACAAUGCAAACCCAAUGCCACACGUGACAAAGUGUUACGUCGUGGAAGCCACCUCUUGAACCUCGUUGGGAUAAUUUGUCACAUGGUUUGAGCCACCUCUAACUUUAGAAUCCUAUUAUAGUGUCAUCACUUGCAUACAUCAACAUGUUUAGCUAUAUAAUAUUGUUGUAGCAAAUUCGCUCAAUGUAAGUUGAUUUGACUGUCAAGCGACUGGGAAAACAAAUAACAAGCUUACUUUCUGAUUCUAGCUUGGCUCUAUGAAGUGAUUAAACUAUCCAUAAAGUAUUUUUCCAAAGAUGGCUUUGAUGGUGUGCUUGGAUGCGUGGAUGUGUGGAUGCGUGCUAGCUCUUGGAAGCAAUGGAUGAAAUGGUUUGACAGAGACCGAUCUAAAUGAAAGGAAUCGCAAAUUGCUUAGAAAUUAAAGUCGAAGUGCUGCAAGGAAUAAAGGAAAGCAAAGCAAAGAACACUAAACUCAAAGCCGACUGAAAUAAACUGAAAACGAGAUUACUAAUUUACUAGGACAUUAACAUUGCUGGAAUUGAAAUUAAUCACAGUUUGUACAAAUGACGUUCGAAUGGAGACAAUGACAUGAACGUUACAACGAUACUCGAAGGGAAAUCAGCAGUAAUUUUGGCGGGGUUUUGGUGUAAUUUGAACAUAUCUUCUUCCUCUGCAUCUCUUUUUUUUUUUUUUUUCGUAAGUCUUAAAUUCCCUUUGAUUAUUACUAGGUCGAUGAUCAUUUCUUAACUAAACUGCUUUCAUAUAUCCAUGAUUUCCUACCUCAACUGCCUUCAUGUAUCCAUAAUUUCCCGACCUAACUAAAUUUCCGAUUCCUCAGCAUUUCUCAGCAGCUACUUUGUCUUGUUCUAGCUUGGUGAAGUUUAUAACUGCUUCUGCUUCUUUUGAAUUCAAAGUAGGUUGAAGACUCUCUUUCUCAAACUUCGGCGGAAUGGUCUUUCAUGAGCAUAAAAACGAAAUUGAAUUUGAUACAGCUUGGCUUGUGAUUUUUUACUACCAACAUAUUGUUGACUUAUUGUUAUUAUUAGACGACAAUUCAGUCACACAACCAAAGCACAAAGUAAACCGAAGCACCAAGGGAGAAAAGAAAUCUCUGUCGUCAAAGGAUGAACCAUCAAUUCAGCUAUAUAUGAUCAGCAGUCCAGCACGUUGAACGACAACAUCCAUAUCACUCCAUCCGAUCUCAAAUUGAUCAACGACAAAGACAAAUUCGUCAUUAUCAUCUGUGAGGCAAAACGUCGAACAUGCGGUGAUCACUAAGGGCGAGGUGUUCUGCAAAUAGGAAUUCCCAUCAAUUGGCAAGGAAUAUAACAUGAGAAAUCCCUCCAAAAAAAAAAAAAAAUGCUAGAGCGGAAUCGACGAAUUCGAGACCAAAUAAUGGACAAGAAUUCGACAUAACAAUUUGAAGCUCUCGGCAAAAGGGCAAUACAGAACAAUCGUAUGAUUGAAUUUCGAUGAAUCGACCGCGUCCUACCUUGGGGGAGACCCGAUCCGAAUGGUUACCUGCUAAUAAAUGAAAGACACUCAAAAGACUUGGAGAAUCUCACGAAGACGAAGCUAAGGCGACGAAUCGAUUCAGCGACGAAAUUGCUCGACGAAGAUAUUCAGCUGCAACUAGCUUCAACCGCGGGCGCGAACACUGGAUUCGGUCCAGAGCGCUUAAGAUAUUUUUCUCGGUCUGGGCGUGUGUUCUUGCUUCACUUGGUUCCUCAGCCUCUCCAGCACGCACCAAGCGAGGGAGAAAGAGCACGAGAGAAGUUUCGAUUGGUUGUGAUGAGCGCCCGUUCUCUGCUCCGUCACGGCCGAGGUUGCGGUUACCGGCGAGGGAGAUUUGACGGCGGCCGUCACCGAUCGGAGAUGGCGUAGACGAUCGAUUGAGGGUGAUGGAGCUCAAAGGAAGAGGCGAUUGCUCCGAAUAGCUAGCCGGAAGAAUGGAAUGAGUCUCCGAAGCGCCACCGAAUCGGAGCGAGGCCUUUUUUUUUUUUUUACAUACGUCACAAAAAAUGCACGUUCGGUUUGUCGGGCGAAAUUUUAGACAUCAACAAUUAGUAACAUUUUAAAGUAGCUAACUUUAUUAAUUUAAAAUAAGAGUUUACCAUUGAUAUUUGAUAGCGAUCGUGUUUUUAGCUUAAUAAACUCUACAUAAUCCAAUUAUGAGGUUGGCAGUAUUGUGAAAUUAAUUGAUAGAUAAUCAAGUACAUGAAGUUCUGUAUAUUAUAUCACUUGAGAGUUAGUUCUAUAUGAGCUUCAUACAUUUUUUUUUGCUAGCUAACUAGGUGAUAAGUUGUCGUAGUUAUAGUUUCUUCUAUACUUUUUACAAUUAGUUUUGUUGUCGGAAGUAGUAAUGAACCAUGCUGGUCGUUGCAUCCUCAAUCACAUCCUUCAUGUUGUGUAUUUUACCAACCAUUUCUUUUCAUGAUUUAAUGAUUUAAAUAAUAUAAAAUAAGAUAAUCUUGACUAUAACAUGACUAUUUCACCGGUUUUAGAUUUUGCAACGAAAUAUCUUUCACUAAAUUUUAUAUUUUGCUUUUUAUUAAAAGAGACUUAGGUUCUAUGCUAGUAUUGGAUAGAGAGAGUCAAAUACUAAUGGAGCUAUAUAUGAUAUGGUUUCGAAUCUUAUAAAGUUGCUUAAUAUGAGGUCAAAAUCAAUCAUAGCCAAUGUCGAAAUCCAAUCAACAGUUUGAUCCAAACUCACUUUAACAUACUAAUGAAAACCCAUUAAAAUCAAAGUGGUUUGUACAAUGUUGAAGCCAAUUUGACAACAAUGGAUAUUAACAAAAGCACCUAAAAAGCACUACUUUCAAAUGAGUUUGAGGACACAACAUUAGAAUCUAAUUAACGAUGUUGGAUGGUGGGAAUAACACAUAGUAAACACCACUUCUAGAAAAAUAUGAGAAUACAACGUUAGAAUCUAAUCGACGAUACUGGACGAUGUUAAUAAUACCUAAUAGACACUACUUCUAGAUGGAUAUGAGGACAUAAUAUCGAAAUCUAAUUGACGACGUUGGACGGUGAUAAUAACACCUAGUGGCACUACUCCUAGAUGGAUAUAAGGACAUAACAUCGAAAUUUAAUCGAUGACAUUGGAUGGUAGGUUAAUACUGGAAUUUUAUCAAUAGUACUACCUAGGAUAUAGACACUCACCGGAAUUGAAUCUACGACGGGAAUCUUAAAUUACAGCUAAACUAGACUAGGUUAAGAUAAAAAGGUAAGAUAAAGUAGUUUUGUGUGUUGUUCGAGGAACUUCUCUAUUGGAUUGUUUGCGGUAUUUAUAGGCCAAUUUGAUAACCAUUAGUGAUUGAUUGCUUCCUUCUUAAACAUCGCUCACGUUCUAUGCUAAACCGUUUUAUCCAUAUCUGGUUGCUUUCUAAUAUGUUUGAUGAUGUUCUCAUGGCUUGUUUAGCAAAUAAUAAUCGCUCCUUUGAUUUUGGCGCCUUUUUAAGCAUCAACCGUUCUUGUUCAAACUUUGCCAUCAAUUCCAUCUAAAUGCUAUGUCUUCAACAGGGUUUCUUGGCUUGGACACGUGGCAACCAAUUGCUUUAUCAUCGAAUCACGUAUCUCUACUUGUAAGCUCAUCGAAAUCUAGUCCAAAUGCUCUUGAAAUCCUUGGCUAUCAUUCGUUUCUAUGACAACCAUGGACUGGGCUGAUGUAAAUCACGACCCGCAAAUGACAGCGAGGAUGAUUUCAAAGGCUUUUAUCCCUUGUGAUCAGCACGUGAUAGUAGGGAUAUUUUUGGAUGUCAACAGUGACAAUAUAAUUCAAUCCAUCACUUGACAUCACAUACAACUUUUACAGUAGAUUUGAUCAUAUAAUUCUUUCAUUUGUUUGGGAUCACACAUAUUACAAACAAAGCAAGCAUGUAAAAGCAUUUCACAUUAUUUUUAAUUACUAGAACUUCGUAUAAAUUUCUUAAAAUUUGUAGCAUUUUGUAUUAAAUGCUAAAUAAUUUUGGGAUCAAAAGCUAAGGUAUAAUGCAACAAGACAAGAAGUAUAGCAAAAUGGUAUUGUCGUAUUCACUACAUGCAAAUAGUAUCUUCACUAUCUUGAACUUUCAAAUAUCAAUUUCUUGCAUACAUGCAAUGCUUUGAUAUUUGCCAUGCUGGAGAAAUUUGAGCCAAUUAUGAUUCCCUCUUCUAACUCUAAGGCUAAAUAGUAGGUAACUCUCGUCAAAUUGACCAAAAUAAACUCUUCCCUCCAACACUCCCCAUAGUGCAUUUGGUUUGAGAAUCUAAAUCCAUACAUGAUUCGAGUCAAAUGAACUAAGAGGCUCCUAAUAUCUCAUCCGCCUUUGGCAGUGAACAUGUGGCAUGAUGUCAAAAGAUAAUUUCCUCUUCUUCUUCUUCUUCUUCUUCUUUUCCAUCUUUUACACUGCAAACACUACAGUUCUUACCAAAAAAAAAAAAAAAACAAUACAGAGAACCACCGCCACAACUCUCAGAGCAGUUCCGUGACUUAAGCAGGGGGACCCAGCUAGUGGGUUACUAGGCUAGUCUCUCUCGAGGUAUAGUCGAUGCUGUGCUCCCGUAAGGUGAGCUAGGCCAGAUCCCCGGCAUAAAAAAAUAAUAAUAAUAAUACAGAGAACCAAUGUUGUAAACUUGUAGUGCAAGUCAUGUGAAGCCAAAAAUGGUACCGUCUUCAACAAGGAUGAACUCCUUUGGUAUCUCUCCUCUGGGGCAAACAUUUUGGUAAUAAGGAGGAAUUUGGGAAUAAUGAUGCUUUUGUUAUAUAGGCAUACUGUAAAAUGUAUGUGAAUUUCUAAUUAGUUCAAGAAGAAGAGUUUAAUUUUGAGUAAACUAGUUGGCUGGCAUACGUAUCCUAUCAUAUUAGGAUGAUGGUAGUGAUCGAAAAUGGGAAAGCCUACACAAUUUGAUUUAUUAUGUGUCUAGCAUAGCUCCUUUGGGAACUCCUAGUAAUUCAACCACAACUAGAGCUCUAUAAUAAUUAGACAUAUUGAUCCUUUGUUGCAUUAUAUACAUUACUCAUGUAAUAUAAAUCAUUCCCUUAUCAGUUUUGUAGCCACCCCUAAUAUUACAUUAGACAUACUGAUCCUUGGUUCCAUGAGAUAAGUGCACCUAGCCACUCACUCAGUGUCUAGUAUAACAAACUUUCUUAUUAAAUACUUCGAUAAAGUUCUAAUUUACAAUAAUUGAUAUACUUGUUAGCCAUGUAUUUAAGGUUUAUCUUAUGGUUAUGUUCAACCAUUUUAUAUUAUGAAUUUAGAAGAAUUUUAACAGGAAAUACACGAUGCAUGUUUUCAAAUAUUUUAUGAAUUAUUUUAAAUUUUUAUGAAUUUUCUGGAUUUUUAAUUUUUUAAUUAUUUUUAGUUUAUUAUUAUUAUUACUUUUAAAUUUUUUUUACUUGUUAAAUACAGACAACGACUUCGGGCUGGCUCUGGUCUCGUGGGUCUGGGCCAUGGACACAAAUGGGCUAAUUCAAAAAAAGCCCAUUCGAAUAGAAUAUCACCAAGUCCAUUUCGUUGAAAUUAAAAAGCACUAAGCUCAUCUUGCUAAAAAAACUCAGCCCAAGCACCUCUAAGACUAAGACCAGCCCGAAUCUACUAAAACCACUUAGGCCCAAGAUCCAUCAAAUAACCCACGCCGAGCCUAAAUCCACGCAACCCAUUCACGCUUCCUUCCUCCUUUCUCAUCUAAUUUUCUUCCUUUUUAUUUUUUUCAUUUUUUCUCUCCCUUUUUUAUUUUUAUUUUUAUUUUUAUUUUUCUAUUUUCCAUUUCUCUUCCCUUCCCCUGUGCACCACCUUCUUCCCGUGAACGACUUCUUCCUUGCGACCUUCUUUUCAACCUAAUCCCACCAUUUUCCGAUGAGCCCUCGCCGGCGCUCAGGCCACCGCCGAGCCACCACUCGGCGUCGGUCGUUCAGUCCGACAACGCCAGUCACUGCCAGCCAUCACUUGGUCGCCGGUCGCCCGUCCCUCGCGGGCCAUAACCGAACCUCAACGGCAACUUUAAUGUCACCGAAACACGUAAUUCAAAACGGCAUCCAUUUCAACAGAACAAGCACACAAAUGGAGGGAAUAACAAACUAACUACGGCGUCCUCUAAUUGCGGGCUUCUCCAGCUAAAGGAAUGGCAAUCUCCGGCGAAGCGUUCACGGCCAGACUCGGACGAUGAGAAAUAUGCCACCAAAAGAAUCAAAGAAAACGCCGAUUCAGUCUCCCGUUUAAUGAUUCCAUAACGAAUAGAGCACGGAAAAAUAACAUUUCGAGCAUCUCGCUAAAAUUGAAUUCGAUUUUUCAUUGAGACAUUCCGUCGAACGGUCCAUGUGCAGUUCUGAAUACCACCUGUAGGUUCGAGAGCUUGCUGCGAUAGACGAUGACAAGCGAGUCGGCUUCCCCGGGAGGUCGCGAGGGUGAUUGAGACGGACCACCGACGAGAUGAAAGAAUUCUCUCCUCUCGGUUUCCGAUUUCUCUUCGAAACACCUCCGGCUCCACCACUCCGAGCCGAUCCCCUCUCUCUCUCUCCCCGCUCUUUCGUUUCUGCCCCAUCCUUACCUUUACAAGAAGAAGGAAUGGGGCUCCUAACGGGAAAGCUCAUGGCCCUUCCGGCAUCUGUCUCCAUGUUCUUCGCUGGGCAAUCCUCGCUAUGGUUUGAAUCGCCGCGACUGCGGUGUUCGAGCGCCGUCUCCCGGUGGCAAAUCUCGACCUCGCUCAAUCAUCACCGGCAGCAUUGGUCGUCUUCUCUCCGCAGCGAUGGUACAGAAGCAGCACCGCAAGUCCAACGCUAAGAAACAGCCUCACGUAAGCGAUUUCCUUCGCUACUUAUGGUUGCAAUUUCCAUCUAUUUAGGCAUCUGUGACUAUUGCUUGCUCUUCGAAGAGGCCGCAUAUCUUGUCUCCAAAGAAAUUCAAAAGUUUCAAUUGCCGUGAUAAUCCGUUUGUUGCGCCGACGCCUCUGAAUUGAGCUUUGGUGGACGUGCGUUUGGCUAAAUUCUUGGUUGAAGUGUUCGUAGGUGGUUGUUUUCGGAUUCUGAGUAGACGUGAAUGUAGUAUGCGUUGAUGAACAGGUCAAAAAGCAGGGGAAGCAAGCGGAUGACACGCAGUUCCGAGCUCAGCUUGAUGCUCUGGGCUGAAAAUUGUCCAGGUGACUGCAGAUAAUAAUUGCUUUUGCAGGUCUGUGUUCCUUGUUAGAAAAGAUCACCGACUUGUUCAUGAUUUUUUAUUGAAUGUUUUCAGGAAUUGGUUUGUUUUGUAAGAUAUUAGUAAUCCUCUCUGCUGUAGAAGUUUAGUAGUAUGCUCAUCGCAUUACCACUCUGUCGUCAGAGCAUAACACGCAUUGCAUUUUAUGGUAUACUGGUUCUGGAAUACUAUCAUCGAUGUCCUAGAAAUUCCUCUGUUGGAAAAACUAUUGCAUUUUAGUAUGAUGUAUCAUUCUGCCCGAGACACUGCAUCUGGAAACAUAUCUUGAAGAAGAGUUCUAUUUGUUGGGGAACACAGCUCUCUUACCUUAGUCUCGAGGAUAUUAGAUUGACUCUUCUGAGAUCCAAGUCAGUUACUUUGUAAAAUUUCAUAACUAUUCUACAACUCCUAGACAAACAAAACAUCUUCCUCAUUCCCGUUUUCAUUCCAUGUAUUUGAAUUAUCCAUCCGCCAGGUAAUCUUGCUGCCUUGUAUGGAGCUUUUGGUUAUAGAAAUGCCUUUGCUAUGGUUGGAAUUUUCUUAGUUGUCCACCCUUGUUAAUCAGUGCCCUUGCAGAUCAGUUGGAAGGCAACGAAGAUGAACAUGGAAAGUACCGGAGUAUGGUUGUUCAGUACAUAUUGGUAUGUGGAGUGCUGAUUUCUCUUUUUCAAGCCAUAGAAAUUAUGCUCGUAAGGGUUUUUUUACAUGGUGAUGUUAUCCUCAUUUGUAUUAGUGCUUAGCAAUCCAAAUCAGAACUUUUAUUCGGUGCAUUUUGUUCUUGAACUCUUUUUGUAAGUAUUGAUGGAUUUCUCACUUAUAUAGACAUUGAAAUAGCAUGCCUUUGGAAGAAAAAACCAAGUUAAAAUGGGUAUUAUAUAUUGAAGCUUACAUUUCUUCUGCCAAUGGUUAUUCCUGAUGAUAUUCAGUUGGCAGUCACAGUUGCAUAGAGCUAUACCAACACAAGGAUCACCUGAGCAAUUUGACAUUCUUAUUUUACUAGAGAGGAAAAGCUAUUGUGUUAACUGUGAUUUGGAUGGAGUAUCUUGGCCUAAACUGACAGGUGCAGGAGGAAACUGGACUCUAUAGUUAUCCGCAUUGUUCUAGCUUACAGGAACGUGCGAUUACUACUUUAGGGUGGCAAUAUUAUGUAAACCGACAUUUUUUCGAAGGAGAUUUGACAAAAUCAAAAAAUGAGAGAAUUGAUAAUAACGUAAAAUAAAUAAACUAUUUAGCUUGCAUCAUAGAACUGUAAUGUUUUGCAAUGCCACAAAUUGAUAGUUUUGCUUUUUUUCAAGUUUCAACAGGAUCCUUCAUUUUCAUUGGUUUUACUUAUAGUGAUGUGUUUAAGGAAAAAAAAAAAAAACUUGUUUGAAGAAUGGACCUGAUAUAUGCAUCUAAGCUGGGAAUUGUUAAUGACAGAACAAUCGUGAAAUGUUGAACCAUUUAUUGAGGAUGAUGUGCCAUUUGAGGAGUAUUGCAAAACCAUGGACAAUGAUGGCACGUGGCUGGUCAUAUGGAAUUGCAAGCAGCUUCUCUUGUUACACGGAGUAACAUUUGCAUUCACUGGGUAAGACUGACAAUGAUGUCAUCAAUUAUUCACCUACAUUGAGUUUUUGGGUUACAUUAUUUUCAUUCCUUCAGGGGAAACAUCUAGACUAAAUAAGGAUGUCAUUAGACUCGUCAAUCGUUAACCUUGAAUUGAAGUUUCCCUGUUUAAGCAUGCAUCCUAGAAUUCGAUGACCAUUGAAGAACCCAUGAUUAUCGGUUUCCAGACUCAUUCACUUAUUGAUAUAACGGCUUUCUUCCCCAAUAUGGCCCUCCUUUAUCCAAGAAGUUAUUUCCCAUCAUUGUUUAGAUCAAAAGACCACGUAGGAUGUUGUUUUAGUAAUCGUUAUAGCUUGUUAUUUUCUGUUUGGUUAUAAUUUGUUACUCUUUAGACUGAAAAGUUGACUCAUCUGAGGCGCAAUGUUAUCCGGCAUGCCUCAUGAUGUCUAUUGUGGCAAAAGCAUGUAGAAAGACCAUUGGUGAUGAUGUGCAAAAGAUUUUAUUCAGAGAUGGAUUGCACCGUGAGUCCCAACGGGUGCAUAUAAUCCUAAUUCAAAGAAGACUUGAUAUAUCAAAUUUGUUACAACAUUGCUGGCUCAUCGAAUGUUCUGUAUGUCCUCGAUGAAUCUACACAUUAGCAACAAUAAAUUUUGAUGCAUGCCGUGCACGCAUAUAUUUUUCGUUGACUCCAGAUGGAAUCACUCGUUACUUGAUGCAGAACAUGUCGCCUUGGUGGUACAUACGCAAUUUUGAUCAGCCUGAUGCUCGUAUGAUCCAUUUGCGAGUGUUCUGAAUCUAGGGCCUGAUGUUGCUUUUUGCCAAGCAAGUGCUCAAAUGCUGGGAUGAGAUCUGGCUCUGUUUGUAUACACUUAAAUAAAUUACCAUACCUUACAUUUCAAUUUCCCUCAAAAGAUAUGAAAAAAAAAUGUUUUAAUUUGCAAGAGAUUAUGAAAAGAUUAUAUGUUUCUCCUGGUCAAUUUUGUUUGUUUUUAAAAGGUUUUAGGUGUCGAGUUCUAUAAAGUCAAAUUGCGAGAGCUGCAAGAUUUGAAAAAAUAACCAAAAAAAAACUAUAGGUACAAUUCGUCCAAACAAACCGGCUCAUUACAUCAAAGAAGGUAGUGCAGCUUUUUUGAGGGAGACUGCUGAUUUUUGAAAUUAUUUUGGCAUGCAAGGACAGCAUAAGUUGCAGAUAUGAGUGUUGUUGCGGUGUUUGUUAGAUCAAACCAUGGAAGCUCUUUUGCUAGUUUGAGAGAUGUUUUGACGUGGUCACAGGGGGAUAAAUUACUGGCUAAGCAUAUGUGAUAGGAGACCAAAUGUCACUUUAGCUUUUGUUUCUUCAGUAAAUUUUUUAUUGAAUAUAGAUAUACUUCAAUGAAUGGCAUGCCAGGAUACUCUAAGAUAAGAUUGAUUGGCUCUGUUGAGGGAGUCAUCGUGACUUGGAUUGUCAUGAGGGUCAUGAAAUCUAGGGGAUAUAUGACAUUCCACACUUUACUAUCGUAGAUGAAUGUCAUCAUGCGAAGCAAGUAAGCAUAAAAAAUGUGCGUUGUGCCCUUAUUGUUUUGUGGACAGGGAAAAUCUUUUAGUCUUUUUGUACUGAUUGGUGUUUGUAUGUGCAUUAUUCUAACUUAUAGAUUUUGCUUUGUUUUAUUAGAUCUUAUCAUGAUGAGGAACAUUACAACAGUGUGAGGUUGAAGGAAGACUCCGGAGAUGGGCCAGCUAGGCCAAUCACAAUCAAGGUCGCUACUGGAAUUUAAUUUUAGUUUACUAAGUCAGUACAGAAGUUGGAAAAAUUUGUGAAUUGAAGUAUGUGAUUUGAUAAUUUCUUUUGCUGAAAGGCUGAUUCUAAUCUCUCAUCGUGGUCUGGCCAAGCAAAAGCUGGGUCAAACAAGUCUAAAUCAGGAGCUGGUAAGGAUACGACUGACGCAGGAUCCAUCAAGCUAGUCAUGGCAGGAAGUGGUUGUAAGAACAUUGAGAAAGUUGAGCAGGUUAUGUUCUCUCUUCUUCUGCUUGCAUGUUUGCAUUAAUUGUUUACCUCUCAUUUGCUAGGUGAUACUAGAAUUAGAAUGCAAUGUUUUGGACCUUUUUCUGGUUUCUGUGUGACAUGUGAUACUUCUACACACAUUGCUGCAAAUGUAGGUGGAUGUUGAUGCUGCCAUAGAGCAUUUGAUAGCAGAAUGAGGCAUUGAAGAUUUUUCAGAGGAAACUCUUUGGCCUCCCUGCAAUGCAGAUGCUUCUUAUGGUAAUGGCUGGUCAGUAAUUCUCUCUCUAGAUUUUCUUUAAUAAUUUAACUUCGCAGUUUCAGAGAUACUGUGUUAAGCUUCAUUAGAAGCUUUCUUGGAGUCAUUUUGAUGUGACUGGUGGGAUUAGCAUACUUUGUCUUGUCACCCAUGGAUUUUUGGGGUCGUCAAACAUGCUAUACCCAAAACUAUUUCAUAAUUUUGUUGUAUUUAGGUGAUGAUGCCAAUGGAAAUUCGGAGGAACAGAGAAAGGAACCUGUGGAAGAGACCUAUAAAGAGAAUCCACCUAGCAAUAGUGCUAAACGGACUCAUGAUGAUGGCAGUGCCCAGCAAGAAGACAAGGUUUCCGCAAAUAAUGAUUGUGUUAUAUCUUUUACCAUUUUAGUUUAAGCUCAAACAUGAGAACUGUUGAUCAUGCGUCUCUUCAUUUUUAUUUGCUUGUUUUAUUUUGAAAUGGAGAAAAUCCCAAGAAACAAGACUUGUCCGUGUGGUUCAAAAAAGAAAUAUGAGUCCUGUUGCGGGUCAGGGACGGCGAAAGUCUCUGCAAUUGCCAAGUAUUUCUCGUUCUAUCUGUGCUUUCGAUGUCAAGUUAUAGUUUAAGCUCGUCUUUUGUUGAAGUAUUUUUCCUGUUUCCCUGUGAUUGGAGUUGAUACUUAUCUUGAAAUUAUGGCUUAUGUAUCCAACACGGUAUCAAUUACGUUCCUUAAAAUCAUGUCUGCAAUAUUUUCUCACUCCUACGCUUUGUCGAAUAAUGUGUACUUACAAAAACAAAGAGAUUUCAUUUUUUUUAUGUCUAAAUGUUGUUUUGCAGUGAUCAAGCUUUUGAAUCCAGGAAAAGUAAAAAGGAAAAGAAGCGAGGCAAGAGAGGGUCUUGACACAUCUGCACUUUCUAGCGGAUCUUAUGAAGGGCCACCUGAUAUGGGGACUCUUUGCAUCUGACCUUUUCCCAAAGUAUGUGCACCAUCAUCUAUUGAAUUUCGGAUAUCGGUAUGUGUGCAGUCUUUCAGAUAUCUGAUUAGACAAUUUUUUUCCUAUCUAUAUUAGCACGUAUUCGAUGUAUGCAUCUCUUCUCUGACCUUUGGGAUAAGUGCACUUUCUAGUUUUUGACCUGUUGCCAAAUUUAGGAAGAUCUAUAGGCGCAAAAUUUUUAAAGGUGUUACUUCUCUUGGAUAGUCUGCUCGUCUGAUGCAUAAUAUGCUGGCAAUUGUGAUUUGGAGAUUCUUUGCACACACAAUUGAUGCGAAUGCAUGUAGUGCCUACCCCGGUAGAUUUGUUGGCAUUGGCGAAGGUGAGUUUGGGAAGCAACCAAAAGGAGAUAAGGAAAUUCAGUAAUUACUGUCCCAGGGCUAAACCUUUUCAUGAAUAUAAAAGAGAUGUUCACGUGAAUUUGACGAGUGAUGGUUUAAUUUAUAGAUUCCCUUCCAAAGUAUUGGUUUUGUUGUAACUGUAGUUUGUGGUUCCCGUGAAGAUGUUAUUAUUUUUCCAUUUAUUUCGUUGACAAGAAAUGCACUAAUCAUUUGCUCACACAACUUCUUGUAAUUGAUGAAAGACACGUAAGAUCCAAAAUGCACUUAAGCUCCAUAUAAGGAUCCGAAUGAAUCCAUUUGCAGUUGGAGAUGACACAGAUAUUACAUAUGCUAGCUCUCCUAUUCAAAUUGGUGUAGAUUUCUAAGAUAAACAACUUUGACUGACAAUUAUCUUUGGUUAUUUUGGCAAAUAAGCAUGUCUUGUAGAUCUUUUGUUGGUUGUCAUUAGUUGUUAGACGAAUUAUGGUCUCCAAAGCUCCUAAGUGAUAGACGGUGUGUAGAUAUGAUGCGCUGUGAAGUUUUAGCAAUAGAUUUUCCAAUUAUCCCACAAUUUAAAUCCCAACUUGUUCUUCUCAUUGUUUUUGUGGAAUUGCAUUGGGUCAGAUGCGGCUUGUCCAGUCCUCAAGAAUCACAACAAUCUUGCGGCUUAAUCAUUGCAUCCACGGGGGAGUAGGGAGAGUGUCGAAUUGUGAGCAAAGAACUGAUGCGGAAAGAAGUCUAUAACUUGAGCUUCCCCCCAAAGCUACUCAUGAGGUUACUUAUUAUUUUUUGUCGGCUUGCCCUCAAAUAUAAAUCCGUUCAUUCUGUACUAACUUCAAUAUGGAGCACAUGUUAGUCUGAGGUUAUCCUCUGUCUUCAAGGGGCGGUACCUAAUUGGUCUUGAAUGCUACUUUGUCCCAAAAUGGGGUUACUUUUUCAUCUACCAGCUUAACAAGCGUUGAACCUGACAUGGUGAUGCUGCUCUAAUAAUGUAGGGAGUUAAGCGAUCUGUUAAACUAAUAAAACUGUAUGUGUAGAUUCAUUUAUUCCAUGUAAGAAGUGAAAAACACUUGAUACUCUUGCAAGAUAGCAAGGUGUGCCUUGUGAGCCCCAUUUUCAUUCAAAUGGCGAUCCAACAUAUAGGAGGGCAUAAUUGCUAAAUGAUAUGCGAGAAUGUAGACAUCACGAGAAACUUCAAUGCGAUAAAAGCAUCUUCGGCUUGGCUGAUGCCGUGAUGCUCCGUGGAUGUCUAGGCCCAUAAAUGGACUUUUCCUGUCACGUGCCGUUGUCAAACCAGUUUAGUCAACCUUCGUCUUUAUUGUCCUUGAGAAGGUGAUCUGUAAAAGUCAAUAGACCAAACCUAGGUCCCUACCAUGAGAUGAGUGUACUUAGCCAUUAACUCAUUUCUAGUAUAAUAGACUUUCUUGUUAAAUACUUCAAUAUGGUUCUGAUUUACAAUAAUUGAUUUAGUUGUUAGCCAUGUAUUUAAGUUAUAUCUUCUGGUUAUGUUCAACCAUUUUGUAUUAUGAAUUGAGAAGAACUUUAACAGGAAAUACAUGAUGCGUUGUUUUCAAAUUUCUGAUCCAUUGAUUUUGUAGAUUUGCUUUGCCGGGUUCAUUCCAAACAGAGCAUAGGAGGGCCAGUAGUAGAUCAACAAUAGCUUAGAGGAAAUAUAGAUAGUGAAAGAGAAUGAUCAUUGAAGAGUGCUAAUCAAGUUUAGAAUCACCACAAAAAGAGGUGUGUCGUACAAGGUCAUGAUGUUAUACAAAGCGAUAGGGAUGUGUGGUGUGAUAAGCAAAUCAAUUUCAAAAUUUAAGCAUUAAGUAAGACGACUGCCAUUUAAUACAAUCAAUUUAAUUAGCUGGUCACAUCAUGUUGAUCAUUAGCGAUCUGAUUGUCGAAUAAAAUAUUUUUCUCAAACAAGGGGAUAGUCCCCCGAAAAGUUUUCGAAUGCUAGAACUCUGAGAUUCGCAAAAAUUUUGAGGAACCUCCCUUUGAAGAAACGCAAGGACUUUCCAAGAAGUGCCACUUUUGAUAUACUCUUAAUAGUUGCUAAAUAGACAUACCAUCACUUACGAGUUCAUCUAAGGAAUUUACUAUGCUAUUGGAUAAUUACUAAAGUGAUAGGAUCAUCGAGAUAUGAACUCCACAAUCAAAUUACUAACCUUAAAAGAAAGUUACUAAAUAUAGGCAUAGCGAUGAUCAUGAGGACUCCAUGGUACUUACAACUGUUGGAAAAAUAAUUUACGAUGUACAAAUACUAUUGUUACAAUAAAGAGGGAAAUUACUGUAUCAAUGGAGAAUUGCAAUAUGACGGUACCCUCAAGUUAGGAAUAACGAAGAGAUGUUUGUGACGGAAAGUUAUCAAUCAUAGGCACAGUACAACUUUUGAGGAUUUCAGUUGAUUUACAAUUGUUCAGGAAUAUUUACUGAGAAAUUUCGUUAUUUAUUAUGACUAUUUGAUGAAAUUUACUAUAUUAAUUUUAAGUUUACUAACGACUAAGAUUUUUGACCAAAAAAAAAAAAAACGACUAAGAUUAACAUACGGGUAUAACAAAGAUUUUUUUUUUUUUUUUUUUUUUGGCAAUGGGGAAGGAUCAACAUACGGGUAUAACAGGAAUAUGUAUAAAAAGACAUAAGUAGUGCCGCAAACCUUUUCUGCUUCUUCUAUAAACUGCAUGAAAAAAAUUUGAAAUUUCCCAAGCGAAGGGAAAUGAUCCUGGGAAAUAAACUACGAAUAUGGUUUUUUAAGGGAUAAAGCAAACCACAAGUCCUAAAACUUGCUGGAAAAAUGCAAUUAAAGUCCUAAUUUAAAAAAAAAAUACAAUCGAGUCAUAAAACUUAUCCAAUUAGUACAAUCAAUAACUUCCGUCAGCCCCGUCCAAUUUGAGUAUUGGAAAAUACUAGCACGUCAUCUUUUGAUAUGUUUUGAGUACACACGCCGGAGAUGCUCCAGCCCAACAUGGUGCCCCGUUAAAAUGAUUUGAAGCGUCUUGUGUGCCCAGUCUCCCACUAUUCCUUCACAUAUAUUUGAAUAGGACAUGAGAGAUUGAAUUGAACGCCAUUUGCUACUCCAUCAACAAGACAGGUGUCCCAGGGUAUCAAGAAAUGUAUGCCAAUCCUAACUUGCUUCGUUGGCUCCUUAAUGAUAGCUUCCUUAGAGCUGCAAGCCAAUACUACUCCACUCCCCUCUUCUUAUUUAAUCUUUCAUAUGCUUCCCGUUCCUCAUCUGCUUCCAAUUCCUCCAGUCGGCGAGGGAGAAAUUUCCGGAAGAACUCUUUAUGCUCUAUUUCACAUAGUGAAGCUAGAUCCACUAAUUGAUUGCCUCCAAGCGCAACCUUCAAAUCAUCAUCCAAUUGCUCACAUAUUAGCACAUAUCCCAACUUUUCCACAGUUCUACCUGACACUAUGAGUGUAAGUUUAAAUUGUAAGUAAUCCUCAUCAAAUUCAAGAAAAUUAACUGCUCCCUCCAGCAAUCCCCAUAGCACAUUUGGUUUGAGAUAUUGAAUCCACAUUUGAUCCGAAUCAAAUGAACCAAGAGAUCCCGACAGCACAUUUCGUCUUUGGCCAUUAACAUGGGGCACGAUGUUGAAAAAUAUUUCCUUUUCUCCAUCUUCUACACUAAAAGCAACACAUAGAGCUAAUCCAAAGAACUUAUCAUAAAAGUCCUGUGAAACCAUAAAAGAUAUGGUACCGCCUUCAAUGGGGACGAACUCCUUUGGCAUAUCUCCUCCGGGGAGAAUAUUUUUGUAUGAAGGACGAAUUUUGGAAUAGCGAUACUUCUGUUAUACCAGUAAAUUGUUAGACAUACUCAAGUUGAUAAUCAGUUCCAAUGCAAAAGUUUGAUUUGAGAAUUUUUCUUGUAAUUCAACAAAAGCUAGAGUUUUAUAAUAAUUAAACAUAUAGAUCCUUCCUUGCCUUAUAUGUAAUACUCAUGAAAUCAUUCACUUGCGAGUGUUGUAGCCACCCCUAUUACAUGUAAGUGCAGAAUCACCUUAUGUUAGAUUUGCUUGUUUGUAUAGAAUUUUGAGUUUUUGCAUUAUACAAACACAAUGCACCCGACAUACACUGCAACAAAUCAAUACAUGCAUGAAUGCGCGCGCCCUCGUGGAGGGAGAGAGAGAGGGAGACAGAGAGAGACCUCAACUGAGAAGUCAGCCAUAAAAUCCCCGCUGUCAAACUUCAUAUCGUGGUAUGUUUCCCAUUUCCUUCUACGGCCUUUAUUAUCUUCAUGUUGUCUCCACCGCUAUUGCAUAUAGGUGCAAAAUCACAAUACAUUAGCUUGUUUUGUUUACUAGCAUUUGCAGCUUUUGCAUUAUAAAAACACAAAGCACCCAUAUCAAUCAAGCACACGCACAUCACAAUGGCGGGGAGGGAGGGAGGGAGGGAGGGAGGGAGACCUUAAAUGAGAGAGAGGCCGAACUUUUUUCCCCUGUGGUUGUUUGUUUAUCAUCAUGCCAAAUCUCAUAGAGCAAACCCAGAUCCAGUGACUGGUCAUCUUGAUACAAAGCCUCCAAAUCGUCCUCUAAUGGCUUGCAUAUUAAUCGAAAUCCACACUUGCUUACAAUUGCAUUAUCGGAUGCUAUAAUGCCAAACUGGAAAGAACAAGAGUCAUCUGGACCAAAAGCGUCUCCUUGCCAUAGCCGCUCCAUUUUAAGAUACAAAAGCCACACAUGAUCCGAACGCCAUGAAAAACGUUGAACGCGGACUUCCGGGUUGGAUAUGCCAUUCAUGCAUGUACGGAGCACCAAUUGGGCAUUUCGUUUACCUUCCUUUGUUCGACAUACAAUGCAGAAAGCUACUGCUAGGAACUUCUUACGCAAGUCCUUUGAAGCUUUGAAAGACAUAAAACCCUCUUUAUUCGGGAGCAACCAUUGCGGCAUCUCUCUUCCAGGCAUUAAAAUAUGGGAAAACGAGGAGGAUAAAAAUCCCUGUCACAGAUGUAAAUUGUCAAGACAGUAUUUCAAAUUUGGCACUUGAAAAGAGGAGUUUAAAGGAAUUAAGUGGGUCGACAAGUUUAGCUAUAGUUAGCAACACAUGUACACUUCGUAUUAAUCGGAAGGGGGGGAGGGGGGUGUGAAGGAAGGAGGGGGAGGGUGUCUAACCUCAUCACGGACCGGUUUGCCCCAGAAUGGUUCAAUAUGGUUAACGGCCCAUAUGUUAGAGGGGAUUUUACUUAGAGAUUCACAAUUCACUGCAGCCAAGUUGUGCAAUUGCCCUGGAAUCUUGCCAAUCUCUUGCAGCUGUCGGCAGUCCGUAACAUCCAAAAAGCGUAAAUUAUGUAGCUGGCCGCACAUUGGAAGCUUAGCAAAAUUGUUUUCGGACAAACACAAUUGUCUUAAGUACGGAAAACAUGAAUGAUUCUCUAGGAACUCUACUUCUAAUAGAUUGCAUCCACUAAGCCCUAAGAUCACUAACUUAUGAAAUCCCGUCUCGCUAUGCAGAUCACUCAAAUUCUCCUCCUUUUUUGGAAACUUGAUUAGUUUUGAACAACCAUCAAGUAUCAAGCUCUCAAGAUCUGGCAACUUGUAAAUGCUAGAUGGGAGGUUUGUCAAUUUCUUGCAAUUAAGUAAACUCAAAUUCUUCAAAGAGACAAGAUUUUCUAUGGACGUAGGAAGUUCCUCAAUUGAAGUCCCUUUUAAAUAAAGUUCUUGCAAGCCUUUGAUUUUAUCAGGAAUAUCAGGGAAUCUUUGCAACUUUGAGCAAUCGGUAAGAUUGAGAAGUUGAAGAUUCUUAGAUUGGAAAACAUCAGGGAGAUGAUGAAGGUUAGAGCACCCCUUUAAAUUCAACAACAGUAUCUUGGUGUGAUAUGCAACUGAUUCGUGAACACGCUCCAAAUUUUUGCACCCAUGGAGAUCCAGUUCCUCAAGAUUUGGAGUCAAAUCAAGGUCCGGCAUACAAACCAUCUACGGACAUUCACUAAGCUUAAGGAACUUCAAAUUUUUAAAGUCCUGCAAGAAAUAUCCAGAUGGAAAAAAAAAAUGAAGAUAAAAAUAUUUGAUGAAAAACACUUGAUCAUAAUUCAAGCCCCGUGUGAUCAGAAAUUAGUUGAUCAUAUGGUGUAUAUAGAGCACUCCCUCUCCCUUUUUAAAUAUGAGUUUAUUGAACGAUCCUUGGCCAAAAGAGAAGAUAAAAAAAGAAUAACACUUUAAUUCCACCACACACUACAGCUCUAUCAAGCGACAUACAAGAGAAAUUAGUCCAACGCUAAGAAGUGUGGCCACUUCUACUAUAUAUAUACGUUCAGAAACAAUACAUGUAAUUCAGAGAGAGAGGGUAACCUCAAGUGGGAGCACAUGGGCCACGGUCAAAUUCUUAGCCAACUAAUUCAUGACAUGAAUUUAAGCUAACAUAGGUAGCACUUGAUGGAUCUAAUUCAUGACACGAAUUUAAGCUAAUAUAGGUGGCACUUGAUGGAUCUAUAACCUUAUGCAGAGAUGCGCAAAACUACCAUAAAGGCAGUGGAAGCUCAGAAAUCUCUCAUGUCAUCACUUAUUAGGUCAUGGAGGUUGGUCGAUCGAUUUUCGAGAAUGGUAUCAUGCAGUAGACCCUUGAUGUGUUACUUGUUGCUGAACUUUAUAUUAAUGAAAUUGUGCCCCUACAUGGCAUUCCAAAGACAACCCCUUCUUAUGUCAAGUUUAUCAGUCACUUUUGGUAUACAUUACGAAAAAUGGGGACUUAGCCUCAGUUUAGUUUUGCUAGCCAUCUUUAUAAGGAGUUCUAGUAGAAAACAUGUAAAACGUUGGGAUAUGUUAUUGGUUCAAGCCGAAUUUGCAUAUAAUAAUUCGAUGAGUCAAACCAUUAGAAAAUGCCAAUUUGAUGUUCUGUAGCGAAAGCAUCUUUUAAGUCCUUUAUAUCUUACAUCAUUUUUUUUUUUUUUGGUAAAGUUUAUAUCUUACACCAUUGUCCAUCACUAAUAUGAAGGAAGAGCUAAGGCAAUCAGUAAGUUACUUGAGGAAGUGAGGAAGAGAAGUUCGAAGCAAACUAUCAGAUAUCCCAGUCAAGUAAACAAACAUAGAAAGCGUGCUGUUCUUAAAGAAGGUGAUCUUGUCUGGAUUCAUUUGAGAAAAGCGCUUUCCACCUAGUCGUCAUACUACGGAUGGUUCUUCUCUAGUUUGGGAACGCAUUGAUAAUAAUGCAUACAAAAGUGAGCUUUGCGGAGAGAAUGGUGUUUCCACUAGUUUCAAUGUUGCUGAUCUAUCACUAUGAAGUUGGCCUCAAGGAGGAGUCUUUUCAAGAUUUCAAGAUUCUCUCUUGUGAAUAGAAUAAUAGGGAUAAAAUAUAUUUUCUUGAUCAGUGAACCUGUUUUAUAUUUUUUAGGAUUGUUUUAGUCUUGAUUACAAUAUGAUAAUAUUGUAGCCUGUUUGAAUUUUGUAGUUUGUGUUCAUUUUUCUUUAUUUGGAGGUUACUCAAAGGUAUCUUAGACUCCUAUUUAUAAGUGCCUUUCGGUCUGUCAUAGUGAACAUGAUGAAUUUAUUAAAUGAAGUUUCAUUCUAUUUUUCUUUCUCUGUGUCCUUUGGGUGGACUAACGAGUGAUCAAGAGAGUGUUGCAUCCUUGGACUGGCCUCCUAAGGUAGUCUCUUCCCAUCCUCCAUUGUGGGGUUUUUCCACUUCAUUAAGAUUGAAAAACCCCUUUUUUAUUUAUUUGUUCGUUCAACACAUUCCGACGUCAGUCUGGCCGACAAGUAUGACAGCAAAAUUGAAAGCCCACGAAGUUUGUCUCAUGUGAGGCAUAGAAGUGAAAACUAUAAGAGUACGCACAAGAUUUGAAAAAAAAUUGAUAUUUGAAAGCAAAACCACCAAAUUAGAAAUAUUCAAAUGGAAAGAAAUUGUUGGUCAAUAAACAACACGCAAACAUAGAAUAUAUGUAGGAUAUUUCAAAAUUGAAAUUUGCAAUAAGAAACUUGUAGGAUUAGAAAAGAUCAAAAUUUAGAUUGUGAAACAUGAGAGAUCAAAUAAUUAAUAGUUUAAGCACCUCUCUAUGAAUAUUAUAUUUGUAAAAUAAGUAAUCGAGAUAUUUUGGGGAAGAAUUUAAAUUGAAAUCCUGUGGAAGGUCACCUUUACCUUGUACAUACAUGACUUUAGAUUAGAUUUAGGUUUAAAUAUACUUAAAUUAGCAAAGCAAGCCCCUUACUUCUCUUUAGAAAGCUUUAUUAGUUAUGCGUGAAAGGCCGGGUUGCACUACUAGCGUCCUCGAUGUGGUGCGCUAGCGCGUCUAUAAAGUAAGACUCUUCCAUGGAAUUGUACUGCACAAGCCUUUAUUUAAAAAAUUGGGAGAAAGAAUGGCUGGUCAAUCUAUCUCCCCUGAGAGUUGCUUUUCGUCCGAUGAUUUCUCACUUAGGAAUAAAUGGAGUAAGGGCGCAAUCGAAUGGCCUGAUUGAAAGGAAAGGAGGGGAACGUGUUACAUACUUGGAAGGAGAAGGAGAAACUCCCGGUUAGAUUUGAAAAUGAAUAUUUUAUCCAUAAAGAUGAAGAUAACUUUCUUGGAGCUCCGCUUAUUCCUCCUCCUAAAAAUAAGGUACUUGCCAGAAAUCUCUGGUUAGGUCGGUACAAUAAAAAGAGACGGCACUUUUGGGGCUAACUUACAGUUAGAGCUGGAAAAAUGAGUCAUAAACCCAUAUUAUAACCAGUUUUUAGUUAAAUGGGUCAUAUAUAGGUCAAGUGAAAGUUAAAUAUGGGUCAAAAAUGGGUUUGAGAAAGUAAAGCACAAAAAAAAAAAGGGGUCUAAAUGGGUUAUAAGUAAUAACCCACUUUGAACCCAUGGGCCAUGGCCUUCUUUAAUUUUAUAAAAUGUUUUUUUUAAUAAAAAAUCGAAAUUAUAAUUAUUUUUUAUAUUUCAAUAUUAUUUUUUUAUUUUUAUUUUUUCUUUCUUUUUCUUCAUUCCUUAGCCGAUGGUCAGCAAGGCGAUGGCCGGCCGCCAACCGGCGACAGGCCAGGCGAGGCUCGAGCUCGCUCGGCGAGCUGAGCCUCCCCCGACGCUGGUGAGCUCGAGACUCGCUGGAUCUGGCGAGAUCGAGCUCGCCAAUGUCAAGCAAGGCCAAGCCUUGCCGAAUAUGGCAAGAUCGAGCUCGCCAGCGUCGAGCAAGGCUCGACCUCUCCAAUCUACAGGGCCAAGGCCCCGCCCGACGCCGAUGAGCUCGAGUCUCGCCACAUAGGACGAGGCUCAGCCUCGCUAGCAUCGGGCGAGGCUCGAGCCUUGCCAGAUAUGGAGAGACUCGAGCUCGCUGGCGUUAGGCAGGGCCUCGACCUCGCCAGAUCGGCGAGGUCGAGCCUCGCCCGACGACUAGCGAGACUCGAGCCCUACCCGACGCCGGCGAGCUCAAUCUUGCCUACGACGGCCGGCGGCCUGCCGAAGAAAAAGAAAAUAGAAAAGAAAAAAUAAUUAUUAAAAAAUAAAAAUUAUAUUUUAAAAAAUAAAAAUUCGAUUUUUUUAAAAAUAUUUUAUAAAGAAUUAUAAAAAAUUUCCAUUAAAUUUGCAUUGCAUAAGUAUUGUUAAAACAUUUUUAUGUAUUAUAAAAAUUUUCCAUUAAAUUUGUAUUGCAUAAAAAUUGUUAAAAAAAUUUGUAUUCAUAAAAAUGUUUUAACAAUACUUUUUUUUUUAUAAAAAAAUCAUAAAAAUGAGCUUUUUUAGAUUUAGUUAAAAAAAACUUUAAUGUUAUAGUUUUUAGUUAUUCAAUGGUAUGUUCACAAUUUUUGGUUAUUCAAUGGUAUGUUCACUUCAAAUAAGAGAAGCAUGUGCAUAGUCUAAUUUUUUUAUAAAUAUUUCAAUUUAUAGGUUUUUUUUAACUUUUUUUGUUUUAUUUACUAUUUUUAAUUUAAUUUAAAGUUUCAAUCCAAUUAGCAUAUAGUAGAAAUGGGUUUUUCUAAAAUAUUAAUAGGUUUUAGCAAUACGGAUCGGGUCGAAUAUAGGUCGGGUAUGGGUCGGGUACGAGUCACUAGAUUUACACUGCAAGAAUAUGGAUCAAAACGGAUUAAAUGGGUCAAAUAUGGAUCGACCCAUUUCGACCCAACCCACCCAUUUGCCACUCUUACUAGUAUAGACUUAACUCCCUUAAAGAUCCUUUAUUGCAUGAUUUCUAUAUAUCUCUUUUCAUUAUCGGCUGCAUUCUAUCAUAGAAACAACAACGUGAGAUUCAAUCAAAAGUACUUAGCAUGCAUUCGCUUCAAUGAUAAAGCAAAUAAGCAAGAAAAAUCUUAUUCUAUUUUCAUAUGCAAUUUAGAAAAGAAUCUAGUAAGCUCGUCUCUUAUAUAAAAUAUAGAAUCUUUGAUGAUAUUUUCAAUAUCUAUCAUUUCAAAGGCAUACAAAUUGAAUCCUCAAUUCAUGUUUAUUAAAGUACGAAGCACAUUUAUCAUUCAAUUGUUAACUUAUGUCAUCAAUAAGUUCUUGUUCCAAUUUUCGGUAUUAAAGUUACUGAUCACAUAUGUUGCAUUCAGAGUUUUCAAUAAUUCAUACACAUAUCCAUAAUCGUAUGCAUACAAAUAUAGAUAUAUAAGAGAUAAGUAAAGAAAGACAAUUAAUUUUAAAUGCGCACCUUGAAUUGCUCCCUCACGACUUGGAUGUUGGUUUUGUGCAGAUCAAGCCCAACCAACUUCUUUGGACAAGAGGAAAAUUCGGGAAACCAAGGACAUUCAGGCCAUUCAAACCAUCUCCGUUCAUUAGGAAGACAGAUAGGACCUUGGAAAGAGUUAUGCACAUUAAUCAUGAUGAGCAACCUCAAUCUUCUCAUGUUUUUGAAAGCAUUGGGACCUAUGUCUAUUGCUUCCGUCUUGGGUAAACCCAAAACUAUGGCUUUUACUGCAUUUGUUCCCUGCAUUUAUAGAACUUGCAUUGCAAUUAGUAUACAAAGUCAGAGAAGAAGAGAGUAAAAUCAGUGUUUAAACCACCAAAACUUACCAUAUCCCCCGAUAGAACAUCAUGAACAUCUUCACAAAGCCAUAACCUGCUGCGUCUUCCAGGAUCAUCGCGACAUUCUUGUUUAACAAUAUCCAUGCCCAUCAACUGAAUCAAGUCAUGCAUUUGUAUUGUCUCCCUCUCUUUCGUUAUUAAGGACUUCUCAACAAGAACUUGUACUCCAAUAGUUGUGUCAAAGUCGCAACUGUUAAGGACUUUCAUGAUGUACUCUAUAGAUCGCCCCUUGAAGAAACAUGCAAUAUCAAGGAAUAUCUCCUUUGCAUAGUCCUCUAGUCCAUCAUAACUUAACUUGAGAACAUCAUUGAUGGUUUUGUCAAGACUUUUAACAAGUUUAUUCAAUGCGCUUUCCCACUCUUGCUCUCUUCUACCGCGUAGGAAAGAGCCCAAUACCUCAAGUGCUAAAGGAAGUCCAUUAGCAUAAUGCAAAGCACUAUCCACAAGAUCCCUCCUUAUUAGUAUUUCCUUACUUCUAAGAAAAGCAUGUUUGUUGAAAAGUUCAAGAGCUUCCCAAUCCACUAGAGUUUUUACUUCAUAGAUAUGAUCUUCACCCAUCUCAUGAAGAGUUAAUAGAUGAUUAUCUCUUGUUGUGAUGAUCAUUCUGCUUCCUUUACCAAACCAUUCACGCUCUCCAGCUAAAGCAUUUAAUCGUUUUACGUCAUUCACAUCGUCAAGAACAAUGAGGAUUCUUUUUCGGCAAAGUCUAUGUUGCAUCAAAUUAAUACCUCCAUCAACACUAGACACUGUUAAUUCUUUUCCCACUAAUAUCUCAGACAACAAUUUUUCUUGCAAAUGAACUAAAUCCUUGGAAUCUUUUGAAGUUUCACGAACGUUUGCCAAAAAACAUGAAGCCUCAAAUCCUCUGAAUAUAUCAUUGUAAAGGGCUUUGGCUAAUGUUGUUUUUCCUAUGCCUCCUUGUCCCCAUAAUCCUAUCAUGAGAACAUCAUCACGAGACUCAAGAUUUAACAUUGAUUUUAGCUUUACCACUUGUCGAGGUAUUCCAACCGGAUGCUUGGCAACGUGUAACGGUGUUCGGUCUAGCUGCAUAGAGAUCUCCUGCACAAUUCUCUUGAUAAGAUCCGCUUCCGCUUCAUCUCUGACAAAAUACGGAAAGGUACUAGAUACAUCAAUUUCCAAAGAUAAUUAACUUUCGUGGAAAAAGAAGAAGAGAUUCAGCAUAUAAAAAAGAAAAAACAAAGCAGUGUCACAUCAAUCACUACUUAGUACUUACUUAUCCUUGAAUUCCCACCCAGACAAGCUACCCGCAUCAAGGAGAGCCUUCUCCCAUCUCUUCACUUUCUCUGAAUCUCUCCCAAACUUGUUCUCAUGCUUAACCAUAGCUUCUCGGUAGUUCCCUCUUGGCGUUCUCACUUCUCUAGGAUCCACUUUGUAAAACACCGGAAAUACCGUGAGUCCUCUUUUCUCCUUGCACUCCAUGAUUUUCUCCACCUCUUCCAAACACCACGGUGAGGAAGCAUAGUCCUUGGAGAAAAUGAUGAUCGCGAUACAUGACUCCUCAAUUGCCUUCAUAAGCGCCGGCUUUAUACAGUCGCCUUUCCGAAGCUCCUCACUAUCAACAUAACUGUAAAUUCCUUUUUGGGCAAGCACUGUGUAGAAAUGACUGAGGAAGCUUUUUCGAACGUCCGUACCUCUGAAACUCAGGAAGAUGUCAUAAUUCCCUUUCAGAUCUGAAGAAGCAGCCAUUAGAGGAGAUGAAGUUUGAUGUGCUUCCUCAGAAUGCUUAGUGUCUGGUCGGGUUGCAGCUCUAUCUCUCAUAUGGAUAUCACCUUGUACUAAUAAAGAAACAGAAACAAAAACCAGAUCAUUUCUGAUGCUCUGAGUCGAUAAGCAUAUACUCCACCAACUAAUUUAACAGAAAGCAGCAUUUUGCAUAAGGUGCACGGAACCAUCCUAUAUAGGUGCUUCUUGACUUGACUUGCCUUUUCCAUUAAUAAAGAAAUAGAAAAGAAAACUAGCAACACUCCCAUGUUCCUGGUGCUAAUAUACAUGAGUCAAUCGCAAAACACCGCCUGUUGGAAUAUUAUUUAUAAUGAACAAUUUGACUUUUUUCUUUCAAAAGGGAUUCUACAAAAGCAAAUCCCAAAAUAAAUUUUUUUUCCAUACCAUGUCCUGCAUUGAACGGAACAAAUUCGAAUAUGUUCAGGCAUUUCUUCAAACACGUAGUGGGCAGCGAGUUGGACAGAGAAUAUGGACCUAUUCGGAGCUUGAGCUCACACUUAAACUCAAGAGAAAUCAGCGAGCAACGUUCAAACUUAGGAAAAACCGACUCAUUCAGAUCCGACGCGAGUGAGGACUAAAGAAAUCGAGCUUGCUUUGCUCUUUUAAAAUCAAGCAGGACGAGGCAAAAAAAUAAAAAAUAAAAAGAAGGAACGAGCAAUACACAGUGCCNNNNNNNNNNNNNNNNNNNNNNNNNNNNNNNNNNNNNNNNNNNNNNNNNNNNNNNNNNNNNNNNNNNNNNNNNNNNNNNNNNNNNNNNNNNNNNNNNNNNUCGCGAAGCCCUGCUUUUUUUUUUUUUUUUUUCCUUUUAAUGGGAAAUUGUCUCUUUUGAGAGAGAGCGUGAGGGAUCCCCAGAAAGUCGAAGAAGUGGCUACUAGAGGAGAUGAAGGUCGAUGUGCUUCCGCAGAAUGCUUACUGUCUGGUUGGGUUGCAGCUUUAUCUCUCUUGUGUAUGGGCUCGUUUAGUUCGGUUUUUGGAAAUGCCCCCCCCCCCCCCUCAAUACCUUUGAAGUUAAAAGGUUUUUCAAAAUGCUAAACUGUUUAGUAAACUAUAACAGAAAAACGCUUUAGGGAAAUGCAAUACUGUUUGGUAAAUAUAUAUUUAAAAAACCUUUUAGUGUGACCAAAUUAUAUUUUUAGUUUUAGUAUUUUUAAAAUUACAAAAAAAUAAUAAUUAUAUAAUAUUUUAUAUUUUUAUAUUGAGAAUAAUGUAAAAGAUAUAUAUUAGUAAAUUUAAUUAAAAAUUAUAUUAAAAGAAAUUAAUUAUAGAUUAAAUGCAAAGCUCAACUUUUGGCUUAGGAUUCUUUUAGGUUUGUUUUCAACUUUGAAUAAUUUUUUGUAAUUAUUGUAGUAUUAAUCAUCUUCGUUAAUUAAUGAUAAUUCUAGUGUAUUGAUAAAAAGUUGGGCUAUUAAUUGUCAAAAAAUAAAAAUGACAAAAAAAAGGUGAACCUAACAUUUGCAAAGGGUUUUUAUUAUUUUUAAAAAAAUAAAAAUAAAAUCCUAUAAAACUUCGUCACUGAUCAAUAGCGAUUGGGGUGUGAAGAAGAUGAUUGGUUUAAAAAACAAAGAAGAAGAAGUCAAUGGAUAAAUAGUAGAUGUGGACUUGCAUUUCCGAAAUGCUGAAAGCCCAAAGCAGGUCUCCACUUACUUUGAGCUUUCAGCAUUUUAAAGGCCAGCAUUUAGUUAAGGACACCUCAAAAUACUGAACCAAACACCUAAAUUUUUUCUUAAUGGGCUUUCGAGGCUAAAUGUCUCUUGGGAAUGCUAAACUAAACGAGGCCUAUAUCACUUUGCUCUUUUUGACCCAGACUUUCUCGAAUCACGCAGCAGUGCUAAUGAAAGAAAGCUAUAGAAAAGAAAGUAAAGGUGCAUUAUUGCAUGCGUAAUUUCCUCUGAAGGUGCAUAAAAUUUACGCGUGUCCUUUCUUUCUUUUCCUUUGUUGACUUGACUUGUUUUUUCUACUAGUAAAUAAAUAGAAACGAAAACCAACGAACAAUUCUAAUGCUCCGAGUCAGUAAAGCAUACUCUCAAUCGAUUAAUUUAAUAAAAAUCAGAUAGUAAUAGAAAAUAAAAUAAAAGGACAAUCAAGGCACACGUAACAUCCGUGGGAGGUGCAUAAAAUUUAUGUCGUAUCCUUAUUUUUUUUUUCUUUUUGUUUUCCUUUCUUGUCUUGACUUUCUUUCUCUACUAAUAAAAAAUUAGAAACGAAAAUCAAUCGAUAAUUCUAAUGGUUGCAUAUUCUCGACCGAACUAAUUUAAUAAAAAGCAUAUAGCGAUAGAAAAGAAAAUGAAAGGACAAUCAAUGCAUGUGUAAUUUCCAUAGCAUUUUGUAGAAGGAGCAUGUAACCCGGUUCUUGACUUGACUUGCAUUUUUCAUUAAUAAAAGAAAUAGAAAAGAAAACUAACAAUACUCCCCUGCCCUUAGGUCCUCGGCAUGACCUUAAACUGCAGCGCUCCGGGGGGGACAACCCCGAUAGCAAGGCCCCUAAGCACGGGUCGGUGCCUCACCCCCGCGCUUCCGUGGGAACCUCGGCGCACAAGGGGGUACUAGCAGCUCCCACGCUAGGAAAAAUAUAGUGGCUGGGAUGAAUAUCCCGUAAGACCCCGAGGGAGACAACCCCAAUAACAAGGCCCCUGGGCAUGGGUCGGUGCCUCCCCCCCGCGCUUCCGCGGGAACCCUGGCGCACAAGGGGGUACAAGCAGCUCCCACGCCUGGAAAAAUAUUGUGGCUGGGCUAACCGUUCGUAAGAUUCAGGACCUGAGCAGGUCCUUAAACUGCUCACGGAGGAAACAGGUGGGAGAACCACCUAGGGAUGGGAGACCCCAUGCUGUCCUCCUAUUUCCUCCCCUUAAGGAAGAAAAGAAUCCAAGGGGAAUUAGGGGGGUCGUAGGUGGUGAGUGUAAACACCACGUCUGGGAAACCAGCCUACGACUGGACUGGCUUGGGGUAACCAACCCCCGACCCUCGCCCGACGUGAUACGGCGUAGGUGCAAUGCCUACAGGACUCUGGACGCCCCUUCGGGGACGGUUCCUCAACCAACCGUUCCAGGGUCUUCCCCCGGUUGAGGAACCGUCCCCUGCCCUUGGCGUGCACACAUAAUUUCCAUUUCCACAGCAUUUUGUAUAGGUUGCAGAGAACUUGCUCCUUGACCUGACUUGCAUUUUCCAUUAAUAAAAGAAAUAGAAAAGAAAACUAGCAAUACUCCCAUGCCCUUAGCGUCAAUAUACAAGGGUCAAUCGCAAAAACAUAGCCCAUUGGAUUAUUAUUUAUAAUGAACGAUUUGACCUAAUUUUUCUCUCGGAAGGGAUUCUAGACAUGCAAACCCUAAAAUAAGUUUCCCCAACUUUUCCCCCACUUUUCAAACUAAAUUUCUCCCUAUCAUAUCUUGCCUAAAGAUUAUCAAGUCAUCACCCCCUUAGCCAAGUCACUUUGAUCUCACUCCUUAAUUAAUUUUGUUUUCUACAUAUUAUAUUUAUUUUAUAUUUUUAAUGUCAUAUUUAGAAUUUCUCAGCUAAUGGAUUAUCCACGAUUGAAUAACUAUUUAGGGAAUACUUUUUUCCAUUUUUAUUUCAUUUUUGUUGAACCUUUUAUUCUAUGUUAACACUCUUUUUUCCUAACUUCUUAGUAAAGAUAAUCACUUAUUCAUUUGAAGGUGCUUGUCAUUAGUGAUAAGAUGUUGUGAACCAACUAUAUUACGAUAUCGGCUUUAUCUUUCGGUAAAAGCUGGAGCCUUAAGAUUUUGAACAGCAAUGACGUAUAGAGGAUUCGUGGAAUGGGAGCUUUUGCUUUGAUGUCUCAAUUAUAUUAUUUAGUGCAUGUACAACUGCCUUUCGGCGACGUUCUCAUGCAAGAGCUUUUGGACACUUCUUGCCGAUAAAAGGAUUGCGAAAGGUUGAGAUUUGUAUUUUGCAUGGGUUAUAGUAUGACUGAUGGAUGAUUUUGAGAGAACUUGUAAUCUAGGAGUGAUUUUGAGUGUUUUUUUCCUCCUUUCAUAUCAAAUGAGAAAUACUCAAUCCUUUUAUAUAUAGUUUGUGCACUCUCUCUUGGCUUGAAUUACUAAAUUCAUCUAGAACUAUCACGGUAUUUUGGUACUCUGUGGAGGGCUUUAUGCAGAGUUGACAUGUGGCUCAUUUGAUGGUUUCCACCUCCCUUUCGUUUGCUUUAAUCUAUUCAUCCUUCUUUUUCUCUUCAUUUCCAAGAAGAACUUAUUAACAAUAAAGAGUACUUUGUCCAAACGUGGAUGAUGUGUACCAAGGCACCGUGGCACGGGGAACAACAGGCAAAUGUCGCGAGCGUGAUUUUGGUGGCUAAAAUUCGCAUGAUUAUUUGGUAUGCUUUUCAUGAUUUGCUUACUAGAGAUAUAUUAGUAUACAAUGGGAAUGAAGAUAUCCAAAUUCAGAGUGCAGGCCUAUUAGUUAACUUGAGAGAAUAGCUUUGACAUGCAAAUUAUUUUAAAUAUUUUUCACAAGAUGUAUUGUUUAUGCAAGUAUGAAGAUAAUAGUGCUGAUUUGAGAAAUGUGUUUUGAUUUGAGUAGGUCUUCACCAAUAAUUGGUACGUUGUAUUUUUCUUUAUGCACUAGACAUUCUAGUUACAAAUUGGAUAAGUAUUACCUUUUCCUUUCAUUGCUGGGGCAUGAAAAUAGACCAAGCCUUUUAUUUAGUUGAAAGUGACGCGAUUGGUUCAAUGUAUAAAUUCAAAGAAAGUAGAAAAUUUCUACAAGAACACCUGUAAAUGAUUUCUUGGUACACCAAUAGCUUAGUUUUUGAUAUUUUGGAGAAGGAUCUUCCACUCGAGUAGGGCCCAUUUCAUUGGACACUUAGCGAUGAUAAUCCCAGACAAAUCAAAGUGCAAGUCCUUUUCAAAAACAUUAGAUAAUUUGGAUGAGAGAUCCUAAGAAAGAUUUUGUCUAAGUGUUCCAUACAAAUUAUUUAGUCCAAAAGAGGAUUUCCGUGUUAAUCAAGCGCACUAAUUACGCCAAUCAUUAUGAAUUUAAUGUGAUUUGACAUAUCUCUUAUUGUCUUUUUUGCUUAGUCAAAAGCGCAGGGGAACAUUUGCUCAUCACUUUCAUGGUAGCUUCACUUCUUGCGACUUUACUCUGGAAAGAAAAAUGAUCAAAGUUGAUUUUGAUGCUUAUAUCCGGAGUAAAUCCAAGGACAGAGUAAGUCCAGUGACAGAUUUCCAUUGCAUUUCUAUUACAAAAAUGUUCAUAUUCCAACCCUUGAAAAUAUCACAUGCUCAUGAGCCAAUGAACAUUCGAACAACUGACGAGCUCAAAGAUUUAUUUCAUAUUAAUGUAGUUACUUCAAGCUAUUAUUAAAGUAAUACCUACUCUAGGCUCUCUUUAAAAAAAACAACCUCAUUCAAGCUGUUAUUUGGAAUUUUCAUUAGUUUUGAAAGAUGCCUUGUGUUUCGAACUAAGAUGAAUUAUAAAGCUGCAAGCCUACAAUAAGCCAUGAUUUUAUUGAAUUUUUUUAUCCAAAUUCUUUGGCUAACUUUCUGAAAAUAAGCCCCAAUGCCAGUGUCACUUCUUCGGCCCCAAUAUAAUCAACUCGGCCUAUUUCAUUUUCAGGACUUCAUCUACUUCGCCAGUUCACCAGUUCGAACUGCAUGACCACAAUUUGUUCGCUCGCAUGUGCUUAAAAGUCAUUAGUCGCUAGAACUAACUUCACAAGCCACACUAGCAAUCACCUGUCAGCCCAAUUUCCUUCAAUUUGGUAUUGACAUUUCCAAAUUGCGAAAUUGCUUUUUUCAAAUCAUUAAAUUAUUUUCUUUAGUGGAAAAUCCUGAGCAUAAGUGAUAAACAAGUUAAAUAUUAUUCGUGUUGACAUUAAGUGCCAUUUAAAAUGAGAUGUCGCAAAAAUGGGAACCAAAUGAGUCCCCAAACAUUACUUUGAAUGAUUUUACUUUAGAGUAACGUUUACUUAUUAACCUAUUUUUACUUGUAUAGGCACAUACCUGGACCUCGAUUUGAUAUGAAAUCGAACUAUGUAAUACGUGCAUGGACUUUCUGACAUCAUACUUCGACCGCGAUUCAUAUUUGAUGAAAUCGAGUUGUGUAAUACGUGCAUUGACUUUCUGACAUCAUAGGACCUUGAUCCAUAUUUGCAUUAACUCGGUCCUCAUGACAUCUUUUUUGCUCCUUUUCUUUGUUUCUUUGUUUUUUUUGGGCUUAGACACGGGCUGAACACCAGUCUCACAUAUAAGAUCUAUGGGCACAGGUGAUCAGGUUUAUUGCCUUAAGAGGCUUCGAUCAAAAAUUCAAACUUGUCUCAAUUCCUCUCAUGCUAAAUCCACAAUUAUUUCUCUUGUUUUUAAUUCUUCUUCUUCUUCUUUUUUAUCAUCUUCUUCCCUAUCAUCUUCCUUAUGCAUAUCUCGAAAAGCUCUGCUCUACUAAAUAAACAAACUCAACCUCAUCAGCGAUCGACGUAUUUGAGCAUUGAAUGGAACGUCACCGUUGUCUGGCUUCGGUAUCCUGGAGCACCACCAUCCUCUCUCUCUCUCCAUGUUGCCUACUCCUCCUAUUCCCACGGUAAUCGCAGCUCUACUCCUCCUCAUCGUUCUUCGCACAAGCAAUGUCUCCUUCCACAUUGACCGCAGCUUCACCACCAAGUCCACCGAUGCCUUCAACACCACCUGGUUGUUCGAACGCACACUGCCAUGGAGGACAAAAUGCACUGAAUAGGCAACUUUGGAAAUCUGGAUAAUGCAUUGCAACCAUUUGCUUCAAAGGUACAAAUGUUUGGUGGAAGCUCUAGGAUCUCCAAUAGUUGUUUACAAUCAUCUAAUUUGAGGACCAUCAACUCAAACUUGCUAAUGCAUGUAGGAAGACUAACAAAAUUAUUUUUUGAGAGAUGCAAAAAAAGUAAAGGACAACACAUGUCAACUGUUCACUUUCCUCUCCAUUUGGGCGAUUCUGGCACUAUUCACUCCAGCUGGUUUUUUGUGGAUUCUGGUUGAUUCCGCUGGUAUCUGGAGCUGAUUUUUCGUGGGCUAGGUCAUCUGGGGACCGCCUACAAACCCCAGGUAAGCUUGGCUUGGUUGGUUUUCGUUUAUCAAGAUGGGAGCUCUCGAUCAGAAUUUCUGGUGCGCCUAGCUUUUCCCGAUUCUGGUCUCUGUCUUCGUGGGUGGCUUUGACUGAUUGGUGUGCUAAUUGCUGGUGGAUCUCCUUGUCCUUGAAGGCCCUUCAGCCCCUACAAACACCUGGUAUGGCCUGAUUGCUCUCCUUGAUUUAUUCUGGGGUUUGGGCCGGUGCUGUGUUGGGGUACUGUGCUGUUUCGUAAUGGCAUCCUCUUCGAAUCUCCUAAGUCAGUUGGGCCGUCCAAAUGAGGAGUCCCAAGCGGGCUCUAGGCGUGGUAGGAGCCGCCUUAGAUCUACUUCUCGUGGCCCUAGAGUGGCUCGUCCUGCUGGACAAAAAUGGAGUGAGCAGAAAGCCCCUCCAACCCGUUCAUGGGUUAAUGUUGCUAGGCUCUCGGCAAAGGGAUAUGAACUUAGCUUCGUGCCUCCAACUUCUGUUGGAAAAAGAGGAGUGGUGCAUGCGGCAGAUCCAAAAUAGAAUCAUUGUUUGAUGGGGUAUUUCAUUGGCAAGAAUGUGCCGUUCAAAAUGACUGAGUCAGUCCUUAAGGAGACGUGGGGCUCCCAUUUAACUGAAAUGCUUGCUGAUGAUGAAGGAUUUUAUUUCUUCUUUAUUCCUGACCCUGAUUACCACAGGAAGAUUCUUGAGGAAGGUCCAUUGACGGUGAAUAGAGUGCCACUUAUUCUGAAACAAUGGGAUCCCACUCUUGAGCUGAGGAAGGACUUGCAAUCCUCUGUGCCCGUUUGGAUCCGUAUGAAAAACAUACAUUUUGCUUAUUGGUCUGCUCUUGGGAUAAGCCAGAUAGCGAGUGCAGUCGGUAGACCCUUAUAUGUGGACCCAUUGACUGAAAAAAUGAAACGUUUGUCUUUUGCAAGAGUAUGUGUCGAAGUGUCGGCUAAGUUAGAGAAAUUUGAAUCUGUGGAGGUAUUUCUGAAUGGGGAGUCCUUCAUUGUUCCUAUCUUGUACGAAUGGAUACCCAUUGCGUGUCCGAAAUGCCAGGUCUUUGGCCAUAACUGUGAGGAGAAAGAAGUUCCAGCACCCGUAGCAGAUAAGUCCCAUGAUGAUGUUGCUGAGGAAGCUCGAGAUGCUGUUGUGCCUACGGUGCCCCCCUCGAUUCCUCCCGCCCAGCCUCGUAAGGUGUCUUAUGCUGACCAGCAGGAUGGCUGGAAGCAGGUAACUCGGAAGAAGAGGCAACCGUCAGGGUCUAAUGGGAAGGACUCUUCGACUCCUAUCUCUUCUUUGAAGUUUAUGGAUAAAUCAGAUUCUUCUCAAGCUUUAAGCAAGUCUGCCUAGAAAAAUAAAGGUGCUUUGAUUCCCAGCCCUACCGGACCUCCUUCCACGAUGAUUCCUGUUGAGCCGAUCCCAGAAUCUGCUUAUAUUGGGUCUGGCUCUACUGUUGAAGAAUCUGAGAAUGCGGCUAGUGCAGUAAGUAGCAGCUCAGAUGAGGAACCUGAUGGUCCUAGUGAAUUGGUUACAAAUGUUAAGCAUUCUGUUGUUUCUGAGGAAGCCCCUGCUAAAAGGAACUCGCCCAAGACUCCGUCUGUCCUAAAGUUGGCCGCCCCUCCUACCCCAGCGUUGGCUGCUCCUCCUGACCCUCCUCAAGGCACUAGCCGAAGGAGAUCACGUCGGUAACUUCUAUUCUCAUCGUAAUACAUUAUAUAGUUAUAUAUAGCUAUGUAUAUUGGAGUUUGGAAUAUUAGAGGACUUGGUAGCCAUCUCAAACAAGCUGAAAUCAGAAACUUUGUUAGAUCUCAUAAUCUAUGUUGUGUUGGUAUUGUGGAAACAAAGAUUUCCUAGGGUGCCUUUAGUGCGAUCUCUGCUGUUUUGUUGCCAGGCUGGAAGUGGGAAAACAACUAUAAUCAUUCCUCGAAAGGAAGAAUUUGGGUGGGGUGGAAUCCCCGUGAAGUCUUGUUUGUUACGAACUCUUCUUCGGAUCAAGCUAUUCAUGGAAAGUUAUCUUGCUUAAAUUCUGGUAAGGUUCUCUUCCUUACGGUGGUCUAUGCUGAGCAUAGUUUUGUGGCUAGACGUCCUCUUUGGGCUGACAUUAUUCAGACUAGCUCUCUCCUUUCGGGUUUCCCUUGGAUACUAGCAGGAGACUUUAAUGCAAUUCGUGACCCUUCGGAUAGAUUGGGUGGUUCUAAUGGUUGGAUCCCAGCUUUUGAUGAGCUGCGUGAGUGCCUCAUACAAGCUGGUCUUGACGAUCUCAGGUAUACCGGGAAUAGAUUUACUUGGGCUACUUCCAUGGGUGCCAACUGUAAGCAAAGAAAGAUUGAUCGUGUUCUCGUUAAUUCUUGUUGGACUGCUGAAUUUUCCUUUUCUGAGGCCUCUUUGUUGGCCUCUGGCAUUUCAGAUCAUUCUCCAAUGAUUAUUAAGAUUAUGCUUGCCCCUAAGUCUUGCAAGCCUUUCAAGUUCUUCAAUUUCUGGUUUUCUCAUCCGGAUUUUACUGAUGUGGUUUUGCAAGCUUGGAGUUCUCCCUUUGUGGGUUCUCCAAUGUUUAUUCUUUGCUCCAGGCUUCGGCUUCUCAAAUGUAAGUUGAAACAGAUCAACAAGGAGUCCUUCUCGGACUUGUCCUCUAGAACGGCUGAAGCAAGAUGUGCAUUGCUCCAAACCCAAUAUGCUCUUCAGAAUGACUAUUCGAAUAUUCAACUUGCUGAAUUGGAAAAACAACAGCUCCAAUCCUACUCGAAUUUGCGCCUUCAAGAGGAAUCAUUUUAUAGACAAAAGUCUCGGGUGCGGUGGUUGAAAGAAGGUGAUCUUAAUACUAAAUUUUUCCAUAACUCGGUAAACAAGAGACAACUUCACAAUAGAAUUAUCUCGCUCUCCGAUGGGAUUGUUUCUACCUCAAAUCCCUCUGAAGUUCAAAACCUGUUUGUUGACCACUUCCGGGAGUUAUUGGCCUUCUCUCCCCCUGCUGCGAGGCCUUCGGUGGAGGAAAUGCGUGCGGUGUUGAAGCACACCCUUGAUGCGGAUCAAGUUCGCUUUAUUUCUAGCCCCAUCUCGGAGACUGAAAUUAAAGAUACUCUAUUCUCUCUUGCGGUGGGUAAGGCCCCUGGCCCUGAUGGAUACAAUGUGGAAUUUUUUAAACAUUCUUGGGAGAUUGUUGGACCUUCUGUUAUUCUGGCAGUGAAAGAUUUCUUUGAGACGGGCAUAUUGUUGCGGGAAAUUAACACAACUAUUUUGGCCCUGGUCCCCAAAGUCCCGAAUGCUUCCAAUGUGAAUGAUUUUCGGCAAAUUGCUUGCUGUAACACAUUAUACAAGUGUAUUACCAAGCUUAUUGCUAAUCGGCUCUCUCAGGUGCUACCUUCUAUCAUUAGUCUACCUCAAAAUGCCUUUGUAAAAGGUAGACACAUCAGUGACAAUAUUUUACUUGCUCAGGAGCUGUUUUGUGGUUUUCACAAUGAUCCUUACCGGCCUAAAUGUAUUAUUAAAGUUGAUUUUAGGAAGGCCUACGAUACGGUGGAUUGGAGGUUUAUUGAAUUGUGUCUGCAGGCUUUCGGUUUCCCCCAGGAGUUCAUUGCCCGGGUUAUGAUUUGCAUUCGUACCCCCAAGUUCUCGGUUGCAAUUAAUGGGGAACUCCAUGGGUUCUUUUCAAGUGGGAGGGGUAUUCGUCAGGGUGAUCCCAUGUCGCCGUAUAUUUUUACUCUUGUGAUGGAAGUCUUUACAGGUAUUCUGGACAUUCAAACUUCACAUUCGGACUUUGGUUUUUUCUGGCGUUGCAAGCCCACCCGACUUUCUCAUCUUUUCUUUGCUGAUGAUGUACUACUCUUCGCUGAAGCUAACUUAUCGUCUAUUGAUCUUCUCAAGAAUGGUAUCGAGAAAUUUUCUAGCUAGAGUGGGCUGAUUCCGAAUCUUCGGAAGAGUGAAGUUUUCCUUUCUGGAGGCUCCUCUAACCUUCAUGAGGAUAUCCUCAAUAAGUUGGGCUAUCAGUUGGGCACCUUUCCUUUCCGCUAUCUAGGAGUACCGGUUAUUUCAGCUAGAUUAAGGAAAGCUGGCUGUGUCUCCUUGGUUAAUUCAAUCACGGCUCGUGUUCAAUCUUGGACCAAUAGAUUCCUCUCUUUUGCGGGGCGUCUUCAACUUAUAAGGUCGGUGCUUCAUUCUAUACAAGUCUUUUGGGCUAAUGUGUUCUUUCUGUCAUGUUCAGUUCUAAAUCGAAUUGAGCAAUUUUUCCGCCAAUUCUUGUGGAGAGGCCCCUGAGAUGGGUGCAAGUGGUGCUAAAGUCUCGUGGUGUAAUGUUUGCCUUCCCAAAAAUGAAGGGGGCUUAGGUAUUCGUACUCUAAGGGAGAACAACAUUGCGUCCAUGCUCAAACAUAUUGGAUUCUUUUCUCGGAUAAAGAAUCCCUGUGGUGUAAGUGGAUUCAUUCCAAUUUCUUGAAGCGGAAAAUUUUUUGGGUGGUUCCUUGCCCUACUCAUUGCUCUUGGGCUUGGAGGAAGUUAUUAGAUCUUCGUGAUCAAUUUCAGCAAUAUUUCAGAUGGAACAUUGGAAAUGGGAGGUCGGUCUCCUUUUUGGUUCGACCCUUGGCACCCAAAUGGUCCUUUAUACAAGAUCUUUUCUAAUCAGGAUAUUUAUCGCUCGGGUAUAUCCCGCUCUGCUUCAGUUGCUGAUGGUUUUGCUACUCCUAUGGGCUGGUAUAUCAUUAACAUCAUGGCUAAUUGGUGGAAUCCCCUUCCGGUAUUCAACCAAGAGGAGGAUCGGUUUCAAUGGCUUCCGCACCCAUCCGGUCGCUUCUCCAUUGCUUCUGCCUGGGAUUUGAUCCGUCCGAAGCAUAAUGUCAUCUCGUGGGCUUCUUUUGUUUGGAAUACUGCCUUGCCUCCAAGAUAUCAAACGCAUCUUUGGCUUAUUUCGCGCAAUCGGCUGCCGACUCAGGUUUUGCUCAUCUCUUAUGGUAGGAUCCCCCCUACAAAUUGCCCCCUUUGUUCAUGCAGACCUGAUUCUAUAGAUCAUUUGUUCUUUGCGUGCCGUGCUUCGGAUAGUCUUAUUUCAUUUUGGGUGGCAAGAUUCAACCUAGUGUGGCGAAACAAGCGUUGGGUGGAUAAUUUGGCCUGGGCUUCCAAGCGGUUUAUGGGGAAGAGUUUUUAUCAGAUCCUGGCUCGGUUUAGUUUUGGUGCAAUGUGUUAUAUCAUUUGGAAAGAGCGGAACAAUGUGCUUUUUCGGAAUCAGACUCUCUUUCUUCCAGCGAUGAAAAUGCAUCUUCAGAAGGCUAUCAAAGAUAAGGCUAUGACCUUUAAGCAUGUUCCCGAUGUGCCCAUGAAUAGAAGACUUCAACGAAGCUGGAACAUCCAUCCUUCUAUUUUUGAUUGAUGGAGGUUUUCUAGUUUUUGUUGUCUUUUGUUUCCUUUUGUUGUUGUUGCUCCUUUUUUCUGGGAACCAUGGCACCCCUACACUCGCUCUAGACUUUUGUCUUCUUGAGUGUCUGUUUUUGUUGGUGCCAGGCCUCCCUCUUGUCUUUUCUUGCAAAAUCUAUUUAUUACUUACCUUUACCAAAAAAAAAAAUAUUUAAAAAAGAGAAGCAAGCAAGACUCUGAAGGAAUCAGCCUGAGACAGAUUGCAGCCACUAAGCUUCAAGGAGACUAGAUUCGGAAAUCCACGUCUACCAUUAGGUAGAUUGGAGCUCUCACUGUUCUCUAUAAACAAGCCAAACUUUGAAGAAUUUUUUAGAGAAAGGUGCUCUAGACUUUGCAUCUCGCAAAUGCUACUAGGAAGACUGAUAAGACAAUUGCAUGAAUUCAGAAGAAAACCUUAACAUAGACUAGUUUUUCAGAUGACAUAGGAAGUUCUUUUAUAGAAGUCUGAGAUAAAUUAAGUUUUUUCAAGCUCUCCAUCUCAUCAAUAUCAGGACACUUAUCGGGUUUAGAGCAGCUAAUUACGUCAAGUGUUUGAAGGUAUUUUAGCUUCAGUUUUCUUGGAAGCUCCUUGAGAUUCGAGCACCAACUUAAGUUCAUUGUCUCCAAAUUUGGGACCUCUGAGAAGUCCGGAACACUAAUCAAUGACUUACAGCGGCUGAAAUUCAGGAACUUCAGAUUUCUGAAAUGCUACAAAUUGAAAAGAGCAGCUGAAUGAGAUUCUGAUCAAUUUCACUUUGUUAAAGGCACUUAAAAUGAAAACCAUCAAGGAAAGCUUGUAUCAGGUACGUUUAAGUUCCCGCCCAAUUCUUUAAUCUAGCUGUUAUGCACAUCACAAUAAACAAGUUUCUAUACCCCAGCACUAAACUUGAGAGUUCCAAAAGGAUAUUCAGUCCAUUCAAGCCACCGUAAAUCGUCAGGAAAACAUAUGGGACCUCUGCUGCUUUGUGCAUCCAGAACUAUGAGCAAUCUCGGUCUCCUCAUAUGGGUGAAAGCACUGGGACUGAUAUCUAGCUCUUCUUGUGUUGGCUAGUCCAGCACUAUGCCUUUAACAGCAUUGGUUCCCUAUUGAGGUAAAAAUAAUGAUCAUUAUUACCCAACCCAAUUAGGUUAUAGCAUGUAAAUUAAGGCAGAUAAGAUUAUCAAUGGUUUCAUACGAAGUUCUCACAGUAUUGUCCAACAAUACUUCAAAAACAUCAUCGUAGCACCAUAAUCUAGUCCGUUUCCCAGGAUCGUCUGGACACUCUUGUUUAAUGAUAUCCCUCCCAACCCAUCAGCUGAAUCAAGUCAUGUGUUUGUACUGUUCUCUGAUUCUCAAUGGUCAUUAAGGAUCUCUCUAUUAGCAUCUAAAUCUCAACUAAUGUCUUUAAACCACAACUAUCAAGAACUCUAGUUAUUUAAUCACUAUCCCUCCCCUUAAAGAAACAAGCAAUGUCAAGGAAAAUGUCCUCCUCAUCAUCCUCCGACGAAUCAAAACUUAUCUUCAUAACACUGUUUAUAUCUUUAUUAGGACUUUUAGCAAGUUUACCCAAUGUACUUUCCCAUUCCCCUCUGCUUCUGCCAAAUAAAAAAGGACCAAAGACCACAAUCGUUAAGGGAAGGCCAUUAGCAUAGCCCAAAAUACAUCUAUGAGAUCCCUGCUUAUGUCUUGUAUUUGGUUUUUUGGAAAAGCAUAUGAACUUAGAAGUUCAAAAGCUUCACCUUGAUCUAAUGCUUUAACUUCAUAUACCUGAUCUAUCUGGUGAGAAGUUAGUACAUGUUUAUCUCUAAUCGUAAUAAUGAUCCCACUACCUUUUCCAAACCAUUUACAUUCUCUAGCUAAUGCAUUUAACUGGUCCCCAUGAUCCACAUCAUCAAGCACAAGCAGAAUCUUCCUAUAGCAAAGUCUAUCUCAUAUCAGGUUAACGCCUCCAUCCACACUUAAGACCACUAAAUUUUCUUUCAACAAUAUCUCAGAUAAGAGUGUUUUUUGCAAAUGAACCAGGCCGUCAGGUCUACUGGAAGUUUCUCUAACAUUUGCAAGAAAGCUGCACUCAUCAAACUGACUAGUGAUACUGUCAUGGACAGCUUUAGCGAUGGAGGUCUUCCAUAUACCUCCUGCUUCCCUUAUUCCUAUCAUCCGAACCUCAUCCAGGCACGUACUUAGCAAUGAUAUAACUAUCUCUACCCGGCAGCCUACACCGAGCGGGAUGCUUGGCAACACUCAAGGGUACUUGUCCUACUAUAAUGGAGAUCUUUGUGAUGAUGCUCAAAACCUUGCUGUUGAUGUAGGCGUUGAUGCCGCUGUGAAGCAGAGUCCAGUGGAGGUCAGCGAGGAAGCCGUGGCAGACGUCCCCGCCUCUGAAGCUGAGGAAGAUGUCCAACGGCCAUUUUGCUUCGGAAGAAGAAGGAGAAGGAGAAGGAGAAGGAGAAGAAGACAUGGGAAGACAUAAUCGAAUGGUCCGUUUCUUUUAACUAUAUUCAGCUUUUAAUUUUGGAUAAUAACCACCCAAAAAAAAAAACCGACACGUUAAUUCCAAAUUUUUUUAUGAUAUCAAAAAUCUCCUCAAAACAAAGUACAUUUAUCAUCCUUUAAAAUGAUUUUUCCUUAUAUCCUCCUCUUUGAUCUUUACCGCUGCCAUUUCCGUCAUCAUUGCCACUAUCAUCAUCUUGCCAAACCCAAGAAGAAAACGAAGGAGGAAAUUUAAGAAAAGAAAAAAAGAAAACGAAAAAAAAUACAUACAGAGGAGAUUUCACAUGAUUUUGACUAGCGGUGGUUUAAUUUAUAAAUUUCCUCCCUAAGUAUUGGUUUUGUUGUAACUGUAGUUUGGGGCUCCUGUGAAGAGGUUAUUCUUUUUCCUUUUAUCUUUUUGAAAAGAAAUGCACUAAGCAUUUGCGCACACAACUUCUUGCAAUUGAUGAUAGACGUGUAAGGUCCAAAAUGCAAGGAUCAGAAUGCAAUCUAUUUGCUGUUGGAGAUGACCCAGAAAUUACUUAUGCUAGCUCUUCCAUUCCAAUUGAUGCAGAUUCUAGAUAAACAACUUUGACUAACAUUAUCUUGGUUAUUUUGGCAAAAAAACAUGUCAUAGNNNNNNNNNNNNNNNNNNNNNNNNNNNNNNNNNNNNNNNNNNNNNNNNNNNNNNNNNNNNNNNNNNNNNNNNNNNNNNNNNNNNNNNNNNNNNNNNNNNNNNNNNNNNNNNNNNNNNNNNNNNNNNNNNNNNNNNNNNNNNNNNNNNNNNNNNNNNNNNNNNNNNNNNNNNNNNNNNNNNNNNNNNNNNNNNUUUAAAUAAUGUUUUAAUAAAAUAAUUUUUGGAAAAUUUUUGUAAUUUUCUUUUUUUUUUCUUUUAUUUAUUGUUGUCCUCUUCUCCUUUACUUAGGGCCUUGCUGCCUUGCUUGCCCAAAUCAAGCGAGGUUGUUGCAACCCUCGCCUUGUUUGGGCGAGGGCCGCAGUGUCCUCGCUAGGCCAAAUCUGGUGAGGGUGUCAUGGCCCUUGCUAGAUCUAAGCGAGGGGCAGCGCACUUGCGCCCUAGCCAGCGUGGGUUGGCUGGUGACCCUCACCGAUCCUAAGGGAAGGAGAAGGGGAAGGGGAAUUUUUUUUUAAAAUAACAGAUAAAAGAGAAAAAAAAAUAAAAAGAUAAAAAUAAAAAGAAUUCAAAAAUUAUCUAAAAAGUGUCAUGUUAGUGUUGACCAGCUAAAAUUGGUAGGAUUGACUGAACCGACACAAAUGAAAAGGAUCUAGGACUGAAUUAAUAAAAAAAAGUUUAGGACUAAACUUGCAUAAUUAUAAUAAAUUUAUGACUUUUUUAAUAAUUUUCCCUCAUAACAUCAUUUAGACGAAUUAUAGUCUCCAAAGCUCUUAAGGGAUGGAUAAUUUGUAGACACGAUGAGCAUCUGUGAAGUUUUAGCAGUAGAUUUUCCAGUUCUCCCACAAUUUAAAUCCCGAAUUUUUCCUCAUUGUUUUUGGGGAAUUGCAUCGUGAGAUGCAGCUUGUCUAGUCCUCAAGAGUCACAACAAUCUUAUGGCUUCAUCAUUGCAUCCAUGAGGGAGAGGGGAGGAGGUCUAUAACUCGGGCUUCGCUCUAGAGCAAUUUAUGAGGUUACUCAUCAUUAUUUUUUUUGGCUUGCCUCAAACAUAAAUCCUUUUAUUCUCUAUUAGCAAAAACACAGUGCGGAUGUUAGUAUAAGGCUAUCCUUUGUCUUCAAAGACUGGUACCUUAUUAAGUGCCAAAUUGGGCUCCUAACGGGAAAGUCCAUGGGCCAUUCGGCAUUCGUCUCCAUCUUCUUCGCUGGCCAAUCCUCGCUCCGGUUCGAAUCGCCGCGACUCUCUGGCAUUCGAGCGCCGUCUCGCAGCGGCAAAUCUCUACCUCGCUCGAUCAUCUCCGGCGGCAUUGAUUGUCUUUUGGCUAAAUUCUUGGUCGGAGUGUUCGUCAGUGGUUGUUUGCAGAAUCAGAGUAGACGUGAAUGUGGGAUGCGUUGAUGAACAGGUCAAAAAGCAGGGGAAGCAAGCGGAUGACACGCAGUUCCGAGCUCAGCGUGAUGCUCUGAGCCUGAAAAUUGUCCAGAUGACUGCAGAAGGUAAUUGCUUUUUCGGGUCUGUGUUCCUUGUUAGAAAAAAAUCGCCGACUUGUUUUCAUGAUUUUUUUUUUUUUUUUGGAAUGUUGCCGGGAAUAGGUUUGUCUUGUAAAAUGACAGUAAUCCCCUCUGUUUUAGAAGGUGAAUGGUUUGCUCAUCGCAUUACCACUCUGUCGUCAGAACACAACACGCAUUGCAUUUUAUGGUACACCGGUUCUGGAAUACCAUCAUCGAUGUACUAGAAAUUCCUCUGCUGGGAAAACUAUUGCGUUUUCGUAUGAUUUAUCAUUCUGCCUGAGACACUGCAUCUGGAAACAUAUCUUGAAGAAGAGCUCUCUUUGUCGGGGCUUAGUCUCGAGGAUAUUAGAUUGACCCUUCUGAGAUCCAACUAAGUUACUUUGUAAAAUUUCAUGACUAUUGUACAACGUCCUAGCAAAAAAACCAUCUUCCUCAUUCCCGUUUUCAUUCCACGUAUUUGAAUUAUCCAUCCUCCAGGUAAUUUGCUGCCUUGUAUGGAGCUUUUGGUUAUAGAAAUGCCUUUGCUAUAGUUUAAUCAGGGCCCUUGCAGAUCAGUUGGAAGGCAAUGAAGAUGAACAUGGAAAGUACCGGAGUAUGGUUGUUCAGUACAUAUCAGUAUGUGGAGUGCUGAUUUCUCUUUUUCAAGUUGUAGAAAUUAUGUUUGUAAGAGUUUUUUUUUUUUUUUUUUACAUGGUGAUGUUGUCCUCAUUUGUAUUAGUGCUCAGCGACCCGAAUCAGAACUUUUAUUCAGUGCAUUUCGUUCUUGAACUUUUUUGUAAGUAUUGAUGGAUUUCUCACAUAUAUAGACACCAAAAUAGCAUGCCUUCGGAAGAAAAAAACAAGUUAAAGAGGGUAUUUUAUAUUGAAGCUUACAUUUCUGCUGCCAAUGGUUAUUUCUGAUGAUUUUCAGUUCACAGUCACAGUUGCAUAGAGCUAUACCAACACAAGGAUCACCUGAGCUAUUUGACAUUCUUAUUUUACUAGGGAGGAAAACCUGUUGAGUGUUAACUGUGAUUUGGAUGGUCUAUCUUGGCCUAAACUAACAGGUGUAGGAGGAAGCUGGACUCUGUAGUUAUCCACAUUGUUGUAGCCUACAGGAAUGUGUGAUUGCUACUUUAGGGUGGCAAUAUUAUGUAAAUCGACAUAUUCUUUGAAGGAGAUUAGACAAAAUUAAAAAUGAGAGAAUUGAUACUAACGUAAUCAACUUUUUAGCAUGCGUGGUAAAACUUUAAUGUUUGCAAUGGCACAAAUUGAUAGUUUUGUUUGUUUCAAGUUUCAACAGAAUCCUUUAUUUUCAUUGGUUUUUUCUCAAAGUGAUGUGUUAAGGAAAUAAAAUCCUUGUUUGAAGAAUGGACCUGAUAUGUGCAUCUAAGAUGGGAAUUGUUAAUGACAGAAAAAUCGUGAAAUGUUUGAACCAUUUAUUGAGGAUGAUGUGCCAUUCGAGGAGUAUUGCAAAACCAUGGACAAUGAUGGCACGUGGGCUGGUCAUAUGGAAUUGCAAGCAGCUUCUCUUGUUACACGGAGUAACAUUUGCAUUCAUCAAGUAAGACUGACAGUGAAGUUAUCAACCAUCACCUACAUGAAGUUUUGUUGGUUACGGUCUUUUCAGUCCUUCAGGGGGAACAGCCAGAAUAAAUAAGGAUGUAAUUAGACUCGUCAAUUGUUAGCCUUGCUACUGGGUUUGAAGUUUAGCUGUUUAAGCACGCAUCCUAGAAUUCGUGACCAUUGAAGAUCCCAUGAUUGUUGGUUUCCUGACUCAUUCUUCACUUAUUGAUAUAAUGGCUUUCUCCCCCAAUAUGGUCCUCCUUUAUCUGAGAAGUUAUUCCCCAUCAUUGUUUAGAUCAAAAGACCACUUAGGAGGUUGUUCUCAUAAUGGUUAUAGCUUGUUCUUUUCUGUCUGGUUAUAAUUUGUUACUCUUUAGACUGAAAAAUUGACUCAUCUGAAGCGCAAUGAUAUCUGGCAUGUCUAGCGAUGUCUAUUGUCGCAACAGCAUGUGGAAGGACCAUUGAUGGUGAUGUGCAAAAGAUUUUUUCAGAGAUAUAUUGCACCUUUUAGCACAAGGAGUUCUGACGGUUGCAUAUAAUCCUAAUUCAAAGAAGACUUAAUAUAUCGAACUUGUUACAACAAUGCUGGCUCAUUGAGUGUUCUAUAUGUCCUUGAUGAAUCUACACAGCACUAAUUAGUUUUGAUACAUGCCGUGCAUGCAAAUAUCUGUUCGUUGACACCAAAUUGAACAAUUUAUCUCACUCCUUACUGGAUGCAGAACAUGUCACCUCGGUGGUACAUAAGCAAUUUUGAUCAGCCUGGUGCUUGUAUGAUCCAUUUGUGAGUUUUCUGAAUCUAGAGACUGAUGUUCUUUGCUAAGGCAGUGCUCAAAUACUGGGAUGAGAUCUGUUUGUAUACACUUAAAUAAAUGACCUUUUCUUACAUUGUAUUUUCCCUCAGAAGAUUUGAACAUAAAACAAUGUUUUUAUUUUUUAAGGGAUUAUGAAAAGAUUAUAUAUUUCUCCUGGUCAAGCUUGUUUAUUUUUAAAAGGUUUUAAGUGUUUCGAGUUUCAUAAAUGUCAAAUUGCAAGAGUUGCAAGAUUUUUUUUUUUUUUAAACACGAAAAGCUAUAAGUACAAGUCGUCCAAAUAAACUGGCUCAUUACACGAAAGAAGGUACUGCAGCUUGUUCAGGGAGACUGCUGAUUUGUGAAACAAUUUUGGCAUGCAAGGACAACAUCUCAUAAGUUGCAGAUACGAGCGUAGUUGUGGUGUAGUUAGAUUUAACCAUGGAAGUUCUUUUGCUAGUUUGAGAGAUGUUAGUUGUGGUGUAGUUAGAUUUAACCAUGGAAGUUCUUCUGCUAGUUUGAGAGAUGUUUCGGUGUGGUCACAGGGGGAUAAAUUACUGGCUAAGCAUAUGUGGUAGGAGACCGAAAUGUCACUUUAGCUUUUGUUUCUUCAAUAAAUUAUUUUAUUGAAAUUCCCAUUUGUAAUCCUUCAAUGAAUGGCAUCCCUGGAUAUUCUAAGUUAAGAUGGAUUGGAUCUGUCUAGGUAGCCAUCUUGACUUUGGAUUGUCACGAGGAUCAUGAAAUUUAGUGGAUAUAGGAUAUUCCACACUUUACCAUCUUAGAUAAGUGUCAUCAUGCGAAACCAGUAAGCAUAAAAAAUGUGCGUUGUGCCAUUAUUGUUUUGUGGAUAGGGAAAGUCUUAUAUUCUUUUUGUACUGAUGGUGUUUCAUUAUUUGAACUUAUAUAUUUUGCUUUGCUUUAUUAGAUCUUAUCAUGAUGAGGAACAUUACAACCGUGUGAGGUUGAAAGAAGACACCAGAGAUGGGCCAGCUAGGCCAAUUACAAUCAAGGUUGCUACUGGAAUUUAAUUUUAGUUUACUAAGUUAGUAGGGAAGUUGGACAAAUUGUGAAUUUAAGUAUGUGAUUUGAUAAUUUCUUUUGCUGAAAGGCUGAUUCUAAUCUCUCAUCGUCCUCUUGCCAAGCAAUAGCUGGGUCAAACAAAUCUAAAUCAGGAGCUGGUAAGGAUAUUACUGAUGCAGGAUUCAUCAAGCUAGUCACGGCUGGAAGUGGUUGUGAGAAUAUUGAGAAAGUUGAGCAGGUUAUGUCCUCUCUUCUUCUGCUUGCUUGUUUGCAUUAAAUGUUUACCUCUCAUUUUCUUGGUGAAUCUAGAAUUAGAAUGCAGUGUUUUGAACCUUUUUCUGAUUUCUGUAUAACAUGUGAUACAUUUACAGACAUUGCUGCAAAUGGAUGGGGAUGUUGAUUCCGCCAUAGAGUAUCUGAUAGCAGAACAAGGCAUUGAAGAUUUUGCAGAGGAAACUGUCCGGUCUCCCUGCAACACAGAUGCUUCUCAUGGUAAUGGCUGGUCGGUAUUUAUCUCUCUAGGUUUUCUUUAAUAAUUUAAUUUUGCAGUUUCAGAGAUACUGUGUUAAGCUUCAUAAGAAGCUUUGUUGCAGUCAUUUUGAUGUAACUGGUAGGAUUAGCAUACUUUAUCUUGUCAUCCAUGGAUUUUUGGGGUAGUCAAACAUGCUAUAACCAAAACUAUUUCAUAAUUCUGUUGUAUUUAGGUGAUGAUGCCUAUGGAAAUUCUGAGGAACAGAGAAAGGAACCUGUGGAAGAGACCUAUAAAGAGAAUCCCCCUGGCAGUAGUGCUAAACGGACUCAUGAUGGUGGCAGUGCCCAGCGAGAAGACAAGGUUUCCACAAACGAUGAUUAUUUUAUGUCUUUUACCAUAUUGGUUUAAGCUCAAACAUGAGAACUAUCAGCGAUGCGCCUCUUCAUUUAUAUUUGCUUUUUUUUUUUUGGAAAUGCAGAAUAUCCCAAGAAAUGAGGCUUGUCCAUGUGGUUCAAAAAAGAAAUACAGGUCCUGUUGCGGGUCGGGGACAGGGAAAAUCUCUGCAAUUUCCAAGUAUUUCUCAUUCUUUCUGUGCUUUAUAUGUCAAGUGAUAGUUUAAGCUUGUCUUUUGUUGGAAGUAUUUUUUCUGUUUCCCAGUGAUUGGAGUAGAUACUUAUCUUGAAAGUUUAUGGCUUAUGUAUCCAACAUGGUAUCAAUUACCUUCCUUAAAUUCAAGUCUGGAACAUUUUGUCACCCCUGUGCUUUGUUGAAUAAUGUGUACACUUUGGAAAAAAGUUCAGACAUGAGUAAUUUGAAUUUAUACUUGCAAAAACAAAGACAGCAGUGAAGAUUUCUCCUUUUUUAUGUCUAAAUGUUGUUUUGCAGUGAUCAAGCUCUUGAAUCCAGAAAAAGUAGAAAGGAAAAGAAGCGAGGCAAGAGAGGGUCUGACACAUCCGCACUUUCUAUUGGAUCUGAUGGAGGGCCACCUGAUGUUGGGGCUCUUUGUAUCCGAUCUUUUGCCAGUUUGUGUGCACAAUCAUCUAUUGAAUUCAGAUAUGAGUAUGUGUGCAGUCUUUCAAAUAUUAGGUUAGAUUAGAUACAAUUUUUUUCUAUCUAUAUUUGCAUGUAUUUGAUGCAUGCAUCUCUUCUUCGAUCUUUGGGAUAAGUGCACUUUCUAGUUAUCCACCUGUUACCAAAUUUAGAAAGAUCUACAGUUACAAAGAUUUUUCAAUGGUGUCACUUUUAUUGGAUAGUUUGCCCGUCUGGUGCACAUAAUUCAUGCGCAUGCACGUAACACCUACCCCAGUAGAUUUGUUGGCACAGGUGUAGGUCAGUUUCGUCAGCAACCAAAGGGGAAAGAAGAUAAGGAAAUUCAGUUAUUGGAUUGCUGUCCCGGGGCUAAACCUUUUCAUGAAUAUAAAAGAGACGUUCACAUGAAUUUGACAAGUGAUGGUUUCCAAAGUAUUGGUUUUGCUGUAUUGGUAGUUUGGGGUUCCUGUGAAGAUGUUUUUCUUUUUCUUUAUAUUUCUUUGAUAAGAAAUACACUAAGCAUUUGCGCACACAACUUCUUGUAAUUGAUGAAAGAUUUGUAGAUCCAAAAUACACUUCAAGCUCCAUCUACAAGGAUCCGAAUGCAAUCCUUUCGCAGUUGGAGAUGACACAGAUAUUACAUAUGCUACCUCCUCCAUUCAAAUUGGUGCAGAUUUCUAAGAUUAAAUAACUUUGUUAUUUUGGCAAAUAAAUGUGUCUUAGAGAUCUUUUGUUGGUUGUCAUUAGUUAUUAUAUCAUCAUAACAUCAUUUAGACCAAUUAUUGUCUCCAAAGCCCAUAAGUGAUGGAUAAUGUGUAGAUAUCAUGAGCAUCGGCAAAGUUUUAGCAGUAGAUUUUCCAGUUAUCCCACAAUUUAAAUUCUGAAUUUUUUCUCAUUGUUUUUGUGGAAUUGCAUUGUGUCAGAUGUGGCUUGUCCAAUCCUCAAGAAUCAAAACAAUCUUGCGGCUUCAUCAUCGCAUCCACGAUGGAGUUGGGAGAGAGUUGAAUCGUGAGCAGAAAACUGAUGCUGAAUGAAGAAUAACUUGAGCUUCUCCCUAGAGCGACUUAUUAGGUUACUUUGUUUUGUUGGCUUGCCUAAAAAAUAAAUCAUUUCAUUCUCUAUUAGCUGCAACGUAGAGCACACGUUAGUCUGAGGUUAUCCUGUCUUCAAAGACGGUCACCUUAUUAUUCUUGUAGACUACUUUCUCCUAAAAUGGGGAUAUAAAAAAUCCGUACAUUUUCAUCUAAAAGCUUAAUAAGCUUCAGAUCUUGCAUGGUGAUGCUGCUCUAAUAAUUUAGGGAGUUAAGCGAUCGGUUGAGCUAAUAAAACUCCACGUGUAGAUUAAUUAAUUCCAUGUAACAAGUCAAAUACACUUGAUACUUUUGCAAGAUAGCAAGGUGUGCCUUGUGAGCCCCAUUUUCAUUCAAAUGGGGAUCCAACAUAUGGGAGGGCAUAGUGCUAAAUGAUAUGGGAGAAUGAAGACAUCACGAGAACUUUAAUGCGAUAAAAGCAUCUUCAGCUUGGCCUACACCGUGAUGUUCUGUGGAUGUCUAGGCCGGUAAGUGGACUUUUCCCAUCAUGUGCCGUUGUCGAACAAGUUUGUUCAACCUGCUUCUUCAUCGUCCUUGAGAAGAUGGUCUCUAAACGCCAGUUGACCAAACCUAGGUCCCUUCCAUGAGAUAAGUUUACCUAGCCACUAACUCAGUGUCUAGUAUAACAGACUUUCUUAUUAAAUACUUCGAUAAAGUUCUGAUUUACAAUAAUCCAUAUAGCUGUUAGCCAUGUAUUUAAGGUCUAUCUUGUGGUUAUGUUCAAACUUUUUGUAUUAUGAAUUGAGAACUUGAACAGUAAAUACAUGAUGCGUUGUUUUUAAAUCUUUGGUCCAUUGAUUUUGUAGAUUGGCUCUGCCGGGUUCAUUCCAAUAUGAGUAUCGAAGGGCCGGUAUUAGAUCAACGAUAGUUUAGUUGGAAUAUAGAUAGUGUAAGAGGAUGAUCAGUGAGGAGUGCUAAUCAAGUUUAGAAUCACCCCAAAAAAGAGGUGUGUUAGUACAAGGGACAAGGUCAUGAUGUUAUACGACGCAGUAGGGACGUGUGGUGCAGCAAGCAAAUCAAUUUCAAAAUUUAAGCAUCAAGUAAGACGACCGGCAUUUUAUCAUAUCAAUAUAAUUGGCCGGUCAUAUUAUGUUAGUUGUUAGCGAUGUGACUAUUGAAUAAAAUAUUUUUCUCAAACAAGGGGAUAGUCUCUUGAAAGGUUUUCGAAUGCUAUAACUUGCAAGCUUGUGAGAACUUUGAGGAAACCUACUCCCUUUGAAGAAAUGCUACUCAUCAUCAUCUAAAGUUGCAAGGACUUUCUAGCAAGUACCACUGUUGACAUGCACGUAGUAGUUACUAAAUAUCCAUACCAUCUCUUACAAAGAAGGAAUUUACUAUUCUAUUGGAUAAUUUCUAAGUGGUAGGAUCAUCAAGAUAUAAACUCUACAAUCAAAUUACUAACCUUAAAAAAAGUUACUAACUAUAGGCGUAGCGAUGAUCAUGAGGACCCCAGGGGACUUAUGACCAUCGGAAAAAUAAUUACAAUGUACAAAUACUAUCAGUUACAAAUAAAGAGGGAAACUGCUGUAUCAAUGGAGAAUUGCAAAAUGAUAGCACCCUCAACUUAAGAAUAAUGAAUAGAUGCUCACGAUGGAAAGUUAAUAAUCAUAGGCACAGUAUUACUUUCAAGGAUUUCAGGUGAUUUACAAUUGUUCUAGAAUAUUUACUGAGAAAUGUUGUCAUUUAUUAUGACUAUUUGAUGAAAUUUACUAUAUUAAGUUGGAGUUUACUAACGACAAAGAUUAACGUUUGGGCAUGACAAAGAUUAUUCUUUGGCAAAGGACAAAGAUCAACAUAUGGGUCUAACAGGAAUAUGUAUAAAAACACGUAAGUAGUGCCGCAAGCCUUUUCUGCUUCUCCUACAAACUGCAUGAAAAAACCUUGAAAUUGCCCAAGCAAGGGAAAUGAUCCUGGGAAAUAAAAUAUUAAUACGGUUUCAAAAGGGAUAGAGCACAGUAGAAGUCCUAAAAUUUGCUGUAAAAAUGGAAUCAAGUCUUACAACUUCAAAAAAAAAUUACAAUCAAGUCCAAAAACUUAUCUAAUUAGUACAAUAAAAAACUUCCGUCAACUCUGUCCAAUUUGAGCAUCGGAAAAUACUAGCAUGUCAUCUUUUGAUAUGUUUUGAGUACACAUGCCGGAGACACUCGAGCUAGACGAGGUGCCCCGUUCUAAUGAAUUGAAGUGUCUUGUUUGCCAAUUCACCCUCUAUCCCUUCACAUUAAUUUGAAUAGGGCAUGAGAGAUUGAAUUGAUCGCCAUCCGUUACUCCAUCAACAAGACAGAUGUCCAGCCAAUACUACUUCACUUGCCUCUUCCUGAUAGAAUUGAUCGCCAUCCGUUACUCCAUCAACAAGACAGAUGUCCAGUUCCUAAUUUGUUUCGCUGGUUUCUUAAUGACAGCUUUCCUUAAGAGCUGCGAGCCAAUACUACUUCACUUGCCUCUUCCUGAUAGAUCUUUCAUAUGCCUCCAGUUCCUCCAUUCGACGCGGGAGAAAUUUGCGUAGGAACUCUCUAAACUCUAAUUCCCAAAGUGAAGCUGGAUCUACUAAUUGAUUGUCUUCAAGCACAGCCUUCAAUUCAUUAUCCAGUUGCUUGCAUCUUAGCACAUAUCCCAACUUUUCCAUGGUUCCACCCGACACUAUGAGUGUAAGGCUAAAUCGUAAGUAAUCCUCGUCAAAUUCAAGAAAAUCAACUGCUCCCUCCAACAUUCCCCACAACACAUUUGGUUUGAGAUACUGAAUCCAUAUGUGACCCGAAUCAAAUGAACCAAGAGUUCCUGAUAGCACAUUCCGUCUUUGGCCGUUAAUGUGGGGCACGAUGUUGAAAAAUAUUUCCUUUUCUCCAUUUUCUACAUUGAAAACAACACAGAGAACCAAUCCCAAGAACUUAUCAUAAAAGUCCUCUGAAACCAUGAAAGAUAUGGUACCGCCUUCAACAGAGACGAACUCCUCUGGCAUAUCUCCUCCGGGAAUAAUAUUUUUGUAGGAAGUAUGAAUUCCGGAAUAGCGGUACUUCUGCUAUAACGGUAAAUUGUUAGACGUACUCAAAUUGAUAAUGAGUUCAAAUAGAAGAGUUUGAUUUGAGAGUUUUUCUUGUAAUUUAACUAAAGCUAGAGUUUUAUAAUAAAUAAACAUGUUAGAUCCUUCCUUGCCUUAUAUGUAACACUCAUGAAAUCAUUCACUUGCGAGUUUUGUAGCACCUGUAUUACAUGUAACUGUAGAAUCACUUUAUGUUAGAUUUGCUCGUUUGUACAGAAUUUUCAGUUUUUGCAUUAUACAAACACAGUGCGCCCCCCAUCCGCUCCAACAAAUCAACACAUGCACUUAUGAAUGCGCGCGCAUCUGGACGGAGAGAGAGAGAGAGAGAGAGAGAUACCUCAACUGAAAAGUCAGCCAUGAUAUCGGCGGGAUGGGAUCCACCCCGGGUAGCGUCGUCUUCUUCUAUUUCACUUUCACGGUCUUCCUCUGAACUUGUCAUAUUGUUAUCUUCAUGGGUCCGCCACCGCUAUUACAUAUAGGUGCAAAAUCACAAUAUAUUAGCUUGUUUUGUUUACCAGCAUUUGCAGCUUUUGCAUUAUACAAACUCAAUGCACCCAUAUCAAUCAAACACACACACAUCACAAUCGCGGGGAGGGAGGGAGGGACACCUGAAGUGAGAGAUGGGCCGAACUUUCUUCCUCUGUGGUUGUUUCUUUAUUGUCAUGCCCAAUCUCAUAGAGCAAAGCUGGAUUUAGCAACUGGUUGUCUUGAUACAAAGUCUCCGAAUCGUCCUCUAGCGGCUUGCAUAGUAAUCGAAAUCCGCACUUUUUUACAAUUGCAUCACCUGAUGAUCUAACACCAAACUGGAAAGAACUCGAGUCAUUUGGACCAAAAGGGUCUACUCCCCAUAGAUUCUCCAUUUCAAGAUACGAAAUUUGUACAUGAUCUGAAUGCCAUGGACAAUAUAUGCCUCCACACUUAGGCGUUCUUUUGCCAUUAAUGUAGGGAAAGAAUAACAAAUGGCCCUCUUGUUUGCCUUGCUUUGCUUGAUAUACAGUGCAGAUAGCUAAUACCAAGAACUUCUUAUACAAGUCUUUUGAAAGCCAUGAAAGAUAUAUAACCCUCUUUAUUCGGGAGCAACCAUUGCGGCAUCUCUCCUCCAGUCAGAAAAGUUUGGCAAAACGAAUUGGACAAAAGGGUCUGUCAAAGAUGUAAAUUGUUAAGACAGUAUUUCGAAUUUGGCACUUGAAAAUGAGAAGUUUCAAUGAGUUAAGUGGGUUGACGAGUUUAGAUAUGGUUAACAAUAUAUGUACAUGACUCUGCAUUAAUCCACCGGUUCGGGGGGGGGGGGGAGGGUGUUGAGGAGGGGAGGGGAAAAAAGACAGAGUCUAACCUUAUGAAGGACUGGGUCAUGACAUAAUAAGUCAAUAUGGUUAGCGGCCCAUAUGUCAGAGUGAAUUUUACCUAGAGAUUCACAAUUCCCUGCGACCAAAACCUGCAAUUGCCCUGGCAUCUUACCAAUCUCUUGUAGCUGUCGGCAUUCUGAAACAACCAAUGUGCGUAAAUUAUGUAGCCGCCUGCAUGUUGGAAGCUUAGCAAAAUUGUUUUUGGACAAAUACAAUUCUGUUAAGUACGGAAAACAUGAAUUAUUCUCUAGGAACUCUACUUCUAGUAGAUUGCAUCCUUCAAGCCCUAAGAUCAGUAGCUUAGGAAAUCCCAUCUUGCCAUGCAGAACACUAAAAUCCCCCUCCUUUGGAAAUUUGAUUAGUUUUGAACAACCAUCAAGUAUCAAGCUCUCAAGAUUUGGCAACUUGUAAAUGGUAGAUGGGAGGUUUGCCAGUUUCUUGCAAUUAAUUAAACUCAAGUUCUCCAAAGAGACAAGAUUUUCUAUGGAAGUAGGAAGUUCCUCAAUUGAAGUCCCUUUUAAAUAAAGUUCUUUCAAGCCUUUGCUUUUAUCCGGAAUAUCAGGGAAUCUUUGCAACUUUGAGCAACCAGUAAGAUUGAGAAUUUCAAGAUUCUUGGAUUGGAGCACACUAGGGAGCUGAUGAAGGUUAGAGCACCCUUUUAAAUUCAACAAACGUAACUUGGCGUGAUAUGCAACCGAUUCGUGAGCACGCUCCAAAUUUUUGCAUCCAUGGAGAUCCAGUUCCUUGAGAUUUGGAGUCAAAUUGAGGUCCGGCAUACAAUCCAACGAUGGACACUCACUGAUAUUAAGGUACUUCAAAUUUCCAAAGUCCUACAAGAAACAAAAUGGAAACAAAAAAUGAAGAUAGAAAUAUUUAAUGAAAAACACUUUGGAUCAUCAUUCAAGCCUAGUGUGAUCAGAAAUUAGUUGAUCCUAUGACGUAUAUAGAGCACUCCCUCUCCCUUUUUACAUGAGUUUAUUGAGUGAUCCUUGGCCAAAAGAGAAGAUAAAACAAGAAUAACACUCGUAAUUCCAGUACAUGCUAGAUGAUCUUUAUGAGGAGUUUUAGCAGAAAACAUCUAACACAUUGGGAUAUGUUAUUGGUUCAAGCCGAAUUUGCAUAUAAUAAUUCGAUGAGUCAACCUAUUGGAAAAUGCCAAUUUGAUGUUGUGUAACAAAAGCAUCUUUUAAGUCCUUUGGAUCUUACACCAUUAUCCUCCUAUAAUAUGAAGAAAGAGCUAGGACAAUAAGUUACAUGAGGAAGUAAGGAUCCCGGUCGAGCAAAAAGAAACAUAGAAAAGCCUACUGUUUUUGAAGAAGGUGAUCUUGUCUGGAAUUCAUUUGAGAAGAACACUUUCCACCUAGUUGUCGUGCUACGGAUCGUUCCUUUCUAGUUUUGGAAACAAUAAUGCCCCCAAAAGUGAGCUUUGUGGAGCGAAUGGCAUUUCCACUAGUUUCAAUGUUGUUAAUCUAUCUCUAUGAAGUUGGCCUCGAGGAGAAGUCUUUUCAAGAUUUCAAGAUUCUCUCUUGUGAUUAGAAUAAUAGGGAUAAUAUAUAUUUUCUUGAUCUGUGAGACUGUUUAUACUUUUUAGGAUUGCUUUAGUCUUGAUUACAAUGUGAUAGUUUUGUAACUUGUUUGAAUUUCGUAUUUUAGGUUCAUUUUUCUUUACUUGGAGGUUACUCAAAGGUAUUUUAGGCUCCUACUUAUAAGUGCCCUCUCGGUUUCUCAUAGUAAACACAAUGAAUUUAUUAAAUGAAGUUCCAUUCUAUCUUUUUCUCUGUCUUUCUCUCUGUCCUUUUGGGGGAUUCAUGAGUGAUCAAGAGAGUGCUGCAUCCUACUAAGGUGGUGAUUUGACUGAGGGAGACCUAGAUUAUGUAGUCUCUUCCUGUCCUCCAGAGUGGGGUUUUUCCACUUCAUUAAGAUUGAAAAACCCCUUUUAUUUAAUUGUUCGUUCAACACAUUCCGACGUUAGUCUGGCCGACGAGCAUGACAGCAAAACUGAAAGCCCACGAAGUUUGUCUCAUUCGAGGCAAAUGAAGUAAAAACUAUAAGAGUACGCACAAGAUUUGAAAAAAAAUUGAUAUUUGAAAAAUUGAGCAAAACCACCAAAUUAGAAAUAUUGAAUGGAAAGAGAUUGUUGGUAAAUACACAAUACACAAACAUAGAAUAUACGUAGGAUAUUUCAAAAUUAAAAUUUGCAAUAAGAAACUUGUUGUAGGUUUAGAAAAGAUUAAAAUUUAGAUUAUGAAACAUGCGAGAGAUCAAAUAAAUUAAUAGUUUAAGCACCUCUACGAAUAUUAUAUUUGUAAAAUAAGUAAUCGAGACAUUUUGGGGAAGAGAUUAAAUUAAAAUCCUGUGGAAGGUCACCUUUACCUUGUACAGUAGUAUAAAUAUAAUUAAUACAUACAUAAAUAACUUUAGAUUAGAUUUAGGUUUAAAUAUACUUAAAUUAGCAAAGCAAGCCCCUUACUUCUCUUUAGAAAGCCUUAUUAGUCAUGCGUGCAAGCCAUGUCGCGUUACUAGCGUCCUAGAUGUGGUGCGCUAGCGCCUCUAUAAAGUAAGACUCUUCCAUGGAAUUGUACUCCACAGGCCUUGAUUUAAAAAGCGGGAGAAGGAAUGGCUGGUCAAUCUAUCUCCCCUAAGAGUUGCUUUUCAUCCUGUGAUUCCUUACUUAGGAAUAAGUGGAGUAAGGGCGCAACUGAAUGGCCCGACUGAAAGGAAAGGAGUAAAACGUGUUACGUACUUGGAAGGAGAAGGAGAAGUAUAAACUCUCAGUUAUAUUUGAAAAUGAAUAUUUUAUCCAUAAAGAUGAAGAUAACUUUCUUGGAGUUCCGCUUAUUCCUCCUCCUAAAAAUAAAGAAGUACUUGCCAGAAAUCUCUAGUUAGGUCGGUACAAUAAAAAGAGACGGGACUUUUGGGGCUGACUUACAGUACAGACUUAACUCCUUUAAAGAUCUUUUAUUGCAUUAUUUCUAUAUAUCUCUUUUCAUUAUCGGCUGCAUUCUAUUAUAGAAACAACAACAUGAGGUUCAAUCAAAAGUACUUAGCAUGCAUUCGCUUCAAUGAUAAAGCAAAUAAACAAGAAAAAUCUCAUUCUAUUUUCAUAUGCAAUUUAGAAAAGAAUCUAGUAAGCUCGUCUCUUAUAUAAAAUAUAGAAUCUUUGAUAACAUUUUCAGUAUUGAUCACUUCAAAGGCAUACAAAUUGAAUCCUCAGUUCAUGUUUAUUAAAGUACUAAGCACAUUUAUCAUUCAAUUGUUAAAUUAUGUCAUCAAUAAGUUCUUGUUCCAGUUUUCGGUAUUAAAGUUACUGACCGCAUAUGUUGCAUUCAGAGUUUUCAAUAAUUCAUAUACAUAUCCAUAAUCGUAUGCAUACAAAUAUAGAUAUAUAAGAGAUAAGUAAAGAAAGACAAUUAAUUUUAAAUGCGCACCUUGAAUUGCUCCCUCACGACUUGGAUGUUGGUUUUGUGCAGAUCAAGCCCAACCAACUUAUUUGGACAAGAGGAAAAUUCGGGAAACCAAGGAUAUCCAGGCCAUUCAUACCAUCUCAGUUCAUUAGGAAGACAGAUAGGACCUUGGAAAGAGUUAUGCACAUUAAUCAUGAUGAGCAACCUCAACCUUCUCAUGUUUGUGAAAGCAUUGCGACCUAUGUAUAUUGCUUCUGUCUUGGGUAAAACCAAAACUAUGGCUUCUACUGCAUUUGUUCCCUGCAUUUGUAGAACUUGCAUUGCAAUUAGUACACGAAGUCAGAGAAGAAGAGAGUAAAAUCAGUGUUUAAACCACCAAAACUUACCAUAUCCCUUGAUAGAACAUCACAGACGUCUUCACAAAGCCAUAACCUGCUGCGUCUUCCAGGAUCAUUGCGACAUUCUUGUUUAACAAUAUCCAUGCCCAUCAACUGAAUCAAGUCAUGCAUCUGUACUGUCUCCCUUUCUUUAGUUAUUAAUGACUUCUCAACAAGAACUUGUACUCCAAUCAUUGUGUCAAAGUCACAACUGUCAAGGACUUUUAUAAUAUACUCCAUAGAUCGCCCCUUGAAGAAACAUGCAAUAUCAAGGAAUAUUUCCUUUGCAUAGUCCUCUAGUCCAUCGAAACUUAACUUGAGAACAUCAUUGAUGUUUUUGUCAGGAUUUUUGGCAAGUUUAUUCAAUGCGCUUUCCCACUGCUGUUCUGUUCUACAACAUAGGAAAGUGCCCAACACCACAAGUGCUAAAGGAAGUCCAUUAGCAUAAUGCAAAGCACUAUCCACAAGAUCCCUACUUAUCACUAUUUCCUCACUUCCAAGAAAAGCAUGUUUAUUGAAAAGUUCAAGAGCUUCCAAAUCAUCUAGAUUUUUAACUUCAUAGAUAUGAUCUUUACCCAUCCCAAGGACAGUUAAUAGAUGGCUAUCUCUCGUAGUAAUGAUGAUUCUGCUUCCUUUACCAAACCAUUCACACUCUCCAGCUAAAGCAUUUAAUUGUUUUAUGUCAUUCACAUCAUCAAGAAGGAGGAGGACUCUUUUCCGGCAAAGUCUAUGUUGCAUCAAAUUAAUACCUCCAUCAACACUAAACACUGUUAACUCUUUUCCCACUAACUCGGACAACAAUUUUUCUUGCAAGGGAACUAAAUCCUUGGAAUCUUUUGAAGUUUCACGAAUGUUUGCCAAAAAACAUGAAGCCUCAAAUCCUCUAAAUAUAUCAUUGUAAAGGGCUUUGGCUAAUGUUGUUUUUCCUAUGCCUCCUUGUCCCCAUAAUCCUAUCAUGACAACAUCAUCACGAGACUCGAGAUUUAACAUUGAUUUCAGCUUUACCACUUGUUGAGGUAUUCCAACCGGAUGCUUGGCAACGUGUAACGGUGUUCGGUCUAGCUGCAUAGAGAUCUGCUGCACAAUUCUCUUGAUAAGAUCCGCUUCCGCUUCAUCUCUGAAAAAAUCCAGAAAGGUACUUGAUACAUCAAUUUCCAAAGAUAAUUAACUUUCAUGGAAAAAAAACAGAAGAGAUUCAGCAUAUACAAAAGAAAUAACAAAGCAGUGUCACAUCAAUCACUACUUGGUACUUACUUAUCCUUCAAAUCCCACCCGGACAAGCUACCCGCAUCAAAGAGAGCGUUUUUCCAUCUCUUCACUUCAUCCGAAUCUCUCCCAAACUUUCUCUCAUGCUCAACCAUAGCUUUUUCGUAGCUCUCUCUUGGUGUUCUCACUUCUCCGGGAUCCACUUUGUAAAACACCGGAAAUACUGUGAGGUCUCUUUGCUUCUUGCACUCCAUGAUUUUCGCUACCUCUUCCAAACACCACCGCGAGGAAGCAUAGUUCUCGGAGAAAAUGAUGAUUGCGAUACGCGAGUCCUCAAUUGCCUUCAUAAGCGCCGGCUUUAUACAGUCGCCUUUCUGAAGCUCCUCGCUAUCAAUGUAAGUGUAGAAUCCUUUUUGAUCAAGAGCAGCAUAGAAAUGACUGAGGAAGCUCUUUCGAACGUCCGGACCUCUGAAACUCAGGAAGACGUCAUAAUUCCCUUUCAGAUCUGAAGAAGCAGCCAUUAGAGGAGAUGAAGUUUGAUGUGCUUCCUCAGAAUGCUUAGUGUCUGGUCGGGUUGCAGCUUUCUCUCUCAUGUGGAUAUCACUUUGUACUAACAAAGAAAUAGAAACGAAAACCAAGAUCAUUUCUGAUGCUUCGAGUCGAUAUGCAUAGUCUCCAACAGCUAAUUUAACAAAAAGCAGCAUUUUGCAUAAGGUGCACGGAACCAUCUUAUAUAGGUGCUUCUUGACUUGACUUGCCUUUUCCAUUAAUAAAAGAAAUAGAAAAGAAAACUCGCAACACUCCCAUGCUCCUGGUGCUAAUAUACAUGAGUCAAUCGCAAAACACCGCUGUUGGAAUAUUAUUUAUAAUGAAAAAUCUGCCUUUUUUCUUUCGAAAGGGCUUCUACAAAAGCAAAUCCCAAAAUAAAUUUCCCUCACUUUUCAAACUAAACUUUUCCAUACCAUAUCUUGCAUCAAACGGAAGAAAUUUGAAUCUGUUCAGGCAUUUCUUCAAACACGUAGUGGGCAGCGAGUUGGAGAGAGAAUAUGGACCUAUACGGAGCUCGAGCUCACACUUAAACUCAAGAGAAAUCAGCAAGCAACGUUCAAACUUAAGAAAAACCGAGUCAUUCAGAUCCGACGCGAGUGAGGACUAAAGAAAUCGAGCUUGCUUUGGUCUUUUAAAAUCAAGCAGGACGAGGCAAAAAAAGAAGAAGGAACGAGCAUUCAAUCAUGGGGCCCCUACCUGGCUUGGAUUCCGUGGCCAUCGUCGGCGGCGAAGGUUGAGAAUAGCGACUCCAAACUCGUGUCCGGCUUCAGUCGACUCCACCGAGGUCAGGGACCGCGACGACGAAUGACAGCGGGCGGAGGAUGUUCGGGAGGUGGCGGACGACGUCGAUCGGCGGUGGCUCCGAGGUUUUGUGUGGGGCUUCAAUGGCGACCGUUCCCCGAGUAGAGAAAGACCAAGAUUCUUUUUUUUUUUCGUGAGAGUAAAGAAGUAGAUGAGGGUGAAGGAGUGAGGUAGGGUUCCGGGAAUGGGAUGCGAGAGCAGUGGCCGGCAGGAGGUAGUCGGACGGAGAUGGAGGAGGUGGCUGGUCGGUUGAGUUCAGGAGAAAGGGUGAGGAAUGCCCUUUUUUUCUUUUCCAGAAAAAUGUCCCUGAAGAUGGUGCUCUCCUCUUCCUCCCUUUUCGUGAACACCCUUGCCUUUCUUUUUUUCUUUUUCUUUUUAAUGGGAAAUUGUGUCUUUUUGAGAGAGAGCGUGAGAGAUUCCUAGAAAGAACUUCCCUUUCAGAUUCGAAGAAGCGGCUAUUAUGGAAGAUGAACGUUGAUGUGCUUGCGCAGAAUGCUUACCGUCUGGUUGGGUUGCAGCUUUAUCUCUCCGGUGUAUAUCACUUCGUUCUUUUUUACCAUGACUUUCUCGAAUCACGCGGCAGUGAUAAUCAAAGAAAGCCAUAGAAAAGAAAGUAAAGGUCAAUUAUUGCACGCUUAAUUUCCGGGAAGGUGCAUGAAAUUUGCGCGUCCUUUCUUUCUUUUCCUCUGUCGACUUACUUGACUUGCUUGACUUGCUUUUUCUACUAAUAAAGAAAUAGAAACAAAAACCAACGAAUCAUUUCUGAUGCUCCCUUGUCGGCAAGCAUAUUGUCCGCAAGUAAUUUAAUAAAAAGCAACAUUUUGCAGAAGGGGCGAGGAACCAUCCCAUAUAGUGCUUCUCGACUUGACUUGCAUUUUUCAUAAAUUAAAGAAAUAAAAAAUAGAAUUAGUUAUGCUCCCAUGCCCUUAGUGCUAAUAUACAUGAGUCAAUCGCAGAAACAUCGCCUGUUAGAAUAUUAUUUAUAAUGAACAAUCUGGCUUCUUUCUUUCAUAAUAGAUUCUAGACAAACAAAUCUCAAAAUAAAUUUUCCUCACUUUUCAUACUAAAUUUUUCUAUACCAUAUUUUGCCUAACAGUGCAAAUGAUAAAAUUUCUACUUCUCUAUUUCUCUAUUUCUCUGUUUCCUGGAAUAUGUUUGAAAUCGAAAUCCGUUUAGUAAUGUAAUUUAAUUUUUCUAUUUCUGGAACAGAUUUCUAUUCCAUAAAUAGAUUUGAAAAAGAAAUCAUAAGUUAAAAUUUUUAACUUCUCAAUUUCUGAAAUAGAAAUUGAGAAAUCAAUUUAUGGCCAGAAAUCAAAUUCUGUUCUAGAAAUUUUGUCAUACGCACCAUAAAGAUUAUUGAGUCAUCACCCCCUCAGCCUAGUCACUUUAAUCUUACUCCUUAAUUUUUUUUUUCAGCAUUUUACAUUUAUUUUAUACUUUUAAUGUCACAUUUAAGAUUUCUUAGCUAACAGGUUAGGAAAAUGCUUUCGUGACCAUCGACUACAGAAUGACAGUAGAACUGUCAAAGGCCAGCCACAUAUCCUUUUGGAGGAAACCAGUGGACUUCUUGAACCAAAUUAAUCAUUGACUCCAUGUUUUGUUCUUCAUUUUUUUCUCUUUUUUUUUUUUUUGACUUCUAUGUUCCUUACGGCAACCUCAAAUUUCAGAGACAAAUAUUAUAAGGUCACAUUGAAUCAUUUUUCUUGAAGAUUAUGACUUUCAUUUGUUUCUUUAAAUAAGAUGAAGAAGAAAUAUUCUAAUUGUUAAUGCUGACAAGCUUUAAUGAUAAAGGUAACCUCGACCACGAUGAUAUCGACAACGUUGGCUGCCAGAAGGGGCUGGACUCCUCGCUCAGGCCAACUAAGCUUCUGCUUCCCAGCCUAGUCAUAUUUCUUUUCGUCAUAUCGGCCUAGUUAGGCAAAGGCAUAUUUAUCUUUUAAGAAAAGAGAUCAGUCUAUGUUAGUUUCUAUUCCAAUCCUUCAACGCCAUGCGAAAGGCUUUGAACCUUUGGCGGAGGUGGGCAGCCCGCUCCAUUGGUGGCUGAGAAGAGAUGUGUUGAGAAAAGAAGUAUGCACCAAUGUGUCAAGACCUUGUUUAUCCAGUGAAAAAGCUAUCAAUCUACGCGGUUUGCUAAAUCCGAAUUACCUGAUCAGAUGUUUCUUCACUCACAUUUCAUUUUAAAUUAAAACAUAUUUUUUUCCUAUCUCAAUAUUCGUUACUAGGGCAAUUUUCUUUUUCUUUCGGGAGACAAGAGGGGGGUUGAAGGCGAUUUGGUUUGCUUGCCCUAUGCAAGAGCUCCUUUUCUGCGUGAACAAGUUCUGCACGAACAAGACUCAGUUGUUCAUCAAAUUUACGAAAUUAUCGCACAAGUUAUGCUCUUCAGUUAAGUAUACCGCCAUUAUUCCAUUAUUUCUGUUUACCGGGCCAAGAUCUUUACAAAUCAAAGCGAUUGAACAAAUUGCUCACCCUUCUGGGGAAGGUUUGCUCUCAGUCUCCUAUUUUGGUUUCUCUUGGCCUUCUAUAGCUUCUCCUUUAACUGUCUUCAAUGCCGCAUAUGAAAAUCUCAGCCUCAGCCUCAGCCUCAGUGGCUCUAAGAUUCACUCCUUUAUGUUUGGAUUCUGAUAGAACAUAUUCUGUGAACACCAACAGUUUUCCAUGGCAUGUAAUCUUCCUCAUGCAGAGAAAUUUCCUACACAUGCUGGAUCCAUUGCAAGUGUUUUCCAUGUCUUAUGCUUCUGUCUAAUUAAUGUUUCUUAUCGGAGGUGAAGAUAGAAGAAGGGAAAAUUAUUGAUCGGAGGGACGAAUCCCAACCCUCGGUUGGCGGGGGUGCUAGACGCCCGCUUCAUAUUGCAUGCUUAACAUGAAAUGAAUUGCUCAACCGUGCUGCUAGGCAUCUUGCAUUGAGGAAUUCCACUUUCAAUGCCGUAGGUGACAAGCCCUACAAGCUAAGCGCUGACGCAUUUGCUGACAUAACCAACGACGAGUUUAAGGACCGCUAGGACCGGUAAAAGUGCUUUUUUUUUUUUUUUGGUAAAGGUAAUUAUAUAAAUAGGGAAAGCCAAAAUACACAGAAAUCGACCCCAAGAACUUUCACUCAUAAUGCGAACAUGCAGGAUGAGUGGAAGGGAGCCGAAAUAAAAGAAAGAGAACACAGAAGCAAAAAACACAGCUGAACAAACAGCAAUACAAGCCUAGGCAAAACGCCACAAGGCAGAGAAAUAACAUAGCAAACCACCUAACUAGGUAAGAUGAGUGUUGCUUUCGUCAAAAACAUAAGGGUUAAAACCCCACCCACACUGAAGCUGCCUGUUUGUAUGGUUGUCCGGCAGCUUGCUAAAGGUAAGAACUUUAUCCUUAACAACUUUGAUAAGGAGCUUCUUCAAAGCAGAGACCUCCAGCACUUUGCCACGAAAGAUGAUGUUGUUCCUUUUCUUUCAGAUUAAGUGGCACAAGGCUCCAAAAGAAAAUCGGGCAAUGGAGUGGAAAAAAUCCCUACCAUAGAGGAAUCUCAGGGCCCAACGGAUGGUCUUCGCCCAAGGCAUAUUAUGCCAAGGAAGAUUACACCACGCAGCCUAGAAAAAAGCAAGAGUCGCAGGGAUACGACAUUCGAAAAAGAGAUGAUCAAUCGAGCCCAGAGUAGCAUUACAAAAAGCACAUAAUUCAUAGCUGAUUUUGCCAUAAGAUCAUAGAAGAACCUGAGUAAAAAUGGAGGAAGAAAGGAGGUAAAAAUGCUUUGUUCAGGUAUGAGAAUGCAAAUGCGGUGCCUGCGGCUCUAGAAUGGAGGAAGAAAGGAGCUGUCAUGGGCAUCGAGGACCGAGAAAGUCAUUGUAAGGAAAAUAAAAUUGAUGUUUUGAUCCUACAGAUAUUCACGUUUACGUGUGUAAUCAAUGCAUAUUGCUAUUAUUUUCUAGGUCCAACACACAUGAUUUUUUUUUUUUUUGGUCAGUCUUACUCUAUUCCUACUUUACACUCACUCGCAGACUUAUGCCUUGCCUCCUGCAGGGCGUGGGAGUCGCAACCCACUCUCGAAACUUACGCGUCCCUACCCCCAUCCCCCCCUGAGGAGGUGAGGAUUUGAACCCCUCACCUCCCCCUUCCAUGUUGGAAGGGUGGCCACUGGGACGAACCCCCAGUGGUUGGUCCAACACACAUGAUCGAAUGAUCAUAGCUACGUGUAGUUAGUACAUUCCAAAUUUUCCAAUAGCAUUUACACUCUAUUUAUUUCGCGAAAUAUAAAUAAUUAUAUAUAUUUUUUUAAAUUAUCGCUUGAAAUAAUGAGUUAAUGAAAAAGAUAUUCAUCAUGCGCAAUGAUUUAUAUCUAAAUAUUUUCAUAAAUGGUAAAAUUUGUAUUUCCUAUUUAUUUAUAUAAGAGUUAUAAACGGCCAUUUUUAAUAAAUCAUUUAUUUCCACUAAAAAAAUGAGUCUCGGAUUAGUUGACUUCUUUGGCAUGUGUGAUUAUGCUGCCUCUCAAUUAAUCAAAUAGGAACUUGUUGGUCUUUCUCAACCGUGGCAGCCACCGAGGGCAUCCGCCAGCUACAAAGGGGGUGAGCUAACCUCCCUAUCGGAGCAAGAACUCGUAGAUUACGAUGUUAACGGCGAGGACCAAGGUUGCGAAGGUGGUCUCACGCAAUAUGGUUUUCAUUUCAUCAUAAACAGUGGAGGCCUCACUGUCGAGGCUAAUUAUUCCUACGACGGGAUAGACGGAACUUGCAAGACCGCAAAAGAAGCCUCCCACAUGGCUGAAAACCGCGGGCAACGAAGUCAUGCCUACCAACAACGAGGCCACGCUGUUGAAGCCCGUGGCAAAUCAUCCGGUGUUGGCGUCCAUUGAUGUCGGAGGGUGUAAUUUCCAAUUCUACUCCACCGCCGUCUCAAGACCGCGAGAUCAAUUUAAAUCACGCCAUAGUGGUGGUCGGCUAUGGUACGACAAGGCUGGUGAAGAACUAGCAUAAUUAAGUUGGUGAUGUGUUUUAUGGGCCAAGCCAUGUUGUGACAUAGUUGCAUAGUAAGUAAAAUCUAUGGAGGCAUAGUAAGUAAAAUCUGUCAAGGCCCAAGCUGGUGAUGUGUUUUAUGGACCAAGAAAUGUUGUCUUAUAUGGGUCGAGGCCCAUACCUCUGUUUUGUGUUUUUGUAGCCCAAGGCCAUCGUUUCUACGCAAUUCCACUGUCUAUUUCUAGUUCCACAUCUCCUCCCCACAAAAAAAUUGUUUCUUCAGGAGAAACCUAGAGUGAAGGUGCGCAUUGUGGUGUAACAACGUGGCUCUGAUGCCAGCUUUUGUGGUUCAAUUCAAAGAAAAAGACUAGGGUUGAAGGGGAUGUUGGAGAUUUAAGUUGAGUUAUUUCGAAACAGAAGAAUAUCUAAAUUAAGAAUCUUAAAAGAAAGUAGGCCAAGCAACUUGACAAACAAAUGUCUUUCAGCUGGGCUGCACAAGUUGAUGGUUUUCCUUCGGUAGAACUUCACGACCAAUCUACAUGUCUAUGACACUCUACAGAGAUUAGUAUCUCAUGACCUAAAAGACCUUUUCUUCAACAGGGGUUUAGUGCAAUCAGCUUGUGAUUCAGUCCUAUGUGGCUAGGACCCUUAUGAGGCGAAUGUUAUACAAAUUGUUUAACAUGAGUAAAACUGGCCUCGUACUGCAAAUUUCGCCAUCAUCAGAAGUGAAUUGGAGAGUACUCAAUUCAUUUAAAAAAAGAAUAAACCUCGACUUACCAAUUAUCUCAGAUUUUAGAUAAAUACAUAUAAUGUUUAUUCAUAAUUGUCGUUCUGUGCUAAUUCUCGCAAAGAGACUACAAGAGCCAUCUUUGGCAGUCUUGAAACAACCAUCCACCUAAAAUAAGCUCGGUAUGCUUCGGCUUACACUAUAUAAAGGGGAAGAAGGGAUGCGUCCUCUGAGAAUUUUUGCCGCCAACAUUUUCUCUCGAUGAACUUGUGCCAUGUCAGUAGCAUGAUAAGGUAGCCUGCAUUUCACAGUGAUUUUUACUUGGUGUCAAAUGAUGCAAGCAUGCAAUGACUCGAAAGUUCAACUAGAAAUGAGGGCAAAAGAUGAACAGAAAAGGAAGGCAUGGUUAGUAAAAUUUACUGGUCAGUAGACCUCAUAGUUGCUCCCUCAAUUAAGUUGUGAUCAAUUCGACAACAAGAGUUGCAAGCUGACACUGGCAUAGUUUUUGGUGCCAUAGAACUCGGGGCCAUAGUAGUCUUGGUUCCGACGCCUUCUAGGAGCAUGAGCUUAUAAUUUUCCUUUGAUAGUGUUUGACUAUCGGUGAUCCUAUCCAUCUGACCAUCUUGCUGUACAAGCCGAUUAUCUUGAUACAGAUCUGUUUCACUUGGACCAUCUUCCUGUGUAAGUGUAUUCUCUUCCUCUAAAUCUGUUUGAUCAUCUUCCUCUGAGUUUGUGCUGGUUCAAGACAAUCCUGAUAAACCAAAUUUAACGCCAGUGACUGAUUGUCAUGAAACAAAGACCCUCGGAUCAUCCUCUUGUUGCUUGCAUAUUAGUCCGAACCCGCAGUUUCUUACUGUUCAAUUUGACGCCUCAAGACAACCCGAAAAUGACUCCCAUCAUUUCACAGGAGCUUUCUACUUCCCACAGCGUACUAUGCGAGGGAUGCUUGAGCAGCACAUGGUCCAUUCCUAAUUAAUAGAAGCAUCCUAUGUACCAAAUCACCUUUCGAUAGACCUUGCAAGAGAGGCUGAGCUCAACUCCCCCCUCCAAUCCAAAAACAAGAUGGACUGCUAAUUCUAGAAUUCUUCACACAUGUCCUGGGGUAUCAUGAAAGAUAUCAAAUCCUCUUUACCAUGGAGCCAUCAUUCCGGCAUCUAUCUUCCAGCAAUUACAAUGCGCGCUUUUCCCAUGUUAUGGAAUUCCUGGUUUGCAGGUAACAUCCAUAUCAAGAUAAAAAUAAGGUGGAGGGAGGGAGGUAUGGAGGGAGAGACUAACCUCAUGUAACGACACAUCUUCCACGUUCAACCCUAUGUGGAGUGGCUUGAUAAAUCCGGCACUUUUUUGGCAGAGAUUCGCAGCUAGCUGCUUUUAGGAUACAUGUACUUGAUGGAAGCUGUAGGAUUUCCAGUAGUUGCUCGCAUUUUCACCCUCGCGAUUCCUAUAAAUAAUCAUGCUCAAUGACGCAUGUUGGAAAGCUAGUAAGAUUGUUUCCACUUUCCAGAUACAUAUGGACAUUCCUGGUUGGAGAUAACAGGAAAGAUUGUUGAGGACCCUUAAUCCAGACAGAACACAGCCCCAAGGUCCAACCAAUUCAAAUUCUAAUGUCCAAUGUCCAUACAUGGUCAGUUAAAUCCCCCUGUUUGCUAUGGAAACUCGACAGGAUUAGAGCAACCUUUGAGAGUCGGGUACUCGAUGUUUCGCAACUCACGAACUCUUGCAUUUGUAGCCCUUUCUCUUCACCUGUCAAGGACUUAUUGACAACAAGAACAUGUACUUCAAUGACCGUAUGAAUAUUGCAGCAAUUAAGAACUUUCUUAAUGUAAUCAAUAGUCUGCCCCUCGAGGAAACUGACUAUAUCGAGAAAAAUCUCCUUUGCGUAUCCUCCAGCCAGGCCAUCUUAAGCGCAUCAUUGAUGCUUUUUUUUAGGAGUUUUGAUAAGUUUAUUCAGUGCACGUCCCAUUCACCUCCUCUUCUACUGCACAAAAUGGAACCCAGACACCUCGAGAGCAAAAGGAAGGCUUUUAGCAUUAUCAUUAUGCAAAAUGGUAUCCCUUAAGAUUCCUCUUUAUUUCUAAGUUCUCGCCCCUUAGAAAAGCUACUUACUGAAAAGUUCAAGGGCCUGUCAUCUAUAAGAGCUUCAACCAAAUAGAUUCAUCCCAACCUAUAAGUAAGAUGAUCCUUUUUCCCUAUACCAAACCACUCACAUCCUCCGACUAAAUCAUUUCAUCUGUCAUGCUAUCGACAUAGGGAAGAGUAUACAUCUAAAAAAUAUGCCUACGUCGAGUAUAGAUUAUUUCACCAGUGUGUCUAAAAAAUUCAAUUAAUGUUUGAUAACAUCACCGAAUCCAUCAUCUGUCCUAAUUAUGUACAUAAUCAGUUACUUCUUUAAUUGGAAAAUUACUGAUAAAGAAAGAGAUAAGAUGAAAAUAUUUUCUUUGUGCUUGCCAUUCUAAAAAUUAAUUGAUAAAACACAAAAACCGAUCCUAGAUUGAUAUUGUAAAAUUUCACAUAAAAAAAAAAACUGAACAACUAAAUAAAUUAUCUUUAAUAUCGAAUCCUAGGGACCAUCUAAUCUGAAAAUAAGAUUCGUACAAUUAUAGUAAAUUUUCGAUAACUCACGAUAAUUAUCCGUGAUAAUCGUGGCGCAACCGAUUGAUAAAAUUUGGAUAAACAUCGGGUCCUAAAAUUGGCGGCAGCAUUGGCGCCGUCGCCACCGCAGGGUCGGCCGCUAAAAUAUCUGUUUUCUCGAGCAAACAGAUAAAAGAAGAGUAUAAGAUCAUCUUCCUUCGUGUGUGCUGUCCGCUCUCGACGGUUUCUCCGAUCUCCGGCGGAAACCAGAGAACCUCUCUCUCUCUCUCUCACUUCGAGCAGAGACGCCUGCGAGCGAUGGACGCGCUCCUCUCUCCGCCGCUCUCGGUGCCUCUCUCACGCCUCCGCUCCGCCGCUUGUCCGGUUCACUGGCCGCCGCCGUCCGCCGUCCCAUCUGCCGGGCUCGGCCUCCUUCUCAAUCCGGCUUCAGUUUCAGCGAAUCGGGCUUCCGGUCCCUGCAAAUCGCCCGCUGUCGCUGCUGCCGCCAGCGGAGGCGCUCUCGCGGCCAAUCCCGUGCCGGUUCGCGCUCUCUCUCUCUCUCUCGUUUUGUGUUUCUAGUACUUGGCGCUUGCGAUCGGUUCGGAAUCUCUUGAUGUUGUUUGUGCUUCGUGAUUCUUUGGUGGAAUGUAUUUGUAAUCUCUCUUACUGGCGCUGUGCUUGUGAUGUGCAACCUCGGAUGAGUUUGAGUCGAUGGCGUUUGUUGGGAAGUCGAUUCUCUUGUUGCGGUUAUGAUCGUAUGACGUUGCAUUACAGGGGAUUAGCGAGUCUCUCUCGUUCAGCAAUCGCAAAAAGUUGCUUCCUUUAGUUCACUCAGCGUUGCAAAUGACUAUACUAAGGACAUGUUUGGUAACCAUCCAAACAGUGCCUGAUUUUGAUUUUUUAUUCUCAGAAUCAAUAUGGGACAAGAAUUGCAUUUGGUAAAAUUUUUGUUCCCAGGACCAAAUUUGUUGCCAGAAGAGAAUCAAGAAUAAAAAAAAAGUUGAUUCUAAUCAGAAAAAAGUUGCUUCCUUUAGUUCACUCAGCGUUGCAAAUGAUUAUAAUAAGGGCAAGUUUGGUAACCAUCCAAGCAGUGCAUGAUUUUGAUUUUUUAUUCUCAUAAUUAAUUUGAGACGAGAAUUACAUUUGGUAAAAUUUUUGUUCCCGGCACCAAAUUUGUUCCCGGAAACAGAUUGGGAAGAGAAUCAAGAAUAAAAAAAAAAAAAGUUGAUUCUUGUUUCAGGAACAAAAUUGAAAAUCAAAACUCUUCUUCUUCUCUUUUCUUCUUUUUCAUUGACCGCCAUCCCGCGACCGCCGCCCGCCACCUGCCGUCGUCUGUCGUCGUCGGUCGCCACCGGUCGCCGGCAACUGGUCCGACGAGCUCACUAGAGACUCUCGUCUGGCCUGAAAAAAAAAAGAAAAAAAGGAAAAAAGAAAAAGAAAAAAAGAAUAGGAGAAAAAAGAAAAAAAGAAAAAAAAAGGAAGAAGAAGAAUAGGAGAAGAAGAAUAAAAAGAAUAAAAAGAAUAAAAAGAAUAAAAAGAAAAAAGAAGAAUAGGAGAAAAGAAAAGGAAAAAAAAAAUUAAAAAAUAAAACAAAAGAAAAAAAAAAGGAAAAAAUUAUAAAAAUUAAAAUGAAUUGAUUUGGAAUAGAAUUAAUGAACACGGUACCAAACGCAAUUCUAUUCCAGAAUUAGAAAUUUUGUACAGUUAGCAAACGCGUUCUUUUACUCAGAAUCAGUUUUCAGGAACAGAAUAAAAAAUAAUCAUUUCUUAUCAGAAUUUGUUACCGGAAUAAAAUCGUUACCAAACGCGCCCUAAGUUUCUCUUUCUAUAAUUUUCUAGGAUUGCAAGCUUUUCACUCUGAAAUAUGGUCAGCUUUCAUGGAUGAGCGCAGCCCCCUCCCCCCCUCUUUUAGAGCUGAUUUAGUGGCUAUAUCAAGAUGUUCUCCUCCUCUGGUAAAUGUUGUCUUCAGUUGCUGUGUCGGGAUGGCUUUAGCAGCUAGGGGGCAGGCAUAUUCAUAUGUUGUGGAUUGGAGCACAAAUAGAACAACAAGCUACAUUUGAUUAAUGUAUACUUUGUGAUCAACUCUGGAGCUUUUUGCAGCAUGUUUUGAUACAGCACCAGAGUUUAUGCCUAUUUUUUUCUUGGAAAAGGAACUGAAUCAGUUGAACACAUGAGUAUAUAAGUAGCAGAAUUUCGGACUAUCCCCAAGCAGAUCUUGAGAAUGAUUGAGCUGCCUAGCUUGCACAUUUUUGCUAGAAAUCAGUUAUUGGAUGCUUUGGUCCAGGGAUUCAAUCGAUCAUGUACAUAACACGCUUGGAUUAGGUGUUCCUUUUUUUCGGUUCAUGUGAUCAAGAUGGAGGAUGUUGUGUCUGCAUUUCUUUUAUCAUAUUAUCCCUUAGAUUCUUCAAGGUAUACAAUUGUUCUACUUGUACCAUCUUUGGAAACAUAGAUUGUGCAUGACAUCUUGUUACCGAGAAAUUUGCUUCUGAUUGGUUUGUUAUUUUAGAGCCCCAUUGCUCUUAACUUUGGCUUAUUUAACUGGAGUCGUAUCUACAAACCUGCCAGGCAUCAGUCAAGUUGGGUUUCUAUUCCUUUGGCUGUGGGAACUCGGUAGAACUACUAUAGCACCCUGCACAGAGGAUCAAUGCAGAAUUUAAAAAAGUUGAAAAAAAAUAAAAAUUGGAAUAUAGUUUUCAAAACACACAGUUACCUAUUAAAGAAAGAAAGUUUUCGAAAGCACACAUCUUCCAAAGGGGCAUCUUGGAUUAUAUAUCUUUAGCUUUCCCAUAAUGACCUUCAGAGUUUCAUAGAACUAGUUCAUUUGUGCCGUUCUGUGGUGGGAGAAACUAUGAAAACAGGAGAGAUAGAGAAAUCUUCCAGCUUCCUAUAGCUUUUAACAUUUGCUAAUCUUCUGUAUCAUAAUUCCAUUUUCAUCUUUGAUGGUUACUAAUGUAUGAUUAAAGGCACUACCGUGCCUGUCAAUCUACCUUGUGAGUUGUGCCAUGGGAACAGAAGUUCCACGAGUAGAUGAACAUAGUGAAUGAGCCUUUACCUGUUCUUAAUCAAGACCUUGAUCGCUUUUGUUGCUUGCCUUUACCUGUUCUUAACAGAAGUUCCACGAGUUGUGACAUGGGAACAGAAGUUCCACGAGUAGAUGAACAUAGUGAACAGAAGUUCCACGAGUAGAUGAACAUAGUGAACAGAAGGUCCGGAGUUUUCACUGUUGCUUCGGCUUGGGAUGUUAUUCGGCCGAGAGGUCAAUCCAUGGUUUGGGCCCCUCUUAUUUGGAAUAGCUCAAUAAUUCCCCGGCACCGAUUCCUUUUGUGGCUGAUUUCCAGAAAUAGACUGCCCACUCAGGUUUUGCUUCUUGCUUAUGGUAGGAUUUCCGAUGCUAAAUGUGCUUUUUGCUCUUGUCGUCCUAAUUCUGUAGAUCACCUUUUCUUUGGGUGUCAUAUUACUGGGGCUUUAGCUCUUUUUUGGGCAGCUAGAAGCAAUCUUCCUUGGCGAAACAACUUGUGGAGGGAUAACCUCCAAUGGGCCAUCAAGUAUUUAUUUGGUGAUUCCUUUCACAUUACCAUCUCUAGGUUCGCUUUUGCAGCUUUAUGUGAUAUUAUUUGGAAGGAAAGGAAUAAUAUCAUUUUCCGUGAUCGGACUCUCUACGUGCCUACUAUGAAGAAACGGCUUGAUAAGGUUGUUGGGAUAAGACUUUGAAGAUUACAGCAGAGCUAGAGCCUCAAUUCGUCUAUCUUCUUGGAUUAAUCUGUUUCCUUCUUUGUGCUUUGUCUUUGUUUUGCGGAGGGUGUUCCCCUUCUUUUGUGCGUCAUUGGGUUACCACAACAACCUUACACCCCUCUUGACAACCCUUUUGUCAUAUUGGGUGCAAGGCCUCCUUGGGUCUCCUUUCUUUUGUAUAUUCCCGCUUUGGGUGAAAGUUAAUAUACACGUUACCUUUACCAAAAAAAAAAAAAAAAAAGGGUUUCUAAAUUAUUGAUGAAAUUAGCGCUAUACGUAAUUUCAUCAUCGUUGCAUGGGUGUUUCUUCAAGGCAAAGAUACGUUAUUAAUUUAACAUCAGUGUUCCAUAUCGAGAAAAUUAUCUAAAAAGAUUUGAACUUCUUGUAUAGCGAUUAAUUCGAUUUCAAAUCUUUCAAUUGUACCAAUUUAAUCCUAAAUUUAAACCUUCUGAUAUUUGCUAGUUUAGUUCUAAACCUUUUAAUUAUGUUAAUUUAGUAAAAAAAUUUACAACGAUUUGCUAGCCCUAAAUCUUUCGACGAUUUGCCAAUGUAAUCCUUCCAACCAAUUAUAUAAAUAAUAGGUUUAGGAUUGAAUAGACAAAUCUUCAAAAGGGGGAAAAGUACCAAAAAAGCCCUAAAUCUAUUACAUUGGUACCAAUUCACUCUUAUAUCUUUCGAUUGGAUCAAUUUAGCUUUAAACCUUUUCGUAUCGAUACCAAUUGAAUUAGUCCAGUCAAUUUAGGCUGGUAAUUAUUGACUUGGACGCCGAUUGUCUUAUAUGGUUGUCCUAUAUGGCACGGCUGAUGUUAACAUGGAUAAUUUUUUAUUUACUUUUUCAUAUUUUUUAUCAAUGUUUUUUUUUCUUUUUUAUUCUAUUUUAUUCUUUUUUUCUUCCAUUUCCUUUCUCUUUUUUCUGUUUCCCUUAUUUUUUGCUCCACUAGUGGCCAGUGGAAAUCCCUAACUAUCAACAAGGGCAAGGGUCAAGAUGCCCUUGCCAGCCUUUGGCCAAGGCUGGAGAAGCUGUCUCACACCAAAUCUAGCGAAGGGGACCUUGUUUGACCAUCGCCUUUAAUGAGGGGCAACCUUGCAGUCCUCUGGCGAUGGCGAGGGCUCUCACCCAGGCAAGGCCUAUGGUGGUGUCUUAGCCCUCGGCAACCCUCAUCGAAAGGCCCGCGAGGUGUCUUGGCCCUUGCCCUCCCCAGUGGCUGGCUUUCUUCGUUAACCCUCAUGCUUGAGGCUCUAUAGCCUCUACCCCACCUGUUUUGUAGACCUUGUGUAUAGUCGACUAGUAUUGUAUAUAAAUGGGUUUGAUAUGUAUAAAGGUGUGAUGUGGUUUUCGAAAAAUUAUGGCCUUACUUUCCUAUCCCAUAUUUGUGUUGUUUGGGGAUAUUAUUCGCUUCUGCAUGCGAAUUAAAAUGAAUGGUCAGCGACGCGUCUAGGACGUCUCUAUUUAAUCGACCACAGAGGGAUGGGCACCCGCUCGGAGGAUCGGGGCAUGACAAUUCCCCUCUGCUUCUGCCAAAUAAAAAGGGACCAAAGACCACAAUCGCUAAGGGAAGGCCAUUAGCAUAGCCCAAAAUACAUCUAUGAGAUCCCUGCUUAUGUCUUGUAUUUGUUUUUUUGGAAAAGCAUAUGAACUUAGAAAUUCAAAAGCUUCACCUUGAUCUUAUGCUUUAACUUCAUAUACCUGGUCUAUCCCGUAAGAAGUUAGUACAUGUUUAUCUCUAAUCAUAAUAAUGAUCCUGUUACCUUUUCCAAACCAUUUACAUUCUCUAGCUAAUGCAUUUAACUAGUCCCCAUGAUCCACAUCAUCAUGCACAAGCAGAAUCUUCCUGUAGCAAAGUCUAUCUCAUAUCAGGUUAACGCCUCCAUCCACACGUAAGACCACUAAAUUUUCUUUCAACAAUAUCUCAGAUAAGAGUGUUUUUUGCAGAUGCACCAGGCCGUUAGGUCUACUGGAAGUUUCUCUAAUAUUUGCAAGAAAGCUACACUCAUCAAACUGACUAGUGAUACUGUCAUGGACAGCUUUAGUGAUGGUGGUCUUCCCUAUACCUCCUGCUUCCCUUAUUCUUAUCAUCUGAACCUCAUCCAAGCACGUACUUAACAAUGAUAUAACUAUCUCUACCCGGCAGCCUACACCGAGCGGGAUGCUUGGCAACACUCAAGGGUACUUGUCCGACUAUAAUUGAGAUCUUUGUGAUGAUGCUCAAGAUCUCGCUGUUGAUGUAGGAGUUGAUGCCGCUGUGAAGCAGAGUCCAGUGGAGGUCAGCGAGGAAGCCGUGGCAGACGUCCCCGCCUUUGAAGUUGAGCAUGAUGUCCAACGGCCAUUUUGCUUCGGAAGAAGGAGAAGGAGAAGGAGAAGGAGAAGGAGAAGACGACAUGGGAAGACAUAAUUGAACGGUCCGUUUCUUUUAACUUUAUUCAGCUUUUAAUUUUGAAUAAUAACCACACAAAAAAAAAAAAACCGACACGUUCCAAUUUUUUUUUAUGAUAUCAAAAAUCUCCUAAAAACAACGUACAUUUAUCAUCCUUUAAAAUUAUUUUUCCUUAUAUCCCUCCUCUUCCAUCUUUACCGCUGCCAUUUCCGUCAUCAUUGCCACUAUCAUCAUCUUGCCAAACCAAGAAGGAGGAAAUUUAAGAAAACGAAAAAAAAAAAAAAAUACAUACAGAGGAGAUUUCACAUGAUUUUGACUAGUGGUGGUUUAAUUUAUAAAUUUCCUCCCUAAGUAUUGGUUUUGUUGUAACUGUAGUUCGGGGCUCCUGUGAAGAGGUUAUUCUUUUUCCUUUUAUCUUUUUGACAAGAAAUGCACUAAGCAUUUACGCACACAACUUCUUGCAAUUGAUAAAAGACGUGUAAGGUCCAAAAUGCACCUAAGCUCCAUCUACAAGGAUCAGAAUGCAAUCCAUUUGCUGUUGGAGAUGACUCAGAAAUUACUUAUGCUAGCUCUUCCAUUCCAAUUGAUGCAGAUUUCUAAGAUUAAACAACUUUGAGUAACAAUUAUUUUUUGUUAUUUUGGCAAAAAAACAUGUCAUAGAGAUCUUUUGUUGGUUGUCAUUAAUUGUUAUAUCAUCGUAACAUUGGGAUAAAUAUCAGAAAAAUCUUAAAUAUAUUGUAAUUGUAAUAAUUCUAUCUUAAACUUUUUCCCAAUUCAGACCUAAAACUUUUGCAUUUACACUUGUUCAGUCCAUUUGGUCAAUUUUGCCCAACUAACAUCGACUUGGUACUUUUUAAAUAAUAUUUUAAUAAUUUUUUGAAUUUUUUUGAAUUUUCUUUUUUUCUUUUCUUUUCUUUAAUGUUGUCCUCUUCUCCUUUACUUAGGGCCUUGCUGCCUCGCUCGCCCAAAUCAAGCGAGGCUGUUGCCCUCGUCUUGUUUGGGCGAGGGCCGCAGUCUCCUCGCUAGGCCAAAUCUGGGGAGGGUGUCGUGGCCCUUACUAGAUCUAAGUGAGGGGCAGUGCACUCGCGCCCUAGCCAGUGAGGGUUGGCUGGCAACCCUCACCAACCCUAAGGGAAGGGGAAGGGGAGAUUUUUUUUUUUUAAAUAAAAGAUAAAAGAGAAAAAAAUUAAAAGAAUUCAAAAAUUAUCUAAAAAAUGUCAUGUUAGUGCCGACUCACUAAAAUUGGUAGGAUUGACUGAACUGUCACAAAUGAAAAAGAUCUAUGACUGAAUUAAUAAAAAAUAGUUUAGGACUAAACUUGCAUAAUUAUAAUAAAUUUAUGACUUUUUUAGUAAUUUUUCCUCAUAACAUCAUUCAAACGAAUUAUAGUCUCCAAAGCUCUUAAGUGAUGGAUAAUUUGUAGACAAGAUGAGCAUCUGUGAAGUUUUAGCAGUAGAUUUUCUAGUUCUCCCACAAUUUAAAUCCCGAAUUUUCCCUCAUUGUUUUUGGGGAAUUGCAUCAUGUGAGAUGCAGCUUGUCCAGUCCUCAAGAGUCACAACAAUCUUAUGACUUCAUCAUUGCAUCCGCGAGGGAGAGGGGAGGAAGUCUAUAACUCGGGCUUCGCUCUAGAGCAAUUUAUGAGGUUACUUAUUAUUAUUAUUUUUUUUGGCUUGCCUCAACACAAAUCUUUUUAUUCUCUAUUAGCAAAAACAUAGAGCGGAUGUUAGUAUAAGGCUAUCCUUUGUCUUCAAAGACUGGUACCUUAUUAAGUGCCAAAUUGGGCUCCUAACGGGAAAGUCCAUGGCUCAUUCGGCAUUCGUCUCCAUCUUCUUCGCUGGCAUCCUCGCUCCGGUUCGAAUCGCCGCGACUCUCUGGCGCUCGAGCGCCGUCUCGCAGCGGCAAAUCUCUACCUCGCUCGAUCAUCUCCGGCGGCAUUGAUUGUCUUUUGGCUAAAUUCUUGGUUGGAGUGUUCGUCAGUGGUUGUUUGCAGAAUCAGAGUAGACGUGAAAGUGGGAUGCGUUGAUGAACAGGUCAAAAAGCAGGGGAAGCAAGCGGAUGACAUGCAGUUUCGAGCUGAGCGUGAUGCUCUGAGCCUGAAAAUUGUCCAGGUGACUGCAGAAGGUAAUUGCUUUUUCAGGUCUGUGUUCCUUGUUAGAAAAAAAUCGCCGACUUGUUUUCAUGAUUUUUUUUUUUUUUUGGAAUGUUUCCGGGAAUAGGUUUGUCUUGUAAAAUGACAGUAAUCCCCUCUGUUUUAGAAGGUGAAUGGUAUGCUCAUCGCAUUACCACUCUGUCGUCAGAACACAACACGCAUUGCAUUUUAUGGUACACCGGUUCUGGAAUACUAUCAUCGAUGUACUAGAAAUUCCUCUGCUGGGAAAACUAUUGCGUUUUCGUAUGAUUUAUCAUUCUGCCUGAGACACUGCAUCUGGAGACAUAUCUUGAAGAAGAGCUCUCUUUGUCGGGGCUUAGUCUCGAGGAUAUUAGAUUGACCCUUCUGAGAUCCAACUAAGUUACUUUGUAAAAUUUCAUGACUAUGUACAACGUCCUAGCAAAAAACCAUCUUCCUUAUUCCCGUUUUCAUUCCCGUAUUUGAAUUAUCAUCUCCAGUAAUUUGCUGCCUUGUAUGAGCUUUUGUAAAGAAUGCUUUGCUAUAGUUUAUCAGGCCCUUGCAGAUCANNNNNNNNNNNNNNNNNNNNNNNNNNNNNNNNNNNNNNNNNNNNNNNNNNNNNNNNNNNNNNNNNNNNNNNNNNNNNNNNNNNNNNNNNNNNNNNNNNNNNNNNNNNNNNNNNNNNNNNNNNNNNNNNNNNNNNNNNNNNNNNNNNNNNNNNNNNNNNNNNNNNNNNNNNNNNNNNNNNNNNNNNNNNNNNNNNNNNNNNNNNNNNNNNNNNNNNNNNNNNNNNNNNNNNNNNNNNNNNNNNNNNNNNNNNNNNNNNNNNNNNNNNNNNNNNNNNNNNNNNNNNNNNNNNNNNNNNNNNNNNNNNNNNNNNNNNNNNNNNNNNNNNNNNNNNNNNNNNNNNNNNNNNNNNNNNNNNNNNNNNNNNNNNNNNNNNNNNNNNNNNNNNNNNNNNNNNNNNNNNNNNNNNNNNNNNNNNNNNNNNNNNNNNNNNNNNNNNNNNNNNNNNNNNNNNNNNNNNNNNNNNNNNNNNNNNNNNNNNNNNNNNNNNNNNNNNNNNNNNNNNNNNNNNNNNNNNNNNNNNNNNNNNNNNNNNNNNNNNNNNNNNNNNNNNNNNNNNNNNNNNNNNNNNNNNNNNNNNNNNNNNNNNNNNNNNNNNNNNNNNNNNNNNNNNNNNNNNNNNNNNNNNNNNNNNNNNNNNNNNNNNNNNNNNNNNGUCUAUCUUGGCCUAAACUUACAGGUGUAGGAGGGAAGCUGGACUCUGUAGUUAUCCACAUUGUUGUAGCUACAGGAACUCGUGAUUGCUACUUCACGGUGGCAAUAUUAUGCAAAUCGACAUAUUUUUCGAAGGAGAUUUGACAAAAUCAAAAAAUGAGAAAAUUGAUACUAACGUAAUCAACUUUUUAGCAUGCAUGAUAAAACUGUAAUGCUUUGCAAUGCCACAAAUUGAUAGUUUUGCUUGUUUCAAGUUGCAACAGAAUCCUUCAUUUUCAAUGGUUUUUUCUCAUAGUGAUGUGUUUAAGGAAAUAAAAUCCUUGCUUGAAGAAUGGACCUGAUAUAUGCAUCUAAGCUGGGAAUUGUUAAUGACAGACCAAUCGUGAAAUGUUUGAACCAUUUAUUAAGGAUGAUGUGCCAUUUGAGGAGUAUUGCAAAACCAUGGACAAUGAUGGCACGUGGGCUGGUCAUAUUAAAUUGCAAGCAGCUUUGCUUCUCUUGUUACACGGAGUAACAUUUGCAUUCAUCAGGUAAGACUGACAGUGAAGUUAUCAACCAUCACCUACAUGAAGUUUUGUUGGUUACGGUCUUUUCAGUCCUUCAGGGGGAACAGCCAGAAUAAAUAAGGAUGUAAUUAGACUCGUCAAUUGUUAGCCUUGCUACUGGGUUUGAAGUUUAGCUGUUUAAGCACGCAUCCUAGAAUUCGUGACCAUUGAAGAUCCCAUGAUUGUUGGUUUCCUGACUCAUUCUUCACUUAUUGAUAUAAUGGCUUUCUCCCCCAAUAUGGUCCUCCUUUAUCUGAGAAGUUAUUCCCCAUCAUUGUUUAGAUCAAAAGACCACUUAGGAGGUUGUUCUCAUAAUGGUUAUAGCUUGUUCUUUUCUGUCUGGUUAUAAUUUGUUACUCUUUAGACUGAAAAAUUGACUCAUCUGAAGCGCAAUGAUAUCUGGCAUGUCUAGCGAUGUCUAUUGUCGCAACAGCAUGUGGAAGGACCAUUGAUGGUGAUGUGCAAAAGAUUUUUUCAGAGAUAUAUUGCACCUUUUAGCACAAGGAGUUCUGACGGUUGCAUAUAAUCCUAAUUCAAAGAAGACUUAAUAUAUCAAACUUGUUACAACAAUGCUGGCUCAUUGAGUGUUCUAUAUGUUCUUGAUGAAUCUACACGGCACUAAUUAGUUUUGAUACAUGCCGUGCAUGCAAAUGUCUGUUCAUUGACACCAAAUGGAACAAUUUAUCUCACUCCUUACUUGAUGCAGAACAUGUCACCUCGGUGGAACAUAAGCAAUUUUGAUCAGCCUGGUGCUCGUAAUGAUCCAUUUGUGAGUUUUCUGAAUCUAGAGACUGAUGUUCUUUGCUAAGGGAGUGCUCAAUACUGGAUGAGAUCUGUUUGUAUACACUUAAUAAUGACCUUUUCUUACAUUGUAUUUUCCCUCAGAGAUUUGAACAUAAAACAUGUUUUUAUUUUUUNNNNNNNNNNNNNNNNNNNNNNNNNNNNNNNNNNNNNNNNNNNNNNNNNNNNNNNNNNNNNNNNNNNNNNNNNNNNNNNNNNNNNNNNNNNNNNNNNNNNNNNNNNNNNNNNNNNNNNNNNNNNNNNNNNNNNNNNNNNNNNNNNNNNNNNNNNNNNNNNNNNNNNNNNNNNNNNNNNNNNNNNNNNNNNNNNNNNNNNNNNNNNNNNNNNNNNNNNNNNNNNNNNNNNNNNNNNNNNNNNNNNNNNNNNNNNNNNNNNNNNNNNNNNNNNNNNNNNNNNNNNNNNNNNNNNNNNNNNNNNNNNNNNNNNNNNNNNNNNNNNNNNNNNNNNNNNNNNNNNNNNNNNNNNNNNNNNNNNNNNNNNNNNNNNNNNNNNNNNNNNNNNNNNNNNNNNNNNNNNNNNNNNNNNNNNNNNNNNNNNNNNNNNNNNNNNNNNNNNNNNNNNNNNNNNNNNNNNNNNNNNNNNNNNNNNNNNNNNNNNNNNNNNNNNNNNNNNNNNNNNNNNNNNNNNNNNNNNNNNNNNNNNNNNNNNNNNNNNNNNNNNNNNNNNNNNNNNNNNNNNNNNNNNNNNNNNNNNNNNNNNNNNNNNNNNNNNNNNNNNNNNNNNNNNNNNNNNNNNNNNNNNNNNNNNNNNNNNNNNNNNNNNNNNNNNNNNNNNNNNNNNNNNNNNNNNNNNNNNNNNNNNNNNNNNNNNNNNNNNNNNNNNNNNNNNNNNNNNNNNNNNNNNNNNNNNNNNNNNNNNNNNNNNNNNNNNNNNNNNNNNNNNNNNNNNNNNNNNNNNNNNNNNNNNNNNNNNNNNNNNNNNNNNNNNNNNNNNNNNNNNNNNNNNNNNNNNNNNNNNNNNNNNNNNNNNNNNNNNNNNNNNNNNNNNNNNNNNNNNNNNNNNNNNNNNNNNNNNNNNNNNNNNNNNNNNNNNNNNNNNNNNNNNNNNNNNNNNNNNNNNNNNNNNNNNNNNNNNNNNNNNNNNNNNNNNNNNNNNNNNNNNNNNNNNNNNNNNNNNNNNNNNNNNNNNNNNNNNNNNNNNNNNNNNNNNNNNNNNNNNNNNNNNNNNNNNNNNNNNNNNNNNNNNNNNNNNNNNNNNNNNNNNNNNNNNNNNNNNNNNNNNNNNNNNNNNNNNNNNNNNNNNNNNNNNNNNNNNNNNNNNNNNNNNNNNNNNNNNNNNNNNNNNNNNNNNNNNNNNNNNNNNNNNNNNNNNNNNNNNNNNNNNNNNNNNNNNNNNNNNNNNNNNNNNNNNNNNNNNNNNNNNNNNNNNNNNNNNNNNNNNNNNNNNNNNNNNNNNNNNNNNNNNNNNNNNNNNNNNNNNNNNNNNNNNNNNNNNNNNNNNNNNNNNNNNNNNNNNNNNNNNNNNNNNNNNNNNNNNNNNNNNNNNNNNNNNNNNNNNNNNNNNNNNNNNNNNNNNNNNNNNNNNNNNNNNNNNNNNNNNNNNNNNNNNNNNNNNNNNNNNNNNNNNNNNNNNNNNNNNNNNNNNNNNNNNNNNNNNNNNNNNNNNNNNNNNNNNNNNNNNNNNNNNNNNNNNNNNNNNNNNNNNNNNNNNNNNNNNNNNNNNNNNNNNNNNNNNNNNNNNNNNNNNNNNNNNNNNNNNNNNNNNNNNNNNNNNNGUAUUUUUCCUGUUUCCCUGUGAUUGGAGUUGAUACUUAUCUUGAAAGUUUAUGGCUUAUGUAUCCAACAUGGUAUCAAUUACCUUCCUUAAAUUCAAGUCUGGAACAUUUUGUCACCCUUGUGCUUUGUUGAAUAAUGUGUACACUUUGGAAAAAAGUUCAUACAUGAGUAAUUUAAAUUUAUACUUACAAAAACAAAGACAGCAGUGAAGAUUUCUCCUUUUUUUUUUGUCUAAAUGUUGUUUUGCAGUGAUCAAGCUCUUGAAUCCAGAAAAAGUAGAAAGGAAAAGAAGCGAGGCAAGAGAGGGUCUGACACAUCCGCACUUUCUAUUGGAUCUGAUGGAGGGCCACCUGAUGUUGGGGCUCUUUGUAUCUGAUCUUUUGCCAGUGUGUGUGCACAAUCAUCAAUUGAAUUCAGACAUCAGUAUGUGUGCAGUCUUUCAAAUAUUAAGGUUAGAUUAGACACAAUUUUUUUCUAUCUAUAUUCGCAUGUAUUUGAUGCAUGCAUCUCUUCUUCGAUCUUCGGGAUAAGAGCACUUUCUAGUUAUCCACCUGGUGUCACUUUUAUUGGAUAGUUUGCCCGUCUGGUGCAUUUUAUACUGGCAAUUGUAAUUUAGAGAUUCUUUGUACACGUAAUUCAUGCGCAUGCACGUAACACCUACCCCAGUAGAUUUGUUGGCACAGUUGUAGGUCAGUUUGGUCAGCAACCAAAGGGGGAAGAAGAUAAGGAAAUUCAGUAAUUGGAUUGCUGUCCCGGGCUAAACCUUUUCAUGAAUAUAAAAGAGACGUUCACAUGAAUUUGACAAGUGGUGGUUUAACUUUUAAAUUCCCAUCCAAAGUAUUGGUUUUGCUGUAUUGGUAGUUUGGGGUUCCUGUGAAGACGUUUUUCUCUUUCUUUAUAUUUCUUUUAUAGGAAAUACACUAAGCAUUUACGCACGCAACUUCUUGUAAUUGAUGAAAGAUUUGUAGAUCCAAAAUAAGCUUCAAUCUCCAUCUACAAGGAUCCGAAUGCAAUCCUUUUGCAGUUGGAGAUGACACAGAUAUCACAUAUACUACCUCCUCCAUUCAAAUUGGUGCAGAUUUCUAAGAUUAAAUAACUUUGUUAUUUUGGCAAAUAAAUGUGUCUUAGAGAUCUUUUGUUGGUUGUCAUUAGUUAUUAUAUCAUCAUAACAUCAUUUAGACCAAUUAUUGUCUCCAAAGCCCAUAAGUGAUGGAUAAUGUGUAGAUAUCAUGAGCAUAGGCAAAGUUUUAGCAGUAGAUUUUCCAGUUAUCCCACAAUUUAAAUUCUGAAUUUUUCUCAUUGUUUUUGGGAAUUGCAUUGUGUCAGAUGUGGCUUGUCCAAUCCUCAAGAAUCAAAACAAUCUUGCGGCUUCAUCAUUGCAUCCACGAUGGAGUGGGGAGAGAGUCGAAUUGUGAGCAGAAAACUGAUGCUGAAAGAAGUCUAUAACUUGAGCUUCUCCCUAGAGCGACUUAUUAGGUUAAUUACUAUUUUUUGUUGGCUUGCCUAAAAAAGAAAUCAUUUCAUUCUCUAUUAGCUGCAACGUAGAGCACACGUUAGUCUGAGGUUAUCCUGUCUUCAAAGACGGUCACCUUAUUAUUCUUGUAUACUACUUUCUCCUAAAAUGGGGAUAUAAAAAAUCCGUACAUUUUCAUCUAAAAGCUUAAUAAGCUUCAAAUCUCGCAUGGUGAUGCUGCUCUAAUAAUUUAGGGAGUUAAGCGAUCGGUUGAGCUAAUAAAACUCCACGUGUAGAUUAAUUAAUUCCAUGUAACAAGUCAAAUACACUUGAUACUUUUGCAAGAUAGCAACGUGUGCCUUGUGAGCCCCAUUUUCAUUCAAAUGGGGAUCCAACAUAUGGGAGGGCAUAAUUGCCCACUGAUAUGGGAAAAUGUAGACAUCCCGAGAACUUUAAUGCGAUAAAAGCGUCUUCGGCUUGGCCUAUGCCGUGAUGUUCCGUGGAUGUCUAUGCCGUGAUGUUCCGUGGAUGUCUAGGCCGGUAAGUGGACUUUUCCCAUCAUGUGCCGUUGUCGAACAAGUUUGUUCAACCUGCUUCUUCAUUGUCCUUGAGAAGAUGGUCUCUAAACGCCAGUUGACCAAACCUAGGUCCCUUCCAUGAGAUAAGUUUACCUAGCCACUAACUCGGUGUCUAGUAUAACAGACUUUCUUAUUAAAUACUUCGAUAAAGUUCUGAUUUACAAUAAUCCAUGUAGUUGUUAGCCAUGUAUUUAAGGUCUUCUCUUGUGGUUAUGUUCAAACUUUUUGUAUUAUGAAUUGAGAACUUGAACAGUAAAUACAUGAUGCGUUGUUUUUAAAUCUCUGGUCCAUUGAUUUUGUAGAUUGGCUCUGCCGGGUUCAUUCCAAUCUCAGUAUCGAAGGACCAGUAUUAGAUCAACCAUAGUUUAGUUGGAAUAUAGAUAGUGUAAGAAAAUGAUCAUUGAGGAGUGUUAAUCAAGUUUAGAAUCACCACAAAAAAGAGGUGUGUUAAUACAAGGGACAAAGUCAUGAUGUUAUAGGACGCGGUAGGGACGUGUGGCGUAGGAAGGAAAUCAAUUUCAAAAUUUAAGCAUCAAGUAAGACGACCGGCAUUUUAUUAGAUCAAUAUAAUUGGCUGGUCAUAUUAUGUUAGUUGUUAGUGAUGUGACUAUUGAAUAAAAUAUUUUUCUCAAACAAGGGGAUAGUCUCUCGAGAGGUUUUCGAAUGCUAUAACUUCCAAGCUUGUGAGAACUUUGAGGAAGCCUACUCCCUUUGAAGAAAUGCUACUCAUCAUCAUCUAAAGUUGCAAGGAAUUUCUAGCAAGUACCACUGUUGAUAUGCACUUAGUAGUUACUAAAUAUCCAUACCAUCUCUUACGAAGAAGGAAUUUACUAUUAUAUUGGAUAAUAUCUAAGUGGUAGGAUCAUCAAGAUAUAAACUCUACAAUCGAAUUACUAACCUUAAAAGAAAGUUACUAACUAUAGACAUAGCGGUGAUCAUGAGGACCCCAUGGGACUUAUGACCGAUGGAAAAAUAAUUACAAUGUACAUAUACUAUUAGUUACAAAUAAAGAGGGAAACUGCUGUAUCAAGGAGAAUUGCAAAAUGAUAGCAUCCUCGACUUAAGAAUAAUGAAUAGAUGCUCACGAUGGAAAGUUAAUAAUCAUAGGUGCAGUAUUACUUUCGAGGAUUUCAAGUUAUUUACAAUUGUUCUAGAAUAUUUACUGAGAAAUUUCGUCAUUUAUUACGACUAUUUGAUGAAAUUUACUAUAUUAAGUUGAAGUUUACUAACGACAAAGAUUGACAUUCGGGCAUAACAAAGAUUAUUCUAUGGCGGGCAAAGAUCAACAUAUGGGUCUAACAGGAAUAUGUAUAAAAACACGUAAGUAGUGCCGCAAGCCUUUUCUGCUUCUCCUAUAAACUGCAUGAAAAAACCUUGAAAUUGCCCAAGCAAGGGGAAAUGAUCCUGGGAAAUAAAAUAUUAAUACGGUUUCAAAAGGGAUAGAGCACAGUAGAAGUCCUAAACUUUGCUGUAAAAAUGGAAUCAAGUCUUACAACUUAAAAAAAAAAAAUUACAAUCAAGUCCAAAAACUUAUCUAAUUAGUACAAUAAAAAACUUCCGUCAACUCUGUCCAAUUUGAGCAUCGGAAAAUACUAGCAUGUCAUCUUUUGAUAUGUUUGAGUACACAUGCCAGAGACACUCGAGCUAGACAUGGUGCCCCGUUCUAAUAAAUUUAAGUGUCUUGUUUGCCAAGUCACCCUCUAUCCCUUCACAUUAAUUUGAAUAGGGCAGAGAGAUUGAAUUGAUCGCCAUGCGUUACUCCAUCAACAAGACAGAUGUCCAGUUCCUAAUUUGUCUCUCUGGCUUCUUAAUGACAGCUUCCUUAAGAGCUUCGAGCCAAUACUACUCCACUUGCCUCUUCCCGAUUGGUCUUUCAUAUGCCUCCAGUUCCUCCAUUUGACCGCCGGAGAAAUUUGCAUAAGAACUCUCUAUACUCUAAUUCACAAAGUGAAGCUGGAUCUACUAAUUGAUUGUCCUCAAGCACAGCCUUCGAUUCAUCAUCCAGUUGCUUGCAUCUUAGCAUAUAUCCCAACUUUUCCAUGGUUCCACCCGACACUAUGAGUGUAAGGCUAAAUCGUAAGUAAUCCUCGUCAAAUUCAAGAAAAUCAACUGCUCCCUCCAACAUUCCCCACAACACAUUUGGUUUGAGAUACUGAAUCCAUAUGUGACCCGAAUCAAAUGAACCAAGAGUUCCUGAUAGCACAUUCCGUCUUUGACCGUUAAUGUGGGGCACGAUGUUGAAAAAUAUUUCCUUUUCUCCAUUUUCUACAUUGAAAACAACACAGAGAACCAAUCCCAAGAACUUAUCAUAAAAGUCCCGUGAAACCAUGAAGGAUAUGGUACCGCCUUCAACAGAGACAAACUCCUCUGGCAUAUCUCCUCCAGGAAUAAUAUUUUUGUAGGAAGUACAAAUUCCGGAAUAGCGAUACUUCUGCUAUAACGGUAAAUUGUUAGACGUACUCAAAUUGAUAAUGAGUUCAAAUAGAAGAGUUUGAUUUGAGAAUUUUUCUUGUAAUUUAACUAAAGCUAGAGUUUUAUAAUAAAUAAACAUGUUAGAUCCUUCCUUGCCUUAUAUGUAAUACUCAUGAAAUCAUUCACUUGCGAGUGUUAUAGCACCUGUAUUACAUGUAAGUGUAGAAUCACUUUAUGUUAGAUUUGCUCGUUUGUACAGAAUUUUCAGUUUUUGCAUUAUACAAACACAGUGCGCCCCCCAUCCGCUCCAACAAAUCAACACAUGCACUUAUGAAUGCGCGCGCAUCUGGACGGGGAGAGAGAGAGAGAGAUACCUCAACUGAAAAGUCAGCCAUGAUAUCGGCGUGUCUGGAUACAUCCCGGGUACAGUCGUCUUCUUCUAUACUUUCACGGUCUUCCUCUGACCAUGUUUUUCUGUUAUCUUCAUGGUUCAGCCACCGCUAUUACAUAUAGGUGCAAAAUCACAAUAAAUUAGCUUGUUUUGUUUACCUGCAUUUGCAGCUUUUGCAUUAUACAAACUCAAUGCACCCAUAUCAAUCAAACACACACACAUCACAAUCGCGGGGAGGGAGGGAGGGACACCUGAAGUGAGAGAUGGGCCGAACUUUCUUCCUCUGUGGUCGUUUCUUUAUUGUCAUGCCAAAUCUCAUAGAGCAAAGCUGGAUCUAGCAACUGGUCGUCUUGAUACAAAGUCUCCAAAUUGUCCUCUAGCGGCUUGCAUAGUAAUCGAAAUCCGCACUUUUUUACAAUUGCAUCACCCAAUGAUCUAACACCAAUCUGGAAAGAACUCGAGUCAUUUGCACCAAAAGGGUCUACUCCCCAUAGCUCCUCUAUUUCAAGAUACGAAAUUUUUACAUGAUUUGAAUACCAUCGACAAUAUAUGCCAUCGCCUGUAGUCAUGUUUUUGCCAUUAACGUAGUGAUAGAAACGCAAAUUGCCCUCUCGUUUGCCUCGCUUUGCUCGAUAUACAACGCAGAUAGCUAAUACCAAGAACUUCUUAUACAAGUCCUUCGAAGCCGUGAAAGAUAUAUAACCCUCUUUAUUCGGGAGCAACCAUUGCGGCAUCUCUCCUCCAGUCAGAAAAGUGUUGUUGCGAAACAAUUUGGAAAAAAUGGGCUGUCAAAGAUGUAAAUUGUUAAGACAGUAUUUCGAAUUUGGCACUUGAAAAUGAGAAGUUUCAAUGAGUUAAGUGGAUUGACGAGUUUAGAAAUGGUUAACAAUAUAUGUACAUGACUCUGCAUUAAUCCCCUGCUCUUCUUGGGGGGAGGGGAGGGNNNNNNNNNNNNNNNNNNNNNNNNNNNNNNNNNNNNNNNNNNNNNNNNNNNNNNNNNNNNNNNNNNNNNNNNNNNNNNNNNNNNNNNNNNNNNNNNNNNNGGGGCUAAAUACGGGCCAGAAAUGGGUGAGGACCACGAACAAUUGUCGACAGUUUUAGUCCUAGGUGGAAUGAGCAUUACACUUGGGAGGUUUCGAUAUAUGCAGCGUGAUCACCAUAGGGGUUUUCGAUAAUGGCCAUAUCCAUGGGGGAGGAGAUAAAGGUGGAGGUGGAAAAGAUUCAAGAAUUGGCAAGGUAAGGAUUCGACUGUCCCACGCUCGAAGCUGAUAGAAUUUACACACACUCCUACCCCCUUCUGGUUCUACAUCCUUCGGGGGUGAAGAAAAUGGGCGAGGUUCAGAUGGGGGGGGGAGGAGAGAGAGAGAGGUCUAACCUUCCGAAUGACCAGGUCAGGACAUGAUAUGUCAAUUUUACUUAGAGAUUCACAAUCAUCUGCCAUCAAUCCCUCCAAUUGCUCUGGCAUCUUACCAAUCGCUUGUAGCUGUCGGCAUUCUGAAACAAACAAUGCGCGUAACUUAUGUAGCUGCCUGCAUGUUGGAAGCUUAGCAAAAUUGUUUUUGGACAAAAACAAUACUGUUAAGUACGGAAAACAUGAAUUAUUCUCUAGGAACUCUACUUCUUGUAGAUUGCAUCCUUCAAGCCCUAAGAUUUGUAGCUUAGGAAAUCCCGUCUUGCCAUGCAGAACACUAAAAUCCCCCUCCUUUGGAAACUUGAUUAGUUUUGAACAACCAUGAAGUAUCAAGCUCUCAAGAUUUGGCAACUUGUAAAUGGUAGAUGGGAGGUUUGCCAGUUUCUUGCAAUCAAUUAAACUCAAGUUCUCCAAAGAGACAAGAUUUUCUAUGGAAGUAGGAAGUUCCUCAAUUGAAGUCCCUUUUAAAUAAAGUUCUUUCAAGCCUUCGAUUUUAUCCGGAAUAUCAGGGAAUAUUUGCAACUUUGAGCAACCAGUAAGAUUGAGAAUUUCAAGAUUCUUGGAUUGGAGCACAUUAGGGAGCUGAUGAAGGUUAGAGCACCCUUUUAAAUUCAACAAUUGUAGCUUGGCGUGAUAUGCAACUGAUUCGUGAGCACGCUCCAAAUUUUUGCAUCCAUGGAGAUCCAGUUCCUUGAGAUUUGGAGUCAAAUUGAGGUCCGGAAUACAAACCACCGAUGGACAUUUACUGAAUUUAAGGUACUUCAAAUUUCCAAAGGCCUACAAGAAACAAAAUGGAAAAAAAAAAUGAAGAUAGAAAUACUUAAUGAAAAACACUUUGGAUCAUCAUUCAAGCCCAGUGUGAUCAGAAAUUAGUUGAUCCUACGACGUAUAUAGAGCACUCCCUCCCCCUUUUUACAUGAGUUUAUUGAGCGAUCCUUGGCCAAAAGAGAAGACAAAACAAGAAUAACACUCGUAAUUCCAGUACACGCUAGAUGAUCUUUAUGAGGAGUUUUAGUAGAAAACAUCUAAAACAUUGGGAUAUGUUAUUGGUUCAAGCCGAAUUUGCAUAUAAUAAUUUGACGAGUCAAACUAUUGGAAAAUGCCAAUUUGAUGUCGUGUAACGAACGCAUCUUUUAAGUCCUUUGGAUCUUACACCAUUAUCCCCCUAUAAUAUGAAGAAAGAGCUAAGACAAAAAGUUACAUGAGGAAGUAAGGAUCCCAUUCAAGCAAAAAGAAACAUAGAAAAGCCUGCUGUUUUUGAAGAAGGUGAUCUAGUCUGGAAUUCAUUUGAGAAGAGCACCUUCCACCUAGUCGUCGUGCUACGGAUCGUUCUUUUCUAGUUUUGGAAAGCAUAGACAAUAAUGCCCCCAAAAGUGAGCUUUGUGGAGCAAAUGGUGUCUCCACUAGUUUCAAUGUUGUUAAUCUAUCUCUAUGAAGUUGGCCUCGAGGAGAAGUCUUUUCAAGAUUUCAAGAUUCUGUCUUGUGAAUAGAAUAAUAGGGAUAAAAUAUAUUUUCUUGAUCUGCGAGACGUUUAUACUUUUUAGGAUUGCUUUAGUCUCGAUUACAAUAUGAUUAUAUUGUAACUUGUUUGAAUUUCGCAUUUUAGGUUCAUUUUUCUUUACUUGUAGGUUACUCAAAGGUAUCUUAAGCUCCUACUUAUAAGUGCUCUCUCAGUCUCUCAUAGUAAACACAAUGAAUUUAUUAAAUGAAGUUCCAUUGUAUUUUUUUUUCUCUGUCUUUCUCUCUGUCCUUUCGGGGGAUUCAUGAGUGAUCAAGAGAGUGUUGCAUCCUUGGAGUGGCCUACUAAGGUGGUGAUUUGGCUGAGGGAGACCUAGAUUAUGUAGUCUCUUCCUGUCCUCCAGAGCGGGGAUUUUCCACUUCAUUAAGAUUGAAAAACCCCUUUUAUUUAUUUGUUCGUUCAAUACAUUCCGACGUCAGUCUGGCCGACAAGCAUGACAGCAAAACUGAAAGCCCACGAAGUUUGUCUCAUUUGAGGCAUAUGAAGUAAAAACUAUAAGAGUACGCACAAGAUUUGAAAAAAAAAUUGAUAUUUGAAAAAUUGAGCAAAACCACCAAAUUAGAAAUAUUGAAUGGAAAGAGAUUGUUGGUAAAUACACAAUACACAAACAUAGAAUAUAUGUAGGAUAUUUCAAAAUUAAAAUUUGCAAUAAGAAACUUGUUGUAGGGUUAGAAAAGAUUAAAAUUUAGAUUGUGAAACAUGUGAGAGAUCAAAUAAAUUAAUAAUUUAAGCACCUCUCUAUGAAUAUUAUAUUUGUAAAAUAAGUAAUCGAGACAUUUUGGGGAAGAGAUUAAAUUAAAAUCCUGUGGAAGGUCACAUUUACCUUGUACAAUAGUAUAAAUAUAAUUAAUAAAUACAUACAUAACUUUAUAUUAGAUUUAGGUUUUAAUAUACUUAAAUUAGCAAAGCAAGCCCCUCACUUCUCUUUAGAAAGCUUUAUUAGUCAUGUGUGAAAGCCGUGUCGCGCAACUAGCGUCCUAGAUGUGGUGCACUAGUGUCUCUAUAAAGUAAGAAUCUUCCAUGGAAUUGUACUCCACAAGCCUUUAUUUAAAAAAGCGCGGGAAGGAAUGGAUGGUCAAUCUAUCUCCCCCUGAGAGUUGCUUUUCAUCCCGUGAUUUCUUACUUAGGAAUAUAUGGAGUAAGGGCGCAACCGAAUGGCCCGAUUGAAGGGAAAGGAGGGGAACGUGUUACAUACUUGGAAGAAGAAGGAGAAACUCCCAGUUAUAUUUGAAAACGAAUAUUUUAUCCAUAAAGAUGAAGAUAACUUUCUUGGAGUUCUGCUUAUUCCUCAUCCUAAAAGUAAAGAAGUACUUGACAGAAAUCUCUAGUUAGGUCGGUACAAUAAAAAGAGAGGGGACUUUUGGGGCUGACUUACAGUAUAGACUUAACUCCUUCAAAGAUCUUUCAUUGCAUUAUUUCUAUAUAUCUCUUUUCAUUAUCGGCUGCAUUCUAUUAUAGAAACAACAACAUGAGGUUCAAUCAAAAGUACUUAGCAUGCAUUCGCUUCAAUGAUAAAGCAAAUAAACAAGAAAAAUCUCAUUCUAUUUUCAUAUGCAAUUUAAAAAAGAAUCUAGUAAGCUCGUCUCUUAUAUAAAAUAUAGAAUCUUUGAUAACAUUUUCAGUAACGAUCAUUUCAAAGGCAUACAAAUUAAAUCCUUAGUUCAUGUUUAUUAAAGUACUAAGCACAUUUAUCAUUCAAUUGUUAAAUUAUGUCAUCAAUAAGUUCUUGUUCCAAUUUUCGGUAUUAAAGUUACUGACCGCAUAUGUUGCAUUCAGAGUUUUCAAUAAUUCAUAUACAUAUCCAUAAUCGUAUGCAUACAAAUAUAGAUAUAUAAGAGAUAAGUAAAGAAAGACAAUUAAUUUUAAAUGCGCACCUUGAAUUGCUCCCUCACGACUUGGAUGUUGGUUUUGCGCAGAUCAAGCCCAACCAACUUAUUUGGACAAGAGGAAAAUUCGGGAAACCAAGGACAUUCAGGCCAUUCAAACCAUCUCAGUUCAUUAGGAAGACAGAUAGGACCUUGGAAAGAGUUGUGCACAUUAAUCAUGAUGAGCAACCUCAAUCUUCUCAUGUUUGUGAAAGCAUUGGGACCUAUGUAUAUUGCUUCUGUCUUAGGUAGAGCCAAAACUAUGGCUUUUACUGCAUUUGUUCCCUGCAUUUAUAGAACUUGCAUUGCAAUUAGUAUACGAAGUCAGAGAAGAAGAGAGUAAAAUCAGUGUUUAAACCACCAAAACUUACCAUAUCCCCUGAUAGAACAUCACGAACAUCUUCACAAAGCCAUAACCUGCUCCGUCUUCCAGGAUCAUCGCAACAUUCUUGUUUAACAAUAUCCAUGCCCAUCAACUGAAUCAAGUCAUGCAUCUGUACUUUCCUCCAUUCUUUAGUUAUUAAGGACUUCUCAACAAGGACUUGCACUCCAAUAGUCGUGUCAAAGUCGCAACUGUUAAGGACUUCUAUAAUGUACUCUAUAGAUCGCCCCUUGAAGAAACAUGCAAUAUCAAGGAAAAUCUCCUUUGCAUAGUCUUCUAGUCCAUCGUAACUUAACUUGAGAACACCAUUGAUGGUUUUGUCAGGACUUUUAGCAAGUUUGUUCAAUGCGCUUUCCCACUCCUGUUCUCUUCUACCACAUAGGAAAGAGCCCAAUACCUCAAGCGCUAAAGGAAGACCAUUAGCAUAAUGCAAAGCACUAUCCACAAGAUCCCUCCUUAUCACUAUUUCCUCACUUCUAAGAAAAGCAUGUUUAUUGAAAAGUUCAAGAGCUUCCCGAUACCAUAGAGUUUUAACUUCAUAGAUAUGAUCUUCAUCUAUCCCAUGGACAGUUAAUAGAUGGUUAUCUCUCGUAGUAAUGAUGAUUCUGCUUCCUUUACCAAACCAUUCACGCCCUCCAGCUAAAGCAUUUAAUUGUUUUACGUCAUCGACAUCGUCGAGAACAAGGAGGACCCUUUUGCGGCAAAGUCUUUGUUGUAUCAAAUUAAUACCUCCAUCAACACUAGACACUGUUAAAUCUUUUCUCACUAACUCGGACAACAAUUUUUCUUGCAGAUGAACUAAAUCCUUGGAAUCUUUUGAAGUUUCACGAACGUUUGCCAAAAAACAAGGAGCCUCAAAUCCUCUGAAUAUAUCAUUGUAAAGGGCUUUGGCUAAUGUUGUUUUUCCUAUGCCUCCUUGUCCCCAUAAUCCUAUCAUGAGAACAUCAUCACGAGACUCAAGAUUUAACAUUGAUUUCAGCUUUACCACUUGUCGAGGUAUUCCAACCGGAUGCUUGGCAACGUGUAACGGUGUUCGGUCUAGCUGCAUAGAGAUCUCCUGCACAAUUCUCUUGAUAAGAUCCGCUUCCGCUUCAUCUCUGACAAAAUCCGGAAAGGUACUAGAUACAUCAAUUUCCAAAGAUAAUUAACUUUCGUGGAAAAAGAAGAAGAGAUUCAGCAUAUAAAAAAGAAAAAACAAAGCAGUGUCACAUCAAUCACUACUUAGUACUUACUUAUCCUUGAAUUCCCACCCGGACAAGCUACCUGCAUCAAGGAGAGCCUUCUCCCAUCUCUUCACUUUCUCUAAAUCUCUCCCAAACUUGUUCUCAUGCUUAACCAUAGCUUUUCGGUAGUUCCCUCUUGGCGUUCUCACUUCUCUAGGAUCCACUUUGUAAAACACCGGUAAUACCGUGAGUCCUCUUUGCUCCUUGCACUCCAUGAUUUUCUCCACCUCUUCCAAACACCACGGUGAGGAAGCAUAGUCCUCGGAGAAAAUGAUGAUCGCGAUACAUGACUCCUCAAUUGCCUUCAUAAGCGCCGGCUUUAUACAGUCGCCUUUCCGAAGCUCCUCACUAUCAACAUAACUGUGGAUUCCUUUUUGGGCAAGCGCCGCGUAGAAAUGACUGAGGAAGCUCUUUCGAACGUCCGUACCUCUGAAACUCAGGAAGACGUCAUAAUUCCCUUUCAGAUCUGAAGAAGCAGCCAUUAGAGGAGAUGAAGUUUGAUUUGUUUCCUCAGAAUGCUUAGUGUCUGGUCGGGUUGCAGCUCUAUCUCUCAUAUGGAUAUCACUUUGUACUGAUAAAGAAAUAGAAACGAAAACCAAGAUCAUUUCUGAUGCUCCGAGUCGAUAUGCAUAGUCUCCAACAACUAAUUUAACAAAAAGCAGCAUUUUGCAUAAGGUGCACAGAACCAUCCUAUAUAGGUGCUUCUUGACUUGCCUUUUCCAUUAAUAAAAGAAAUAGAAAAGAAAACUAGCAAGAUUCCCAUGCUCCUGGUGCUAAUAUACAUGAGUCAAUCGCAAAACACCGCCGGUUGGAGUAUUAUUUAUAAUGAACAAUCUGACUUUUUUCUUUCAAAAGGGCUUCUACAAAAGCAAAUCCCAAAAUAAAUUUUCCUCACUUUUCAAACUAAAAUUUUCCAUCCCAUGUCUUGCAUUGAACGGAACAAAUUCGAAUCUGUUCAGGCAUUUCUUCAAACACGUAGUGGGCAGCGAGUUGGAGAGAGAAUAUGGACCUAUUCGGAGCUCGAGCUCACACUUAAACUCAAGAGAAAUCAGCGAGCAACGUUCAAACUUAAGAAAAACCGACUCGUUCAGAUCCGACGCGAGUGAGGACUAAAGAAAUCGAGCUUGCUUUGCUCUUUUAAAAUCAAGCGGGACGAGGCAAAAAAAAAAAAAGAAGGAACGAGCAUUCAAUCGUGGAGGCCCUACCUGGCUCGGAUUCCGUGGGCAUCAUCGGCGGCGAAGGUUGAGAAUAGCGACUCCAAACUCGUGUCAGGCUUCAGUCGACUCCACCGAGGUCAGGGAAGGCGGCGACGUAUGGCAGCGGGCGGACGAUGUUCUGGAGGUGGCGGACGGCGUCGAUCGGCUGUGGAUCCGAGGUUUUGUGGGGGGCUUCAAUGGCGACCGUUCCCGGAGUAGAGAAAGACCAAGAUGCUUUUUUUUCUUUUUUCUUUUUUCGUGAGAGUAAAUAAGUAAGUGACAGUGAAGGAGUGAGGUAGGAUUCCGGGAAUGGAAUGCGAGAGGAGUCGCCGGCGGGAGGUAGUCGGACGGAGAUGGUGGAGGUGGCUGGUCGGUUGAGUUCAGGAGAAAGGGUGGGGAAUGCUUUUAUGACCUUUCCAGAAAAAUGCUCCCUGAACAUGGUGGUCUCCCCUUAAUCCCUUUCCGUGAACGCCACCCGCCUUUUUUAUUUUUUAUAUUUUUUAUGGGAAAUUGUGUCUCUUUUAAGAGAGAGCGCGAGUCCCUAUAAAGAACUGCCCUUUCAGAUUCAAAGAAGCGGCCAUUAGGGGAUGAAAGUUUGAUGUGCUUCCGCAGAGGCCGAGGGUAGUGGAGGCAGGCGGCGUAACUGGCGGGGGGCGGCGGAUGGCGAGGAAGAAGAAUAAUAAAAGAAAAAGAAAAUAAAGAAAAAGUUACCUUGCUUAACUUUUUAUUUCUUUUCAAAUCUAUUUUCAGAUUACUAUUCUAUUUUGAAGAAUAGGAAAAUUAAUUAACAUUACUAAAUGAAUUUUUAUUUUUAAUUUUCAAAAAAAGUGAAAAAACAUUAAAUGGAAAACCAAAGGAUAAUUUAUUGCACGUCUAAUUUCUUGCCUAAAGAUUAUUGUGUCAUCACCCCAUCACCCAAGUCACUUUGAUCUCACUUCUUAAAUUAUUUUUGUUUUUGACACUUCACAUUUAUAUUAUACUUUUAACGUCACAUUUAGAAUUUCUCAAUUAAGGGGUAUCAACGAUCAAGUGACUAUUUAGGAAAUACUCCUUUCCUUUUUAUUCCAUUUUUAUUUAACCUUUUAUUCCAUGCUAACACUCUUUUUUUCUUGACUCUUUAAGUAAAUAUUAUCACUUAUUCAUCCGAAGGUGUUUAUCAUUAGUGAUUAGAUAUAAUGAAUAAACUAUAUUACAAUACCAGCUUUAUCUUCCAAUAAAAAUAGGAGCCUUACAACUUUGAAUGGCAAUCAUGUAUAGAGGAUUCCUGGAAUGGGAUCUUUUGCUUCACCAUCUCAGGGAUAUUAUUUAGUGCAUAUACAGUUGCCUUUUCACGAGUUCUCAUGCAGGAGCUUUUGGACAAUUCUUGCCAUAAAAGGAUUGCGAAAGGUUGAGAUUUCUAUUUUGCAUGGGUCAUAGUUUGACUUGUGGAUGAUGUCGUGGGAACUUGAAAUCUAUGAGUGAUUUCAAGUGUUUUUCUUUCUUUUUUCCUUUCCUUUCAUAUCAAAUGAAAGUACUAAAUCCUUUUAUAUAAAGUUUGUGCAUUCUCUCUUGAUUUGAAUUACUGAAUUCAUCUAGUACUAUUAUAGUAUUUUGGUGCUCCGUAGAGGGCCUUAGGAUUCACCUUAGAAUCAAGAAUUACCCAUUAAGGAUUGAUUCCGAAGAAUUGGAACCGAGAACUGCUCAUUGAUUCUAUGGAUUCACCUAGCCCAUUCUGAUUCCUAGGUGGGUCCAUGAAAUCAAUCCUCAAUUCCAAUCCCUCACCACCACUUUGGCAUCCCUCACAUGCUUCGAGCAUGAUGGAGUACCUGAGAUGCCAAGAUGUGGGCAACACCUACCUCUUACCGCCACUUUUGUCGAUGGCAUGAAACAAGGUCUCCUUAGUUGGAUGAUGUUUUCUAAGCAUUGCAAUCAAAAGAGAGAUUUUUUAAUGGGUCGGCAAGAAUGAUUUAAAGAUUUGAAUAGAAGACAUCAUAUCACUUUGUUUUCACAUUAAAUAGAGUGGGUAACUAAUUACUUAAGGAGUACUUACUAUCUGGUUAAUGACAUGAAACACGCUGAGUAUAUGGUUGCACGUGUUCAAACAUAAAAGGCUCAUCUUCCAUUCUUUUACUAUUGAGAAUUGGAGAUUGUGUAAACAGGGUACGAGUCAAGCCAUACUGCAAACCAAUAGAAAAAACGAAUUGAAUACCAAACACCCAUGUCCUACAACGAGAUGUUGCAACUAAUAGAAAUAUCAAGCCUCUCCAGUUAUAAUUUAUCUAGUAAGCUGAACAUGACCGUUCAAAACAAAUAAGAAAAAGAAAGUCAUGUCAACCAAAAAGUUUACAUUUUAAAGCUCCAACAUUGUACACGCAACAGUGAUGUGAGAAGUUGAUAACAAAUGUUCAUCUUAUAACAUGUCUUUGUUUUCUUUAUCCAAUCAAUUGCCCUUUUCAGUUGCCAUAUCUAAUUAAUCCAAGUAAUAGACAUCAUUGAGAAUGGCAUUAGCCAAUGAGAUUGCGAUUCGCUCCAGGGAAAAAAAAUGAAAAGCAAAACAUACGGAUAAUUGUCCAAAAAGUCCUAAACCUUGUAUGAUAGUCAACUCAAUUUAAAAAUUUUCAAUUAUGCCAAUUUAGUCCUAAACAUUUUGAUAAUUUGUCAAUUUUGCCAUAAGCCUUUCAAUUAUAUCAAUUUAGUCUUAAAAUUUUUGCAAAUUUAUCAAUUUAGUCCUAAAACUAUUAUUUCAAUAAUUGGCCGAGAAAACUACAUUGACAAUCAUGGCCAAAUGAAUCUGGUCAAGAUUAGUUCAGAGGUUGUCUCACCAACUGGGCGUUUAACCAUUGUCAAUCUAGGACAAAACGACAGUUUGCCAGCCAUUAUGGUCAUUAACAAAUCUCAUCUGGCCUAAAUCAUCUCAAUAAAAUAGUGAAAAGCCACUCCCUAUUUUAAAAUAAAGCAAAGUGAAGAGAGGCAAAGUGAAGAGGCAAGUUGCCGCCUCUCUUCACAUAGAAUACAUGCACAAUACUUGCUAGCUGGCAUGCACCCCAAUUUCCCGCUGAGUACGGAUUAGAAAGAGAAAGAAACACGAGCCUAACUAUUAUUUGUUUCUUUAAACGGUCUUCAAUCAAGCAUCAGAUUGAUUUUCAUUAGAGUGUGUUUAUUUCGCGAAAAAUGAGUAAUUUAGAAAAUAUUUUUCAAAAAAUAAUUGUUUGUAUCAAUUACAAAAAUAACUAAAUAAAAAAUGUUUUCAUUGUCUACAAAAAUAGAUAAGCAUAGAUUAAUAUCAAAAUUGAAAAUAUUUUUUGUUGAUCAAUUUUCUAAAUGAUAAAAGCAAAUUAACUUUAGGAAAAUAUUUUCUAAAUCAAUCAUUUGCCACGACACAAAUGCACUCUAAAUCAUGAUCCAUCUAGACAACUUCCCAUAAUAAUUAGCAACACGGAUAUUUACUUUGAUAGGUAUCAAACAUUUGGUACUAGAAGUAUGUUGGAACGGAAGGACAAAAAAAGACUUAAAGAGUUUUUUUCACAAGGGCAAGAUUUUUGUUCAGACGAUUUAGGUGGGUGGGUUGGAUUACUUUUCUGUCAAUUUCUGAGGAGAUUUAUUCUGAAGAUGUGAAACGAUUUCAUGCUCAUUUUAUCAAAUAAUUUACAAGUUCUAUGUGAAUGGGACAUUGACUCCUCUUGAACAUUAGUUCGAGGGUGAUAUGAGGCAUUUAGCUGUAAAAGAUACUUGCAUGACUAUGAGAAACAAUAUUUUUUUCUAAGCAAGUGAGGCAAUUAGUUCGUUCCUAAGAUGUAACAUUUGGAUAGCAUCAUGCAUAUUAUACAUUCGAUUGUGAAAGUCCACUUUGCUUGAAAUUCUCCUAUUUUGCGGGCAACCACUCGAUGAAAUGGACACUCUCAAAACACUAUGUGUAAAAUUGGGCAUUAACACAAGUAUACUUGAUCAUUCUUCCUAUAUAGUGUUUAUGAUAUAGGAAAUGUAAAAAAUUAUAACAAAAAUCUAGGGUUACAAAUGCAUUAUUACAAGUCUCUUAUAGAAUUUUAACUCUCUCUCUCUCAAUAAUCCAUGUAAAUGGAGUUUCCGCCAAAUCUAAAUCACCACACAAAUUCAGUUGAUAUUAAUUAUUGCAUGUGUUCAAACACAAAAAGCCUCAUCUUCCAUACUUUUGCUAUUGAGAACUGGACCUUGUGAUAAAAACCGACUACGUUUCAGGUCAUAUUGUGAACCAAUAAAAGAACAAAUUGAAUACCAAUUUGAUGCGCAAAUUAACGUAUACCCUCUUUAUUAAUACAGAACAUCCAAAUCCUAGUAUGAGAUGUUGCAACGCUUCAACAUCACACACGUGCCAAUGACAUGAAAAGUCAACAACAAAUGUUUAUAUGGCAAUAAAGAUUCUUGCUUUCUUUGCCAAUCUAAUCGCCUAUUUCAGCUACCAUAUUUAUUUCAUGGAUGUGAUAAAUAUCAUCAAGAAUAUACAUCAUGACACCGAAUGGCAUCACUCAAUGAGAUUGUAAUUCAAUUAAGGAAAAAAUUGAUGAGAAAAACUUCCUACACAAUAUCAGAAUGAGGAUUAUAGGAACAUAAUUUAUUGCGGCAAGAGCCUUCUAUGAUCAAGAUAUCACAUGGAAAAAUGGGAAUUUCAAUCUUAUACAGUCAUUGGGGAAGCAUACGCCCAACUUAGGUUCGAUACAUAUCUUUACAAAAUCAUGAAGGAAAUAACAAAAAUCGUGCAUGGUCACUUUAUUAGUAAAAUUCAUCAAAUCACAAAGCACAAAUAUUUGCUCAUUACAAUUUUUCUUGAUGAACUCAUGACAUGCGUGACCCUAUCACAUAAUUUCAGUGUUCAAUCGAAUGAAGUCGACAUAAAACGAGCUCUCACAACGGUAAGUUCUAGUCUAGAAAAGUUGUUAAAGACGCACAUAGGGAACAGCGAGAGGGGGGCAAAGAGAAAAGAAAAGGCCAAAAGCAGUUCACUUCCCUUAGAACUACACCCUUAACAAAAUUCUGAUUAAUUUGACACGGUAGGCUACCACAAACAAUUUGGAGCAAAUAAAUUGAAAGCACUUGCAUUACUUCAAGGUAGGCCACACAUCACUUCUUCUCAAUGAGUAUAUCAAAUAGAACAAAAUAUGCAUAUUUGGAUACAUGUUGGGAGUUAUAAUUAAAAAAAAAAAAGUCAUCGUGUUUAAGCUCCAAAAUUAAUGAGGACAUAAAAAUAAAAGUUCAGGCUGGAAAAAAAAAUAAUUGCUAGAGCAUGGAAGUCGUUCCAUCGUUACACAAGGAAGUAAAAUUAGAGCCAACGUGAAUGUGGGAGUUGUAACCAACUCUUCGGCAUGUGGUUGUCAAAUCACACCAGUUUCUCAUGGGGAAAGAAGAUAGGAAAUUAUUUUGUGAUUGUGUAAUAGACAAUACAAAGCGUCCAGCUUAUCUUUGACCAUUUUAGACACCAUAGAUUCUCAAUCAAUAAAACGAUGAAAGAUACCAAAACAAAAGUUCUUAAUUAAAUCAAGUAAGUAAACAUAGCAACGAAUCAAACAUUGCUAGUUCCUUAUUAACAAAAAUAUUUUGAUUGAUCUUUGUUAGUAUAACGGUUUUUGGGUUAUUGUGAAAAUAACGAUAUGUUGUGAGUACAAAUUUUUGAAGGAAUGGAUCUCAUAAUAAUUUCUAAUUGUUUGUUAUUUAUUUUUUUGUGGCCCAAAAGAUGCUGUCAAUCUCAUAGUAAAUUAAGAACAGUACAUAAACAAUUCUCAUUUUAAUUAAUUGCACCAUCAAUGAUGAUUUUUUUUUGUUGGUUGCUUGAAACUGUUCGUCACUUGAAUUAUAUAGAGAUUUAACAAACAUGAUUAAUUUAUCCUUCUCUUCUCUGGCGACCAAAGUUCUUGGAGAAUUCUUCUUUUUUGUGGGCUAUUGCCUGAUGCUAGGAAAAAAAAAUUGAUCACACUUAGUGCGUAUGAUAAAAUUUCUACUUCUCUAUUUCUCUGUUUCUCUAUUUCCCGGAACAGGUUUAGAACAGAAAUCCGUUUGGUAACGCAAUCUGAUUUUUCUAUUUCUAGAACAGAUUUCUAUUCCAGAAAUAAAUUUGAAUAAGAAAUCAGAAUCUAAAAUUUUUAACUUAUAAAUUUCUGAAAUAGAAAUUUAUCAAUUUCUAGCCAGAAAUCAAUUUCUAUUCCAGAAAUUUUGUCAUACGCACCUAAUGAAUCAAUUUGUACAUCUCUUUCCGAUGCUAGUUUUCAUGUUGAUCAAUUUAAACUUUUUAGUUUGACUUUUUAACACUCCUCCAUAGCAUGAGAUAUUGUUGUUUGAACCAUGUAAUACGUGCUUAGACUUCAUGACAUUAUACUUUACUUGCAUUAACUCAGUCCUCGCUUAAUCUUUUUUUUUUUUUUUCCUUUUUUGAUUAGUCAAAAGCUCAAGUGAAUAUUUGCUCGGUCACUUUCAGGAAAAAGGAAGAAGUAAAAUGAGGUUAGCUAAUUCGCUGGAGAGCUCACGUGAAGAGGAGUUCGUGCUAGCUUCACUUCAAGACAAAGACGUAAAAAUGAUAGUUUUGAUAGCUCAUUCUCUUUCAUUGUACUCUGAGAUGUAUAUCUGUGCUCUUAUCGUUCGCUUAUAAAUGUAGUUUUUCGAGUGAAUCACGUAAAUUUAUUGUGGGGUUUCUUGACUCUUGAUUUUGUUUUUGUAAGGCUUUUUGAUUGCGCAAAGGUUUUAGUUCUGGGACUCGGUUUGCCACUUGUCCUAAAUGAACAUUGUUUUAUUGAUGAAAAAUUAUUCGAUGGAAUAUAACAUAGCACGUGGGUUUUACCGUCUUUUUCUUGUGUCUGGCGGAUUCUGUUCACAAUGAGCAUGGGAAAUUGCGAAAGUUGCUAAUGAAAUGUGGAUUUUUGGUCAUUCCAACAGAUUAAGACAACCAUAAUCUGCCCUUCCAAUCAAGCACAUGGCUCACAGAAUCAAUAAUGGAGCGCCAAGCACAUGAUGCCUUAAGAAAUAUUAUCAUCAUGUCCAGUGGUACACACUUCCCUUAGCCAAAUGAAUCUGGUCAAGAUUAGUUCAGAGGUUGUCUCACCAAUUGGGCCUUUGAAUAUUGUCAAUUCAGGACAAAACAACAGUUUGCCCGUCAUCGUGGCCAUUAAGUAAUCUCCUCUGGCCUGGCCUGAAUCAUCUCAAGCUCGCUUUCCCUUAUUUCAUAUAAAGCAAAGUGAAGUAGCAACGUUGCUUCCACUCCUCGCAGAGAAUACGUACACAACACUUCCUAGCGGGCAUGCACGCCAAUUUCCCACUGAGUACGAAUUAGAAAGGAAAAUAUAUACGAGCUGUAAUUAUUAUUUGUUUUGUUACACCAUCUUCGAUCGAGCAUCUGAUUAAUUUUCAUUAAAUCAUAAUCCAUCUUGACAACUUCCAUUAUAACUACCAACGCAGAGAUUUGCCUAGAUAGAUAUCAAACAUUUGGUACUAGAAGUGUGUAGGAAGGACGAAAGAUAGACUUUGAAUUUUUAACACGGGUAAGAUUUUUGUUUAGACGGUUUAAGCCAGUGGGUUGUAUUGGUUUUCUGUCAAUUUCCAGGAGAUUUAUUUUAAAGCUGUGAAACGAUUUCAUGCUAAUUUGAUCAAACAAUUUACAAGUCCUAUGUGAAUGAAACAUUGAUUACUCUUGAACAUCCACUGAGGGUGACUUGAGGCAUUGAGCUGCCAGUUAUACUUAAAUGACUAUGAGAAAUAACAUUUUUGCUGAACAAGUGAGCCAAUUAGCUGGCGACCUGAUCCUUGACCGUAUGAUGAAAUGCCCUAGCCCAAAAGAACAAGAUUUUCCGCAUGGUAUGGCCUUUACUCUGGUAAUACUUUUGAUGCCGAUCUCAAGGAUGAGACUACUGGAGUUCUAACUGACCACCAAUUUAUUGGAUAGUCUACACCAAAUGUAUGGACAUCAAGAAGAGACAAGUUUGGAUGAGUAAGAAUGAUUGGGAUGGCCAACUCAAACCUGAGAGGUAUCGCCACCAUUAGGGAUGAGCAUCGGUCCAAGGUUAACUCUGAACCGACCCUGGAUCGGCCCAACCCUGCCGGUCCUGGUCCGGUUCCUAGGGAGACUAGGUCGGUCCAAUUCGGACCAAUCCUGACUAUAUAUAAAUAAUAUAUAUAUCUAAUAUAUUAUUUAUAAUUUUUUUAUAUAGAGAAAAUCUUAAAAUAAACGGCGUUAACAAUAUUAAACAACUUUUUAGUGAGGAGUUCAAGUAAUUUUACAUUAUUUUUUUAAUAAUUUAGGUUUUUAAUGUCUUUUACGGCGUCAAUAGUCAUAAUUUACGAAUGAGAAAAAUAUUUUUGCGAGGAGUUCUCACGGCGUCCAAAAAGGUAGCUCAUGGCAUCAUCUUCUAAUAUUCGUUCUCUUCUUUCUUAUUUGUUCUCUUAGUCUUCAAUUUACUAAAAUUGAAAAAAACUUCUUCACUCACCACUCGACACUUGCCUCACUCGCUUUAGGUCACUCGUGCUGCUCACCGCUCGAUGCUCGCUUGGCUUGUUGCUCCCCGCUCAAUAUUCGAUGUUCAUUCUGUUCGAUGCUCACCCCACUUGACCCUCACCGCUUACCUUUCUUAGCUGACCUUGCUCAUCAUCGAACCCAUUGGGUCGGUAUGGUCCUCGGUUGCCCUUUUAAUGAGUACAAAAAAUGAAAUAAAAAAUUAUUGGUUAGUCCUGGGUUGACCUUGAAACUGGACCGAACCUAUUGGAUCAGUCCGGUCUUCAAUUACUUUUUUAAGGAGUAUAAAAAACGAAAUAAAAAAUUAUUAGUUGGUUCCAGGUUGACCUUGAAAUUGGACCAAAUUCAUUGGGUCAGUCCGGUCCUUGGUCCCAAGCUCAAUAGAGUGGGUCAUGGUCCCAAAAAUUGAGGACUAGCAUUGUGCGGGUUGAUCCUAGGGUUAAGGGGUGGACCAACCCAACCCGGAUCAUGCUAACCCCUAGCCAACAUUGUCCUAUUAGAUGAGCCAACGAAGUUGGCAUGAGGACGAAAAUGAACAUGAUCCAUCAGUAGAGACUCUCUCCACCAAGCUUGCUUUCCUUAUGGUUUCAAUUUCAUCAAGGACUUAAAUUGCAUUAUGAAAGUUUUUUAAUUAUGUUUUCCCCGUUUAUAAUUGUAGGGGGACUUUCUGCAUUUGGAUUUUCUAUUUGAUUAAUUUAAUGUGAUUUUGUUAGCAUAAAAAAGGAAGAGAUUGUUGAUCCUAAUUUAAUUCUGAUGAUUAAAAUUCUCACCCAAAUAUGUUAUUGAUUAUUUGGAAUUAUAAAUGUUGUAUGUAAGUUUUUUUUUUUUUUGGAGAGUUUCGAAAGGGUAAAACAAACCAUCUUUGAGUACUGUUUAUUCAACAAAGCUACCGAACUUUCGUCCAAGCAAUUCUAGAAUGCACGAAUUUUUCCAUUUGUGCACCCAUAAUUGAUGCAUUAUAAACGAGGGAUCAGCUAACAUUCGAUUGAGGCCAUCCAUCACAAACUUAGUUUCUCAUUUUUGAUUUCUCAUUCAUAAGAAAACAAAGUCAUGUCCAGUGUCCACAUCAUUCUUUCUAGCAGUAACGCAGAAAGAUAAAAUAAUCACAACUCCAGCAACGUUACCUUCUCAAGAGGUACAUAACCAGAGCUCACAUAUUUUCAAACACAGAACAGAAACUUCCCCCGAUGCUCUGUUGUCUCUCUUGCGAUUUGUUAGGCUCCAUUAGAGUUUUCAACUUAGGACAGUUUUCAAGAAUUGACUUCAACUUUCCAACCAUAGUUGGAACUUCUAAACCUGUGAAGAACACGUCAUUACUAGAUCAACAGAAAAGCGGACAACACAAUAAUGUUUGAGGGAAAAAAAAAAAACAAAUAGGUAUCAAUGGAUACCUACGAACAAGAUGAGAUUAUACUAGAGUCUGCCUCCCAAACACAAUAAGAACAAUUCUCAUCCUGGACUAGUCUACAAGACACGACUACAUUACACCGGUUUAAUUCCAGCAUUACACCGAGAGACAAAGCAUUCCUUCCAAUAGUUUUAACAAUAGAUCGAAGAUCACUUCGCUUUGGAACAAGCUGCUACUUAUUUUAAAAAACAAAAUAAGAGCUCUAAUUUCACAAAACUGGUAUUCGGGACAUUUAACUCUCGAGUUAAAAAAAUGGGUUUGGUUUUUCUUGGGAGGAGGGGGGUGGUUUAAAGCUGGAUUCAGGUAGGCAAAAUGACAAACAUCUGGUGGACGUCACCCAGAGGGGUUUCCUCAGACGAAGGUGAGGGGGACCAGCACUGGCGGUAGGAGAUGAUCUUGUUCACGUAGUUGUCAAUGGCUUCCGAAGCUCUAAACUCUCAAUCCACGGCUAAGCCACUAUUCAUCUUCACGGAUGAUUUUCUUCCGUUCUUACCUCGUGGAAUUUUGGACUGUACAGAGCAGUCCAAGGGGACUCCAUCACCCUCGCUCUCUUGCCUCACCAUUAUCAUUUCCACCGUCGGGACUUCAUUAUCCCCCUUGUAAUUGUGCCACAGCCUUCGUUCGAGCGCAAAGCAAAACUCACGACGUGUCAAAAAACGCUUUUGAAGAAGACGAGUUGACAGAGUACCGCGGCUGCAAAGGAGAGUUGCGACGCACGAGAGAUCAAUCGAGCUUCUUUGAAGUCAUCGGAAGAAAAGAGAGAGGAGGAAAUACAGACGAUGAAGAUUCGAAGAAGAUAAAAAGGUUUGAUCCAAGACCUGAUCUUCAACUAUUCUGAUUUGCUUUUUUUAUUUCCUACUGUUUUUACAGACUCAUCAGCGUUUACCAAGUGACGAAUCAAGUGCCCACGUAAUCCGCCACGUCAACCGUCGCCUCAUUUUGUAUACCAUGAGGCAGUAAAAUUUUAGUAGCUCUGGUAUCUUUAGAAUAAAAUUAGGUUGUUUGAGAUUCAAAUUGGCUAUAAAAAGUGCAAGAAUUAAUGGGACAUUAUAAAACCCAAAUACCUUUUUAUCUAUCUUCUCAUUCUUUUAUAUGCGAAAAACGUGACACCUCAUUUAGUAAAUGUGGCUGACGGAUAAUCUUUAUACAUCAUUUAUUCACUCAACUCAUAAGAUAACCACUAAAUCGGUUUUCCAAAAAUAUGGCAUUAUUAGAGUCAUGGAAGGUAUCAAUCAAAUACACCCUUGAACAUUAAGCAAGCUUGCUCUCUCAUAUUUUCGUGUUGAUCAAGCCAAACAAUACUUAAAUUCAUAUUGAGAAUUUUCGGUUUUAUGAUUUGAGUAAGAAUUAAGUCUAUCCACCAAAAUUUCGCAAGGAAAAUUUGAACAGCUAUCACCAAAUUUAGGUCUGGUACACUGCUCUUCAUAAUAUCAAAAGGGAAAGUAGAAACUAUUAGUUUGAUUGAUAUUUUUGAGUCAUAAUUCGCUUUCUAAUGUUCGCACCCAACAAUUAGUUUGAUGGCGAAGCUUGCAUUAAUACGGAUUUUGAAUUGGAAUUUAGCAAGCAAACAUAUAACAAGUUCUUCUAGAGCCAGCUCAAUCUAGUAUGUAGAUUCGACGCAUUCCUUCGUCUCUAGAUUGGCUGCUCUUAUUGAUUACCAUGUGGGGUUGGAAAGCAAGCGCAUACCUUUAUAAGGCAAACUGCUUUAAAAUCAUUAUUCAUUGUGUGAGAUAUCGAGCAUGAGAUACAUGGAUGGAUGACAUCAUGUAUGUGCAUUGAAUAUGGACUGACAUUUGUGUACAAUGCAAACCAAAUGCCACACAUGACAAAGUGUUACGUUGUGAAAGUCACCUCUUGAACCUCGUUGGGAUAAAUUAUCACAUGAUGGGAGCCACCUCUAACUUAAGAAUCCUAUUAUAGCGUGAUCGCUUGCGUACAUCAACAUGUUUAGCUAUAUAAUAUUGUUGUAGCAAAUUCACUCAAUGUAAGUUGAUUUGACUGUCAAGCGAUUGGGAAAACAAAUAACAAGCUUACUUUCCGAUUCUAGCUUGGCUCUAUGAAGUGAUUAAACUAUCCAUAAACUUUUUUUCCAAAGAUGGCUUUUGAUGGUGUGCGUGUAUGCGUGCUAGCUCCUGGAAGCAAUGGAUGAAAUGGUUUGACAGAGACCGAUCUAAUAACAGGACUAGCAAAUUGCUUAGAAAUUAAAGUGGAAGUGCUGCAAGGAAUAAAGGAAAGCAAUGCAAGAGCACCAAACUCAAAGGAAGAGCCGACUGAAAUAAACUGAAAACGAGAUUACUAGGACAUUAACAUUGCUGGGAUUGAAAUUAUUCACAGUUGUACAAAUGACGCUCGAAUGGAGACAAUGACAUGAACGUUACAACGAUACUCGAAGGGAAAUCAGCAGUAAUUUUGGCGGGGUUUUGGUGUAAUUUGAACAUAUCUUCUUUCUCUGCAUCUCUUUUUUUUUUUUUUCCGUAAGUCUUAAAUUCCCUUUGAUUAUUACUAGGUCGAUGAUCAUUUCUUAACUAAACUGCUUUCAUAUAUCCAUGAUUUCCUACCUCAACUGCCUUCAUGUACCCAUAAUUUCCCGACCUAACUAAAUUUCCGAUUCCUGAGCAUUUCUCAUCAACUACUUUGUCUCGUUCUAGCUUGGUAAAGUUUAUAACUGUUUCUGCUUUUUUUGAAUUCGAAGUAGGUCGAAGACUCUCUUUCUCAAAGUUCAGCGGAAUGGUCUUUCAUGAGCAUAAAAACGAAAUUGAACUUGAUACAGCUUGGCUUGUGAUUCUUUACUACCAACAUAUUGUUGACUUAUUGUUAUUAUUAGACGACAAUUCAGUCACACAACCAAAGCACAAAGUAAACCAUCAAUUCGCAAUAUAUGAUCAGCAGUCCAGCACGUUGAACGACAACAUCCAAAUCACUCCAUCCGAUCUCAGAUUGACCAACGACGAAGACAAAUUCGUUAUUAUCAUCUCUGAGGCAAAACGUCGAACAGGUGGUAAUCACUAAGGGCGAGGUGUUCUGCAAAUACGAAUUCCCAUCAAUUGGCAAGGAAUAUAACAUGAGAAAUCCCUCCAAAAAAUUGCUAGAGCGGAAGCGACGAAUUCGAGACCAAAUUUGAAGCUCUCUGCGAAAGGGCAAUACAGAACAAUCGUAUGAUUGAAUCUCGAUGAAUCGACCGCGUCCUACCCUGAGGGAGAUCCGAUCCGAAUGGUUACCUACUAAUAAAUGAAAGACACUCAAAAGACUUGGAGAAUCUCACGAAGGCGAAGCUAAGGCGACGAAUCAAUUCAGCGACGAAAUUGCUUGAUGAAGAUAUUCAGCUGCAACUGGCUCCGACCGCGGGCGUACACAUUGGAUUUGGUCCAGAGCGCUGAAGAUAAGAGAGAGAGAGAGAGAGAGAUUUUCUUGGUCCGGGCGUGUGUUCUUGCUUCGCUCAGUUCCUCAGCCUCUCCCGCCCGCACCAAGCGAGGGAGAAAGAGCACGAGAGAAGUUUCGAUCGGUGGUGAUGAGCGUCCGUUCUCUUCUCUGUCACGGCCAAGGUUGCGGUUACCGACGAGGAAGAUGGUGCAGACGAUCGAUUGAGGGUGACGGAGCUGAAAGGAAGAGGCGAUUGGUCCGAAUAGCUAGCUAGAGGAAUGGAAUGGGCCGGACUAGGUCUCCGAAGCGCUACCGAAUCGGAAUGAGGCCUUCUUUAUUUUAUUUUAUUUUAUUUUUUUGUAUUUGGUUAAUUUUUAUUCAUCCAUCAUUUUUUUAUUGCCCAUUUAUUUAUUUAUUUAUUUAUUUUUAUAUACGUCACAAAAAAUGCACGUUCGAUUUGUUGGGCGAAAUUCUAGGCGUCAACAAUUAGUAACAUUUUAAAGUAGCUAACUUUAUUAAUUUAAAAUGAGAGUUUACCAUUGAUAUUUUACUAGCGAUCGUGUUUUUAGCUGAAUAAACUCUACAUAAUCCAAUUAUGAGGUCGGCAGUUUUGUGAAAUUAAUUGACAGAUAAUUGAGUACAUGAAGUUCUGUAUAUUAUAUCACUUGAGAGUUAUUUAUACAUUUUUUAUUUUUUUUGGGCUAGCUAAAUAGGUGAUAAGUUGUCAUCCGAAGUAGUGAUGAAUCAUGCUGGUCGUUACAUCCUCAAUCACGUUCUUCACGUUGUGUAUUUUACCAAUAACUUUUUCCCACGAUUUAAUGAUUUAAAUAAUGCAAAAUAAGAUAACCUUGACUAUAAUGCGACUAUUUUGCCGGUUUUGGAUUCUGCAAUAAAAUAUCUUUAACUAAGUGUUAUAUUUUGGUUUUUAUUAAAGGAGACUUAGGUUUUGUGCUAAUAUUGGAUAAAGAGAGUCAAAUGCUGACAGAGCUAUAUAUCACAUAGUUCCCAAUAUUAUAAAGUCGCUUAAUAUGAGGUCAAAAUCAAUGAUAACCACUGUUGAUAUCCAAUCAACAAUUUGUUCCAAACUCACUUUAACAUACUAAUGAAAACCUAUUAAAAUCAAAGCAGUUUGUAUAAUAUCGAAAUUGAUUCAACAACACUAGAUAUUAACAAAAGCACAGAGAAAGCAUUGCUUUCAAAUGGGUUCGAGGAUACAACGUCGGAAUCUAAUCAAUAACGCUGGACAGUGGGGAUAAUACCUAAUAAACACAUCUUCUAAGUGAAUAUGAGGACGCGACGUCGAAAUAUAAUCAACAACACUAGAUGGUGGUAACAACACCUAGUAGACAUUGUUCCUAGAUGGAUAUGAAGACAUAAUAUUGGAAUCUAAUUGAUGAUGUUGGACGAUGGUAAUAACACUUAGUGGGUACUGCUCCUAGAUGGAUAUGAGGACACAACGUCGGAAUCUAAUCAACGACGUUGGAUAAUUGGUUAGUAUUAAAAUCUAAUAUACCACUACCUAGGAUAUGGAUACUUGUUGGAAUUGAAUUUACGAUGAAAAUCUUAAGCUACAACUAAACUAGACUAAGAUAAAAAGGUAAGAUAAAAUAGUUUUGUGUGUUGUUUGAAGGGUUUCUCUAUUGGAUUGCCUACGGUAUUUAUUGGCCAAUUUGUAAUUUUUGGUAGUUGAUUGCUUCCUCCUUAAAAGUUACUCCAUGUUCAACGACGAAUCGCCUUCUGGUUGCUUUCUAAUUUGUUCGACAAUGUUCUCAUGGCUUAUUUAGCAAGUAUUAACCGCUCAUUUGACUUUGGCGCCCUUUUAAGCAUCAACCAUUCCUGCACAAACUUCGUUGUCAAUUCCAUCUAAAUGUUAUGUUUUCAACGGCAUCUCUUGACUUGGACACGUGGCAAUCAAUUGCUCUAUCAUCAAAUCAUGUAUCUGUAUUUGUAGGUCCAUUGAAAUCUAGCCUGUAGGCUCUCGAAAUCCUUGGCCAUUCUUUGUUUCUAUGACUACCAUGGACUAGGCUAACCUAAAUCAUAGCCCAUGCGUGACAACGAGGGUGAUUUCAAAGGCUUUUAUCCCUUGUGAUCAACAUAUGAUAGCAUGGGUAUUUUUAGGUGUCAACAGUGACAAUUUAAUUCAAUCCAUCACCUGACAUCACAUACAGCUUUUAUAGUUGAUUUGAUUAUAUAAUUCUUUCAUUUGUUUGGGAUCACACAUAUCACUAACGAAGCAAGCAUGUAAAAGCAUUUCACAUUAUUUAUAAUUACUAGAACUUCAUAUGAGUUUCUAAAAAAACUGUAGCAUUUUGUAUUAAAUGCUAAAUAAUUUAGGAUCAAAAGCUAAAGUACAAUGAAGCAAGACAAGAAGUAUAGCAAAAUAGUACUGUCAUGUUCACUACAUGCAAAUAAUAUCUUCACUUUCUUAAACUUUCAAAUAUCAAUUUAUCGUGUACAUGCAACACUAUGAUAUUUGCCAUGCUGGAGAAACUUGAGCCAGACAUGAUGCCCUCUUCUAACUCUAAGGCUAAAUCACAGAUAACUCUUGUCAAACUGACCAAAUUCAACAACUCCAUCUAACACUCCCCACAGUGCAUUUGGUUUGAGAAUUUUAAUCCAUACGUGAUUCAAGUCAAAUGAACCGAGAGGCUCCCAAUAGCUCAUUUCGCCUUUGGCCAUGAACAAGUGGCACUAUGUUGGCAUCUCUCCUCCAAGGCGAACAUUUUGGUAAUAAGGAGGAAUUUGGGAAUAACAAUGCUUAAGGAGGAAUUUGGGAAUAACAAUGCUUCUGUUAUAUGGGCAUAUUUUUAAAAGGAUGUGAGUUUGUAGUUAGUUCAAGAAGAGUUUGAUUUUGAGCACAUUCCUAGUAAUUCAACCGCAGCUAGAGCUCUAUAAUAAUUAGACAUAUUGAUCCUUAGUUGCAUUAUAUACAUUACUCAUGCAAUAGAAAUCAUUCCCUUGUCAAUUUUGUAGCCACCCCUAACACUAAAUUAGACAUAUUGAUCCUUGGUUCCAUGAGAUAAGUAUACCUAGCCACUCACUUAGUGUCUAGUAUAAUAGACUUUCUUAUUGAAUACUUCGAUAAAGUUCUGAUUUACAAUAAUUGAUAUAGUUAUUAGCCAUGUAUUUAAGGUCUAUCUUGUGGUUAUGUUCAACCAUUAUGUAUUAUGAAGGAGCAUAAUUUUAACAACAAAUACAUGACGCAUUAUUUUCAAAUAUUUUAUGAUUUUUUUUUUAAUUUUUAUGAAUUCUCUUGAUUCUUAAUUUUUUUUAUAUUUAUUAGUUUAUUAUUAUUAUUUAUUUUUUAUAUCUUUUAAUUCAGACUAACACUUCGGGCUGGCUCUGGUCUCGCGGGUCUGGGGCCGAGGACACAAAUGGGCUUAUUCAAAACAAGCCCAUUUGAAUAGAAAAUCACCAAGCCCAUUUCGUUGAAAUUAAAAGGCACUAAGCCAAUCUUGCUAAAAACAAAAAACUCAGCCCAAGCACCUCUGAGACUAAGACCAGCCCGAAUCGAUUAAAACCACUCAGGUCCAAGAUCCAUCAAAUAACCCACGCCGUGCUUAAAUCCACACGACCCAUUCACGCUUCCUUCCUCUUUUCUCAUCUAAUUUUCUCUUUUUCUUUUUUUAUUUUCUAUUUCUCUUCCCUUCCCCUGUGCAUCACCUUCUUCCCGAGAACGACUUCUCCUUUGCGACCUCCUUUUCAACCUAAUCCCACCAUUUUCCGAUAAGCCCUAGCCGGCGCUCAGGCCACCGCCGAGCCACCACCCGGCGUCGGUCGUUCAGUCCGACAACGCCAGUCACCGCCGGCCAUCACUUGGUCGCCGGUCGUCCGUCCCUCGCGCGGGCCAAACCGAACCUCAACGGGGGCCAAACCGAACCUCAACGGCGACUUUAACGUCACCGAAACACUUCUAACAGAACAAGCACACAAAUGGAGUGGAUAGCAAACUAACUACGGUGGCCUCUAAUCGCGGGCUUCUCCAGCUGAAGGAAUGGCAUCUCCGGCGAAGCGUUUACGGCCGGACGCAGACGAUGAGAAAUAUGCCACCAAAAAAUCAAAGAAAACGCCGAUUCAGUGUCGGUUCAAUGAUUUCAUAAUGAAUAGAGCACAAAAAAGUAACAUUUCGAGCAUCUGGCUAAAAUUGAAUUCGAUUUUUCAUGGAGACGUUCCGUCGAACAGUUCACGUGCAGUUCGGAAUGCCACCUCUAGUUUCGAGAGCUUGCUGCGACGAACGGCGACGAGCCAGUCGGCUUCCCCGGAAGGUCGCGGGGGUGAUGAUCAAGGCGGACCACCGACGAAAUGAAAGAAUUCUCUCCUCUCGGUUUCAGAUUCCUCUUCGAAACACCUCCGGCUCCAGCCCUCCGAACCGAUCCCCUCUCUCUCUCUCUUCUUCUUCCUCUUUCGUUUCUGCUCCAUCCUUACCUUUUCAAGAAGAACAAAUUGAACUCCUAACGGGGAAAGCCCAUGGCCCAUACGGCAUUCGUCUCCAUCUUCUUCGCUGGCCGAUCCUCGCUGCGGUUCGAAUCGCC
Molecule: long non-coding RNA, 167972 nt
Filed under: Eucalyptus grandis
Lineage: Eukaryota; Viridiplantae; Streptophyta; Magnoliopsida; Myrtales; Myrtaceae
Description: long non-coding RNA (EGRA_LNC004737)
Source: RNAcentral